Molecule: long non-coding RNA, 100500 nt
Filed under: Eucalyptus grandis
Lineage: Eukaryota; Viridiplantae; Streptophyta; Magnoliopsida; Myrtales; Myrtaceae
Description: long non-coding RNA (EGRA_LNC000017)
Source: RNAcentral
GAAGCGAAGGAAGCCAAGCUUCUCUGUAACUCUCUCUCUCUCUUUCUCUCUCUCUCUCUCUCUCUCUGUCUAGCGCGUUUUCGCGUCCUCACCUCUUCGGGCGAUCGCCUCGUUUUGACUUCGUCGCGAUGGAGAAGAAGGACGAUCCGACAUUUCCCGGGAAACUGCUCGAUUCUCGUGUUCUUCUGACUCGCGACGCGUGAGGGAUUUUUGCUCGGAUUCUGUCGCAGACGGUCGCGGCACUCGUGAUUGCGGUGGUUGGGUAGGUGCGUGCGUCCUUUCGCCGAUUCCCCUGCGCCCGUCGAUCCCCUAACUAGGUCGGAAUUCCCUCUUGAUCGACGCAAAUGCAUGCGUCCUUUGAUCGUGCUGCUGCUUUCGAUUGCUUGAACUGGGUUCUAGCUAGGAUUUUUUUUUUUUUCCGGCGGGUUUUAGGUUUCGCGCUUCCUGAACCGGUUCGUUGCUUCUGCAAUGGAACCGGCGUUAAUUCUGUCUCGGCGAGCAAUCGCGCUGUCCUAUUCCUCAUUAGCUUAGCUGCGGGUUUUUGAGAGAUGAUGCUGGAGAUGGGGUUCAAUUGCGGGUCUUUGUAAAAGCAGAAGAUGAAAUCGACGGGGAAUCCUAGACGAAAGAGAGAGAAAUGAGUGGAGAACUAAGUAGCACUGGUAUCGAUACACGACACGAUACGAUACGAUAUACCGACACGUUGGGACAUGUUGUAUAUUAUAUAUAUUUUAUAUUAUUAUUUUUAUGAUUAUUUCAAUUAAAUUAAUAUGAUUCAAAUUCACAAAUAAAUAAAUAAUAAUAAAAUCCUAUAAUAAAUUUACACUAAAAAUAUUAAUCCACAAUUUAUUAAUAUCAUUCAUUGUUUCAAUUUAACAAAUUCAAUUCCAUUUCAAUAAAUCCAUAAAACUUGGAAAGAAAAAAAAAGUAAUUCAUAUUCUAGACUUGCAUGUCAGACGUGUCAAAAGAAAAAAGAAAAAAUUUGAGGUUAAAUUGUGUAUCACAGAGAGUAAGAGUCAAAAGAGAAAAAAAGAAAAUAUUAAUUUUUUUUUCUUUCCUAAUUUGUUAUUUUUAUUAUUGAUUUUUAUUUUUUUUCAUAUAUAUUUUGACACUUCAUUUAUUGAAAAUUUUUAAAAUUGACCUCGCAUGUUAUGAUCGUGUAUUGGAAAGUCGUAUGUCAAAAUUCUGAGUCAAGUGUCAAAAAAAUGUCGAAAAAGUUGAUUAGAUAUCGGAUUUUUUUAUACGUGUUAACCGAGUGUUGAAGAGUAUCGGACACAUGUCGAAGUGUUUGACACGACACGAAGGCUUUCGAAGAGUUCCUAGGUAGAGAAUGGGGCAAGCACGAUGAAUCUUGGUGGCGUUAAAAUGAGAUGAACCAUGUACAUACUACACGGUGGUGGCUCUUAGAAUGGACAAAAGAAUACAACUAGAUGGUCCUUUUCAUAGGUAUUCAAAUCACAUGCAUGAGGUCCUAAUCUUUAAAAAAAAAAUGUUAAUGUCAUUACAUAAAUCUAUUAAAUUUAAAAGAUGAAAAAACACUUGAAACAUUAAUUUUACAACUAAUAACGAAAUCAUUAUGUAAUGAAAUGACUUCUAAUUCCUUUUGCUCAAAUUAAAUUGCUCUAAGAGAACUCUCUAGUGACCUAAAAUUAAGACCAAUGAUAUCGAUUAUACAUAAAAUAAAUGAAGUAAAGAGAAAAUCAAGAUAAGAAUAAUGAAUUAUAAGAGAAAAAAUUUUACUUUCUUGAUCCUAAUCUCGUAGAUGAAGAUGUGCAGGGACCUAAAACAUUACAAAAUCAAUAUUAAAAUUACAUGAUUCAAAGCUAAAGUUAUAAAAAAAAAAAAAAAAGAGAGAGAAACGACUCAGUCAAUUUUCUUCGGCUGGAGGACAAUGUAGAUUUCUUGAACAGUUGCAAUUGAAUUCUUCAUGUAUGCCUUUUAUUAUAAUAUCAUCACGUUUUUUUUUUUUUUUUUUGUCAAGCUAGAAUAUCAUCACGUUAACCCCACGAAAACGCUAAAACGAAGAUGGGGCCGACCCUCGCCAGGUUGGAGGGGACACAGACCUGCUUACUUAAACGAAGACGCGCGCUCGUGUUGCUCCUACCCUCGUCUGCACUCAUCGACGUCGCAGCUCCAGCCCGUGAGCGACGACGACAGCACUGCCCCCCACUCCUGACGCCUGCUGCUCACCGCCGCCGCCGCCUCCUUUCUUCCGACGAGCUGCUUUACUGUCCAACCCACGCACGACGAGCUCCGACGGCACUGCCCUCUCCUCUUGCCGAACCCGUCUGUCGGCAUUCCUCUAUCUCCAAAAAAAAAAGAAGAUCCUCCCUCAAAUUUGGGAUUCUGAAGCUGAGAGCCUUUUUUGUGCAGCAAUUCUUCUCUAGGCCUUGAUUUCUUUUUUCGUAUUUUUUCGUCGGGCCCGGCCCGGCGGGAGGCCGUCGUGUCCGUCGCUGAACCUAAUGAGCUGCCCCUGCUUUCCACACCUCCAGCUACCGGAGACAACGCAGCUGCUCUCUGUCCCCAGGAACUGCCGUUGCAUCCUGAUCCCGAGCCGACGUGCUUGUGAUCCUUCCUCGUGACGACGAAACCACUUUCUCUUUUCGCAGGUUCGCUCGCCGUCCCUUACGGCUUCGUCUUGCGUUGCCACCCGCGGCCCAAAGUCACUACUGAGACGAGAUGAGCCGAGCUGUGUCACAAAUUGUUGGCCUAAUCACCGCCGCGCGCACCUUGCCAAACUGCCACCGUGGCCAUCCUUUGCUAGGGAGCACCGUAUCGGUCAUCCGUCAAGGCGAUUCCGAUGAAGUCCAAAUUUGGCACUAUUAUACUGUGAAGUUAGGUAAAAUCUCGUCCGAAUUUAUUUGCGUUUUUGCAUGUGAUUGUGCACCCUGAGUAGAAAUCACCUUCGCUAAAUCUAUUUGCACACGCCUUCAGCUUGCUGGAUGAUCUUUUUUCGUGCCUGUGUGCUGACCACUUACCAUUAACGUACAGUAUAUUCCCGAGGAUCUCCGUCUUCAUCUCUGUGUGCUCGGCCGCGGAAGCAUUCCAAAAACCUCAGCUCACUUCUUAGCCAGGCCACGCCACACCAAGUUACCAACCUUUUUUUCUCUUCUAGGGAGAGAGAGAGGGGUCUGGAAGUAAUAUGCUUGCCAAAUAUGGCACACUCAAAGACUAGAGCAUCAUCAGAAGUUCAGUACGAUGUGUUCUUGAGUUUUAGUGGAGCGGAUACUCGUUUUGACUUCGCGGACUUCCUCAAUAGAGACUUGAAUAAUGCCGGAAUCUGCGUAUUUAGGGACGAAGAUGCAAUCAAGGUGGGCGAUAAGAUUGGUGAGACAAUUCUACAAGCUAUUGACAACUGUAAAAUCUACAUACCCAUCAUUUCUAAAACUUAUCAUGACCGCAAAUGGUGUCUUGUUGAGCUUGAACACAUGAUGAACAAUGUAUCUCAGUCAAAGGGUAGAGAAAAGAUUUUCCCCAUCUUUUAUAAGGUGGAACCUAGGGAUGUUAAAAAUUGGACUCCAUGCCCAAUGAAUGCUUCCUCCGAAGUUGAAGUCGAACUUAGGGCGUUCAAAGAGGCACUUGCAAAGGUUGGGAUGGAAGGUCAAGGAGGGACAAAGGUAAAAGUACCUUUAAGACCCCUACCUAAUUCUUUUUCUUCUUCUUUUUUUGGGUUUUUGUUUUAGGGGAUAAAAUCUUGCCCUAUCAAAUCAUUUAUUUUCUUCUUCUUUGUUAAAUGGAAAAUUUUGAAAACUACCUCUGACUCCAAGUGCUGCUCCUAUUGAACUUUACAUCCUCUACUCGAGACAUGUUCCCUAAUAUUUCAGUUGUUAUAGCCACUGCUGGCGCUAGGGAACUUGUUACAGGUUUUGGGGUUAUAUAAUCUGUCUUCUCCAAAUUGCAGUGUUCAAUGGAUGACCUUGAAUUUGUCUACAUUUUCUCCCUAUUACAAUUGCUGAAAAUCUUUUCCAGGCUUAGCUAUAAAUGCGGAAAUUUUGCUUGAGCAUCAUGCGGUAGUCACUUGGUAAUUUCAGCCGUCAUGUAAACCACUACCAUAUAGAAAAAUGCAUCCGGUGAAUUGAAUUCUACUAAAUUAGCCUAUAUUGAUUAUUUAGUGUAUUUAGAUAUCAUUUGUAACCAUGUGCGAUGUGUGGGUAUGAAUUAAAUCUAGUCAACUAAUGAAAGCAUUUUUGUGUAUGGUAGUCAAGCAAAAAUUGCCGAUUUGGUCGUUCGAAAGGUUUUGGAGGAGCUGGGCAGAAAAGAUGAGUCACAAACGAAGCAUUCAAUUGAGCUUGAUGACUAGACACGGUCACUUGAAGACUCUUAUAAUCACACAGUGAUAGUACGAUAUCUUCUUCUUCAUCAAUAUACAAUUGACGUCCAUCAAUGCACGGAUUUGAAAUUUGAUCUGUUCUAGUCUCAAUUUGAUGCUAUAAUUUGGUAAAACUACACAAAUUACAAGAAGUUAUAUGUUAUUCCAAAAUUUACUUGGACAAAAAUGAUUUUCGGAUCAAUUAGUGUUCCUUCAACGUGUUAUUUUUUUGCAAAUGUUGUUUCCUAUAAAUUAAAUAAAUACACAACUGCAAGUCUCAUAAACUUUAAUUUUUAAAUUUAUUUCUUGCUGUAUAAUUCAUUGUUGGAGUUGUGUGAUGUGACGAGUGUUUAUUUAUUUAUUUUUAUGUCAUACUGUUUUCAAUAAUCGCCCUCUUGAACGUUCACAUGUUGCGUACUAGCCUGCAGAUUUUGAAGAUGGUUUAACUUAUCCCCUGCCUUCUCUAGUUUCAAUCCGCAUAACCAUCAAAUGUUACCUAAAAUCUUGUUGUCCUAAAGCAUUAUGAUGGGAGGCUAUUCUCAAAAGAUCGAUUAGCGAAAGCAUGGCUUUGUAAAAGCUCGACAGAUCCUCCAACCCCAUUCCCCCUCUCGUUUUCUGCCUUUGCCAGUUCCCCCCAUCUUUCCGGCGUACUCAAGUUCCAUUUUAGAAUUUUUCCCACAAAAAAAAAAAGUUAUUUUUUGCUUGAUUGUCUUGGAAAUAGAGAUUGGAGUUUUAAAUAUUGACAUGAAAUAGGUUAGCAGUGCAAGCGAUACUGUUUUAAUAAGUAUUUUUUUCCUAACUUUCAACAGUCUCUUUCCCUUUCCUCCCCCCUCUCCCUAAAGUUUAAAAAAUUCUUCCAUAAAAUGAAUUCCAAAAGACAAACCUCAUUUUGUCGGACAGUGUAUGAAAUUUUACUUACCAGUAGGGUAAACAUUGCAAGAUACAAAAUAAUCUUUAGAAGCCACACAUGUCUAGAUGUGGAUCAUUAUAUGAAGUACAUAGAUGUGGCAGCUUAUAUGUGCCAAUAGGAAUUAGUUAAGCUAAAUGUUAGCACUAUACUAUUCAAAGAAGAUUUACUUUACUUUUCUUUUCUUUUUAUAUCAAUAAUUUUAUUGACCCCAAUUUUCAAGUAAUUGUAGGAGUAUAAACAAUACGUUCCACAAGCAACCUAAUAUGUUCUCGAUUAGAUGAUUAGUGAGAAAAGAUUAGCAUUAUCUUAAUUGUGCAGUGCUUAAAACUUAUGUGGAAUUUCAACGUGGUCCAAGUGCAGCGGUAUACCGGGAGAGGCCGAGGGCUGGAGGGCGGGUACAUGAAGGAGGGCAGUGGGAGUACAGGGAGGAGAAGGAGGGAGUGGAAGCAGCAGAAGAGGGAGGAGCAGGUGCAGUGGAAGCAGCAGAAGAGGGAGGAGCAGGAGCAGUGGAAGCAGCAGAAGGAGUAGCAACGGGGAAGAGGAAGCGGGGGAAGCAGUGAGAGGAAGUUUUCACUAUAUUCGUUCGGGGCAUUCUUGGAGUACCUUUUUUAUGCAUUGUUUUAACCUUUCUCUGCUUAAGAGCAAGGAAACUAGUAACCUUUCUCUAGUCAAUAAAUAGAAGUAGACGGGUCAUGGAAGCCGCCUACCACUCCAGGUAGGCGGAACAAACAAUUUUGUUUUUGUUUUUUUUUUUUUUUGUCAUUUUCAAAUCUAUGUACCUUGAAUUCCUAUUCAUCUGUAUGAGUACUUACAGAUAUACGUUCUUGAUUUGUCGCUCAAUUAUUAUUAUUUUUUGGUAAUACCUUUUGGAAAUGGGACUCAAUUGUGGUGAUUUUGACCCCUUGAAACAUUUAGGAUCAUGAAGAAAUCUAAUGGAUUUCCAACGUCAACAUAGAAUAAUCAUUCUCAUGAAGGUUGCUGAUAGUUAAUAUCGGACUCAGGAGUCUGACUUUCCCAGCCAUCUUCUAGCCAGAUACAUCAGUUUCGUAAUGAAGCUAAUCGAAAAUGAGAGCGGGACUUUACGAAUAAUAGGAGGAUAAAGGAGAUCCAGCUUCUUUAUGGCCAUGCUAAGAGAUUGAUUCUCGCUCUGUUCGUGCUGGGGGUGACAGCAACCAUCGGACGCACAAAAUUCUCGACGUGAUUCUUGAUCAGAACCCCAAGCUCGCUAAAGAGCAAGUAAAUGGUGAUCUCAAGCUGUGAUGGAAAUGUUCAGUGUCAAGGCGGACAUGUGAUGCAUUGGCGACCGGCACACCAGAAGAAAUCCUCUUCGUCUUGCGGCUGUGGAAAGCCAGUCCGGCGUUCUGAGGAGCUGGUUCGAGAGAGGCCGAGGGCAGCACGUGAUGGGGUUGUUUAACGGGGAUUUUCAUAGCGUUAGGCAUAAUAACUUGAAAAGGCUUUGAAGCUUUUCAUGGAGACUCCGGGAGAUCACGACACGAACAAUUUCGGUCAUAGCAUAUUGCACUGGACUUUUCUCAGAGAAAGGCACCAAUCAUACUUUUUGGGACGCUCUUAGCCCAAACCAUAAAGAGAAACAGAUAAAGACAGCAAAUUUUAGACUUGGGGUAGGGAUAAAUUUGGUCAAUCAUUUGCCCUUCCAAAAAUAUCUAUCUCUUUAUUGGCUUUUUAUCCUUUUACAGGUCUAAAUAUUCGCAGAAUUGAUAUGUUGUCCUAAGCAUGACGUUAAAAUCUUCAUCUCAAGUCUCGUCUAGACUUCGGAAUCCUUGGAUUUAAAACACUUAGUUGCGCUUGGCAACCAAGAUGAAAUUCAGGAUAAGAUCAAAUUUAUUAUAUCUUGUAUUUGGUGUCUACUCAAAACAGGAUAAAUCAGGAUAUGAGGGAAAAAUAGACUAGAUAAAAUUAUCACAUGGGGAGGUAGAAUAAAGGUAAAUAAAAUUACUAGCAUCCAUAAUUAGAAAGUUAUUUUUCUCAAAUUAUGGACUUUUUAAAUUAACAAAAUUAAAAUUAUAUCUCAAUAUAAAUAUUAUUUGAAUUCUAAUGUAAGAAAUUUAAAAUAACCAAAAAAUAAUAAUUUAGUUAUUUUAAUUUAAUCUUAUUUUCAUUUAUAUAUUCGAAUUUAAUUAUAUUUUAUAAAUUAAUAUAAAUAUAAAUAUAAAUAUAAAUAUAUAUUUAUUAUAUAUUUUAAGUAUAUUAGUACAGUUUACUAUUUAAUAAAAUUUUAUUAGAGAAUGAUGGGAGGGGAAAAAUAAAAAAGAAAUUAAUUGAUAAAAGAGAUGAAAAUAAAACAAGAGUGUCAUGAGAGAUAGUUAUUUUUAUCGCAUGACAAAUUUUUUAAAUUAAAAAAAUUAAAAUAAAGCAAGAGUGUCACGAGAAAUAGUUAUUUUUCUCGCAUGGCAAAUUUUUUAAAUUAACAAAAUUAAAUUAAUAUAUCAAUAUAAAUAAUAUUUGGAUUCUAAUAUAAGAAAUUCAAAAUAACAAAAAAAAAAUUAAUUAUUUCAAUAUAAUCUUAUUUUUAUUUGUAUAUAUCUGAAUUUAAUUAUAUUUUAUAAAUAAGUUCAAUAUAUAAAUUUAUAUAUAUUUAUAUCUAUAUUUUAGGUAUUUUAGUAUUUUGGUUUUAAUAGUACAAUCUAAUGUUUAAUAAAAUUUUAUUAGAGAAUGACGGGAGGGGAAGAAAAAAUUAAAAAAAAAGAUAUUAUAAAAGAAAGGAAAAUAAAAUAAAGUAAGCAAGAGCGUCGCAAGAGAUUUUUACUAUCCCCAUUCAUAAAAUUUUUGGUUCAUUUUUACUAAUACGCAGUUUAUGCUAAAUAAUGUAUAUGAUAUGAUGUGAAUAUAUCCGAUUUUAUUGUUGUAAUCACCAAAUAGUAGUUAUAAUAUAUCAAAAUCAUUUGAAUUUCAUAUCCUACCUAUCCAAUCAUAUCCUAAUGAAAAAUCCGAACGACCAAAUGUAACCUUAGAGAGUACUAUCAAAUCUAAAGUAGGAAAAAGAUAUUGUACCAAUUAGGGGUAUUAGGCAUGCGAAAACCGAUAUAUUAAAAUAAGGAAAGCAUUCUAAUUGCCUACCCCAUAAUGCCCCAUAAGAUAGGGACAAGCGUGGGAGGCCCUCGUGGAAAACAAAUUGCCAUUCCUUGGUGAGGUAACCCUUCAACCGCAUCAAGGAUCCAAGGAAGCCCCUAAUUGAAGGUUUUUCUUGAAAAAGACUGCAUAUUCCAUUCUUUACCUUUGGUCCUCCAUUUACUAAUUAUUUGGAAAUACUUUCUAUUUGAGUAUCAAAUAUAACAAAUAAAAAAAAAACAACUAUUAUUAGUCUUGGUGCAUAUGAUUGUCGUCAAAUUGCGUGACCCUUGUAAGUCACUAUGAAGUUAAAAUUUGUAUUAUGACAAGAAAAGGUUAUAAAAUUCCUUGACAUAUAACAUAUAAUAAUGUACGGCAAGACCAAUAUUAGGAAUUUGUUUGAUGGCGGAUAUAAUUCGUGGAAGGUUUUAGUUCCAGGAAAGAUAUGCAAAAUAAAUUUAAGAAUUAUGAGAAAAUAGCAAUAAAAGAUGCUGAGAAAGGUUUAGAAAAUUAGAACGUACCACAAACUUUGAAUAUAGAAUAGAUGACCCGAUUAAGGUCGUUGGAAAAAACAAUCUUGGUGAUCGGAAAUGAUGAAACUUUUCCAUAAUUUCCAAAAGCGAUGUCGAAAUAAACAAAAGGAAAGUGAAUCCGAAUUUUGUUUUCAAUUGGUUAUUCUAUAGGGUAAAAAAGAGGAAAGUAUGAAUGACCCAGAAAAUCAUUAUACUACUUACAUUGUGGCAUAUGGGAAACCCCAAAGAUCAAUAAUUUUCCGGCGGUAGAAUUAAAAAAUUUAGGAGAGGACACUAAAGUAAUCACCAUAAAAAGGUGAGUGGCAAGAAAAGAGAAUGGAGUAAAACCUGCCUGCUAUUUGAAAAGAAGGGAAUGCAGGAAGAGAACAAAGAUAAAUAUAGUAAACUAUACUUGGGAGUCACUGGGUAAACAACCCAGCAGAAUGGAAACAAAACACUACGGGAGAGAAUUACCAAAAAUCUUGUUCUUAAUGCUGGUCAGCCUGUUUUAUCGACCUUGGUUUCGGCACAUACUUUAUGAUGAGAUAUAAAAAUGAACAUUUUACGGCAUGCUAUUUCAAAAACCGAAUGAGGCUCUAGAUAUUUUUCAACCAUUUAAGUGCUGCAAUAAAAGUGCAUUGAGAAUAUACGCAUCCGACAUAAUUUUAUUAUUGUUAUAUUACAUAUGGCAGCAAUGUGGCAUUGUGUUAUUUGAUUUGUACUCAUUGUCAGCCUACACGUGACGAGAAUAUGAGAUAUGAACAUUCAUACAGAAUGAUUCUGUUUUGGGAUUAUAAUCAUGACCGAUAUAAUUUUUGAGGCAUAAUCAUAACCGAUAUAGUUUUCAAGCUUUAUCACCUAGCAAAGUGGGACCCUAGGGUUCUCGAUAUAGCAAUUGAUUUUUAGUUUAUGCCAAAUAUUAUCGAUUUAUACUGGCAUUCAUAUGGAAAUUAAUGUUGCACCUAGUUAUUGAUUGCUUGUUCGUUGUGAGUGCAUAUCUUUCUUAAUUUGCAUUAUUCUUAGCUCGAUCCGAUAGAAGUGGUAUUAGUCACUUGCUGAGCCGUGAUAUUGCUUGCCCCUUUUUAACUUCUCUAGAUUGUGAGGCUGAGGAUUCAUGAACGAUGAUUUUUGUAGUAAUUUUGAAAUGAUAUUAGAAACUUGUCAAUAGUUUUUGUUUGAGGAUUUUGUCUUUAUAAUUAUCGGUUCAAUUUUAAAGAAGAGUCUAAAAUGAUUAUGAUUAUAUAUUAGAGAAGAGUCUAAAGUAAUUAUGACUAUUUUAAAUGAGAACCUAAUCUCGUCAUCUCGGCAAAAUAUUCCAACCAAUUAGAGAUGUGUGUGAACAUAUGGGCAAUUUUUUAAGGAAAGCACUAUGGGCCCUUAUUUAAGAAAAUAAGAAUACUUUGGAUUUUUAUUUGAAAUUUUCCCUAAUAUUGAGCUUUUCCAAAAAUAUAUUUGUCAAAUUGAAUUUCCUUUUUUAAAACCAAACAACAACUUAGUGCUUCCUAUCGUACACACGUGGAUCGAAAUGCUGACGUGGCAAACCACAUCAACGCCGUAUGUUGUUGAUUAGUUUAACAGUAAGAGAGAGAGAGAGAGAGAGAGAGAGAGAGAGAGAGAGAGAGAGAGAGAGGGGAUUGUCAGGAUUGUCCAAGCACCAGCAAGGGCCGGCAACCCUUACCAACUAAGGCGACCUGACAGCGUUGUCAUCAAUUGAGUUGAACUAUUUUCUUUUUGUCAAAGAAAGAAUGGCAAUACCACAAAAAGCUCUAAAUUAUGUCAAUUAUGAUACAAAUACCCCGAUUAUAUCGCAAAAGAUUAUAAACUUAAUCAUUAUGACACACUAAUGCCCAAUUUUUUCUUUCAAGAAAAAAAUUGAACUUAUAUAAUUUAUUUCGGUUAUAUCCAUAGUAUAUUUAUCACGCUAGUAUAAAUUUGGAAUUUUUUAUGUUAUGAAAAUAUUUGAGGUGUUUGUUUCACAAUUGGCAAAUUUAGGAUUUAGGGUAUUAGUAUCACAGUAUAUAUAAUUUAGAUCUUGUUUAUAGUAUUAAUCUAAAAAGAAUUGGACCAAUUAGCUAUGGUCUUUGGAAUAGUUUGGAAUCUUGGGAAUGUGGAAGUUCAUUUGAUGCUUCUUUGUUCCUUGUACCUAUGAGCCACGGAAUACUUAGAGUUGAUUUUGAGGUCAGGGAAGGAAGAUUGGAGAGUGAAAAUUAGGGGAGGUGAUUUGGAAAUUAUGUCAAGAAAAUAUCAGCAUCUCAUACGGAUUGGGAGGGAAUUGAAGAUCUAUGUGGCCAUUCUCGUUGAAGUUCUUUCUUGAUUUUUGCAUCUCACAUUUGUUGAAGAUCUGCGCGCAAUGUCACUUGGGGUGUUCAGGCGAGGUGUUGUCACCGCUGUCGGCUGCCAUUGUGAUGGCGAUCGUGACCGUUGCAUAUAUUCUUUUUCUCUCUCCACAUUUUUAUGUUCAAUGAUGGAGGUAUGCUAUUUGAACAAUGGAUAUUCAUCCAUGAACACCUACUAUUGCUAGCCAUGGACUUGAACUAGGGAAUCAAAAGAUAGGUCCAAGAUCUNNNNNNNNNNNNNNNNNNNNNNNNNNNNNNNNNNNNNNNNNNNNNNNNNNNNNNNNNNNNNNNNNNNNNNNNNNNNNNNNNNNNNNNNNNNNNNNNNNNNNNNNNNNNNNNNNNNNNNNNNNNNNNNNNNNNNNNNNNNNNNNNNNNNNNNNNNNNNNNNNNNNNNNNNNNNNNNNNNNNNNNNNNNNNNNNNNNNNNNNNNNNNNNNNNNNNNNNNNNNNNNNNNNNNNNNNNNNNNNNNNNNNNNNNNNNNNNNNNNNNNNNNNNNNNNNNNNNNNNNNNNNNNNNNNNNNNNNNNNNNNNNNNNNNNNNNNNNNNNNNNNNNNNNNNNNNNNNNNNNNNNNNNNNNNNNNNNNNNNNACUCCUUUUUGGGGAGAUUAGUGGAGAUUUGCCAAUCCUAAUUGGCAAUUGAUUAGUGAAGAAUUGCCUUUGGAUUGUGAUGCCCCAAUACGACACGGCUAAUGUAGUCACUAACUUUUUAAGUAUGCAAAAGUGUGUAUGAUUAAAGAACACUAGGACCUAUAAAAUUUCAAAGGGACACACGCGGAAAUGCAAACUAGGUAAUCUCAUUUCAUUUCUAUUUCUAUAUAUCUUAGGUGACAGGGUUGGGGUACACUAGAGGAUGAGCAAAAGGUAUGACUACUUCGUACCAAACCCAAAAGCUCCAACAGCCGCAUCAUCCCAACUUGAAUACUACAUAUGUACUAUGUCAUUUAUCUUCCAUCCACAAUACGUCCAAAAAUCUUGGCCUGGUUUUCCUAAAAUGCUACUGAUCUGAGAAGUAAUGAUCAACCAUGAGUGAGCACAAAGCUCAACAAGCAAACUAUUAACCUGUUUAUACCAUCACAUAUGAGGAAGUUUAAAUAUAAAUGAUAGAAGUCAUUAAUAUAUCAAUUUACCUAAGAACCUUUCUCAAAAUUAGAAUAGCAAAUAGAAAAGAUUUCCUCUGAAAAUAAUAACACCAAUAAAACUUGAAUAAAAUCUAAAAUUGCAAUCGAUCAUCUUUACUGUGGAUUGACUGUCACCAUCUUCCGAGGAACUCUAUUACCCUCCGGCAUCUCGUACCCAUCCGACAUUGUGAGAUCAUCUGGAAGAACCGUGUUACACCCGCUAGGCACUCGAAGGAAUCCAUUUACCCCUCCAAGCAUCCCUACUACAACUCAAGGCAUCGUCUUCCUAAGAACCGAUGGCAUUUCCAAAUCACACACUUAUAGCAUAGUACAACAAUUCCGCGAUUCAAGUGAAACAUGUCAUCCAAUGAGUUAAAACACAGAGACCCAUUCAACUUCACAAUCAUCAAUCUAUUGUCCAUUUGAAAACCAGAAAAAUGAUGUAGGACGGUCGGUUAUUUAGUAUUCACCAAAAACAAGUGCAGGGGGAAAUUACAAAGUCCCAAAAUCAAUCAAAAAGGCAUUUUGUCCAUCCUUAGAAAUCAACGGUAUUCACCAAUCAAAUCCACUAAAAAAAUCAUAGAAGUUUAACGGGAUGUGGAUGAGACUCUGAGGAACAUUUUUCACGGAGGACUCGAGGUCCGGUUUAGCUUGUAAAACUCCCAAUAAUUUUCUGAAAUUCUAAUCAUAAUGGAGCACAAUUCCAGAUUGCAGUCAGAUAAGGAAAUCACAUUUUGGACAUCUAAAUGAACUCCAAAAAAUCAUGGAAAAAUUCCACAUUAUAGUUUAAGAUGCGAUCUACAACUUUUGUGAAGGACACAAGUUCAAAUUGUUUCUCAAAAAUGCAGUACAAAAUGAAAAAUGAACUCGAAAAUGGCUUACAAAAAUAGUUUCGGACCUGAACAGUUUUUGAAAUAUAAUUUGUACACACAAAGUCAGAAAAAUCUGAAAUUUAAGUAUCUCAUAGAACAAGAAAAAUGCACAACUUUUGUGAAGAAAGUCCUAUAAAAUUUGCAGCAUAGAAAUUGGUCUAAAAUUAGCAAAAUCACCAUGUACAACAAAUCGAACUUUAAAAUAAUUGCGCUCCCGGACUCCAUCCACAAUUUGUGAUAUUCAAACUCAAAUGAUGGAUCGGCAUUUCAACAAUAUAUUAAUAUACUCAAGGGACUAAAUUAUUAAUACUAUUUACACAUGAAUUGUAAGAGUUUUCCUGAUAUAAGCUACGUUAAUUGAGGUUGUAGUUUACCNNNNNNNNNNNNNNNNNNNNNNNNNNNNNNNNNNNNNNNNNNNNNNNNNNNNNNNNNNNNNNNNNNNNNNNNNNNNNNNNNNNNNNNNNNNNNNNNNNNNNNNNNNNNNNNNNNNNNNNNNNNNNNNNNNNNNNNNNNNNNNNNNNNNNNNNNNNNNNNNNNNNNNNNNNNNNNNNNNNNNNNNNNNNNNNNNNNNNNNNNNNNNNNNNNNNNNNNNNNNNNNNNNNNNNNNNNNNNNNNNNNNNNNNNNNNNNNNNNNNNNNNNNNNNNNNNNNNNNNNNNNNNNNNNNNNNNNNNNNNNNNNNNNNNNNNNNNNNNNNNNNNNNNNNNNNNNNNNNNNNNNNNNNNNNNNNNNNNNNNNNNNNNNNNNNNNNNNNNNNNNNNNNNNNNNNNNNNNNNNNNNNNNNNNNNNNNNNNNNNNNNNNNNNNNNNNNNNNNNNNNNNNNNNNNNNNNNNNNNNNNNNNNNNNNNNNNNNNNNNNNNNNNNNNNNNNNNNNNNNNNNNNNNNNNNNNNNNNNNNNNNNNNNNNNNNNNNNNNNNNNNNNNNNNNNNNNNNNNNNNNNNNNNNNNNNNNNNNNNNNNNNNNNNNNNNNNNNNNNNNNNNNNNNNNNNNNNNNNNNNNNNNNNNNNNNNNNNNNNNNNNNNNNNNNNNNNNNNNNNNNNNNNNNNNNNNNNNNNNNNNNNNNNNNNNNNNNNNNNNNNNNNNNNNNNNNNNNNNNNNNNNNNNNNNNNNNNNNNNNNNNNNNNNNNNNNNNNNNNNNNNNNNNNNNNNNNNNNNNNNNNNNNNNNNNNNNNNNNNNNNNNNNNNNNNNNNNNNNNNNNNNNNNNNNNNNNNNNNNNNNNNNNNNNNNNNNNNNNNNNNNNNNNNNNNNNNNNNNNNNNNNNNNNNNNNNNNNNNNNNNNNNNNNNNNNNNNNNNNNNNNNNNNNNNNNNNNNNNNNNNNNNNNNNNNNNNNNNNNNNNNNNNNNNNNNNNNNNNNNNNNNNNNNNNNNNNNNNNNNNNNNNNNNNNNNNNNNNNNNNNNNNNNNNNNNNNNNNNNNNNNNNNNNNNNNNNNNNNNNNNNNNNNNNNNNNNNNNNNNNNNNNNNNNNNNNNNNNNNNNNNNNNNNNNNNNNNNNNNNNNNNNNNNNNNNNNNNNNNNNNNNNNNNNNNNNNNNNNNNNNNNNNNNNNNNNNNNNNNNNNNNNNNNNNNNNNNNNNNNNNNNNNNNNNNNNNNNNNNNNNNNNNNNNNNNNNNNNNNNNNNNNNNNNNNNNNNNNNNNNNNNNNNNNNNNNNNNNNNNNNNNNNNNNNNNNNNNNNNNNNNNNNNNNNNNNNNNNNNNNNNNNNNNNNNNNNNNNNNNNNNNNNNNNNNNNNNNNNNNNNNNNNNNNNNNNNNNNNNNNNNNNNNNNNNNNNNNNNNNNNNNNNNNNNNNNNNNNNNNNNNNNNNNNNNNNNNNNNNNNNNNNNNNNNNNNNNNNNNNNNNNNNNNNNNNNNNNNNNNNNNNNNNNNNNNNNNNNNNNNNNNNNNNNNNNNNNNNNNNNNNNNNNNNNNNNNNNNNNNNNNNNNNNNNNNNNNNNNNNNNNNNNNNNNNNNNNNNNNNNNNNNNNNNNNNNNNNNNNNNNNNNNNNNNNNNNNNNNNNNNNNNNNNNNNNNNNNNNNNNNNNNNNNNNNNNNNNNNNNNNNNNNNNNNNNNNNNNNNNNNNNNNNNNNNNNNNNNNNNNNNNNNNNNNNNNNNNNNNNNNNNNNNNNNNNNNNNNNNNNNNNNNNNNNNNNNNNNNNNNNNNNNNNNNNNNNNNNNNNNNNNNNNNNNNNNNNNNNNNNNNNNNNNNNNNNNNNNNNNNNNNNNNNNNNNNNNNNNNNNNNNNNNNNNNNNNNNNNNNNNNNNNNNNNNNNNNNNNNNNNNNNNNNNNNNNNNNNNNNNNNNNNNNNNNNNNNNNNNNNNNNNNNNNNNNNNNNNNNNNNNNNNNNNNNNNNNNNNNNNNNNNNNNNNNNNNNNNNNNNNNNNNNNNNNNNNNNNNNNNNNNNNNNNNNNNNNNNNNNNNNNNNNNNNNNNNNNNNNNNNNNNNNNNNNNNNNNNNNNNNNNNNNNNNNNNNNNNNNNNNNNNNNNNNNNNNNNNNNNNNNNNNNNNNNNNNNNNNNNNNNNNNNNNNNNNNNNNNNNNNNNNNNNNNNNNNNNNNNNNNNNNNNNNNNNNNNNNNNNNNNNNNNNNNNNNNNNNNNNNNNNNNNNNNNNNNNNNNNNNNNNNNNNNNNNNNNNNNNNNNNNNNNNNNNNNNNNNNNNNNNNNNNNNNNNNNNNNNNNNNNNNNNNNNNNNNNNNNNNNNNNNNNNNNNNNNNNNNNNNNNNNNNNNNNNNNNNNNNNNNNNNNNNNNNNNNNNNNNNNNNNNNNNNNNNNNNNNNNNNNNNNNNNNNNNNNNNNNNNNNNNNNNNNNNNNNNNNNNNNNNNNNNNNNNNNNNNNNNNNNNNNNNNNNNNNNNNNNNNNNNNNNNNNNNNNNNNNNNNNNNNNNNNNNNNNNNNNNNNNNNNNNNNNNNNNNNNNNNNNNNNNNNNNNNNNNNNNNNNNNNNNNNNNNNNNNNNNNNNNNNNNNNNNNNNNNNNNNNNNNNNNNNNNNNNNNNNNNNNNNNNNNNNNNNNNNNNNNNNNNNNNNNNNNNNNNNNNNNNNNNNNNNNNNNNNNNNNNNNNNNNNNNNNNNNNNNNNNNNNNNNNNNNNNNNNNNNNNNNNNNNNNNNNNNNNNNNNNNNNNNNNNNNNNNNNNNNNNNNNNNNNNNNNNNNNNNNNNNNNNNNNNNNNNNNNNNNNNNNNNNNNNNNNNNNNNNNNNNNNNNNNNNNNNNNNNNNNNNNNNNNNNNNNNNNNNNNNNNNNNNNNNNNNNNNNNNNNNNNNNNNNNNNNNNNNNNNNNNNNNNNNNNNNNNNNNNNNNNNNNNNNNNNNNNNNNNNNNNNNNNNNNNNNNNNNNNNNNNNNNNNNNNUAAUAAUAGCCUAGAAUUAAUUUACACGAAAAAUAUUAAAUAAUAUCAUUCAUUAUUUUAAUUUGUUACAAUAAUACACAAAACUUAGAGGAAAAAAUAUUAUUUAAAGAAAAAUGCUGAAAUGAUAUUUUGAAAUUUAUUUAUUUAUCAUAUAUAGCAUUUUUUAUUACUUCUUUCAUAGUAAAAGACUUUAAAAAUAAAAAUAAAACAUUUCUAAAAAAACAAAACUGAAAAAAAAAAAGACCUUGUACGUGUAUAUUUAUAGCAAUUUUAUUACUUCUUUGAUUAAUUCUUAUGUGUAUAUUUAUAUUUUGACCCCUCAAGUAUUAGAAAUUUUUAAAAUUGACCCCGCACGUGUCGGAAUCACGUGUCGGAAUUCUGGACUUAUGUGUCGGAGCGUGUCGAAAAGAGUUGACCACGUGUCGGAUUUUUCGACACUCGUUGACUGCGUAUUGAGAUGUGUCGGAGCGUGUCAGACACGUGUCAGAGUGUCGGACACGACAUGAAGGCUUCCGGAGAGUGUUCGUGCUACAUAGCUCGUGACAUAACCAAUGUUGACCGGAUCUCAAUUGGUUUGACUAAUGACCCGACCUCGGUUGACCGGUCGGAUCGUCGGUCCGAUCAAACCGUUGACCGGUCAGACCGGUUUCUGGCCGGCUCAAUAGGGAGGCGCAUGGAACUCAUGCGCCACGCAUUCCGUCAACAUGUGAGGGUGUGUGCAGCAUUAGAUUGGAGCGUGGUUUGCAUCGCUGUGCUCGUAUGGAGGUUCUCUACAUUGUGAUGUGUUUAUUUUAUAUGUUUGAUGAUUUUAUGGAUAUGAAAAUACAUGUGGAACCCUAAAGUACGUGAUUUUUAAGGUAUUUUGGGUAUUUUUCAUGUAUUUCUCUAAGGUUUCAUAAAUACGUUAUAAACUAACAUGUAUAUCAUCACAUAAAGAUAGUGUAGAGCAUUGAUUCAUUAAUGACAUGUAUAAGGUUCAGCAUGUGCUAAUGAAUAGAGCAAUGUAAGGCCCCGUUUGUUUGUAUUUCUUUUUUGUGUUUUUAAACACUUUUUUCUGUUUUUUUGUUCCUGGGAACAAAAAAAGAACAGAAACGCGUUUGGGUGCGUUUCUGUUCCUUUUUUGUUCUUUUGUUCCCAGGAACAAAAAAGAAACAGAAACAAGAAACACAAAUUUUGUGUUUCUUGUUUCUGGAACACAAAUCAGAAACACUUUUGUUUUUCUUUUUCUCUAUUUUUUUUUGUUCUUCUUUCUUUUGGCCGGUUGCCGGCCUCGUCCAUGACCAGCAACCGGCCGACGAGGGCCGGAAGAAUCUCCCAAACACGGCUAGGCUCGCCGGCCCCCUGCGAGGCCGACGCUCGCCGUCACCCGGUGAGACCGACGCUCGCCAUAACUGGGCUAGGGUCUGCCUCGCUGAGAUACACUAUACUCAUAUCCAGCGAGGAGGAACUCCGAUGACGUUGAGGCGAUGAAUACGUCGAAAUAGAGGGAGUAUAAGAACGAGACUCUAUUUUUGCGUGACAUGUAAAGAUGGGUAUCGGCGUACAUGGGUUUGGCUGAAAAAGCCUUUUGCUAAUUUUACUAGUGAUCCACGAAUGGGGACUGCUGAUCAACCUUCAANNNNNNNNNNNNNNNNNNNNNNNNNNNNNNNNNNNNNNNNNNNNNNNNNNNNNNNNNNNNNNNNNNNNNNNNNNNNNNNNNNNNNNNNNNNNNNNNNNNNNNNNNNNNNNNNNNNNNNNNNNNNNNNNNNNNNNNNNNNNNNNNNNNNNNNNNNNNNNNNNNNNNNNNNNNNNNNNNNNNNNNNNNNNNNNNNNNNNNNNNNNNCUCGGCCUCGCCUGGCGGUGGCCCGGCGAGGCCGCGCCUCGCCCGCCGCUGGUCUAGCUCGGCCCUCGCCGGCGACCGGCCAAAAGAAGAAAAAAAAAUGAAAAACAAAAAAGAAAAAAAGGAAAAAUAAGAAAAAAAUAGAAAAAAUAAAAGAAAUAAAAAAAUUAUCCAAAUUUACCAAACAUGUUUCUGUUUAUUUUUUAUUCCCGGAACAAGUUUACCAAACGCGUAUUUUUGUUCAAAAAUUGUUCCCUGGAACAUAAAUACUUUUUUCUAUUUCUAUUCCCUGGAACAAUUUUUAAACAUAAACACAACCAAACGCGCCCUAAUUGGCAUAACAUGUUGUUUUAGUGACAAAUUGCCCCGUCAUUUGGUCUAAAAUUACAUGUAUAAGAUGAAUGUGAGUCAUAAGUUUAUAUCUCUAGUAUAAAAGAAUUUCAAUGAUUCCAUUGUCUUGUAACUACCAAAAUGGCACACUUGAUUGGAUUUAAGAAAUAUCGGUCUCAUAUUAUGAUGUGAUGUAUGCUGUUCUAAUCGAUGGUUAAUUCCUAAAUGAGAUAAUUGGGUGUUGGUUCAUGGAGAGAUGCAUGUACAACAUAUAGUUGGGGAGUGACUGACCUUAAUGUUUUAUAUACCCAAAUGUGGUGAAUUCGCAAAAAGUUAGAAUAUAUUCUUAUAACCGCUGUCAUGUGGAGAGCAUAUAAUUGCAUGUUAUGUAUUCUGCUCAAAGAUGUUUAUAUGAUGAUACGUGUAGCUCUUGGGAUGUGUACUUAUAUGGUUUUCAAGUUACACAAUACUCACAUGAUACCAAUUGCAUAUACUGCUUGUCAUUAAGUUACAUUAUUUGUAAUGACAACUCCGUUGUGAUUGAGAUUCUUACUGGGUCAAAUUUUAGGUAAUGUAAGGAGGAUUUUCUGUUUGGAAUGAAGCUGGUAGAUGUUUAUAUUACUCUUACAAAGAAUAAGCUUGCAAUUUCAUUGUUAGUGAUAUGAAACUAGAAAGUACUUGUCGCCGCUUAGGAAAAGGAAAAUUGAAUUUUUCCGUUAUCCAUGAAGCGUUCCAUUGGGAACACUCGAAAAUGGUUUACCAGCUGACUACAUUGCUAAAAGGAUGAUGGAAGUUUUAGUAGCUUGAAAUUGUGUUUUGUCUAAUUCUGAGAUUGAGAUAAAUGUAAGGACUCUUCAACAUAAGGUGUAAUGAUUAUGAAGAGGUUAAGGAUUACAUCCUAAGGAUGGUAGAUUUGAAGUUCAAAAUCAUACUCAUAAAGGAACUCAUGAAACCACUGGUUAUUCUGUCAAUCUGGUAUGAUGAUAGCACCUUUUAAAAGAAAUUAUGUCAUUCACUACUCUUGUGGAAAAGAAAUGACACAUAAGGAACACUGUAAUGAAUAUAAAGCUUGGUUGUCUAAGCGUAAGUCUGGAGUUGAUGAUUCCUUAGCAUUCAUUUAUGAAUCCAAUUCCUAUUAAAAGCUUCAUUCGGUUCUUGGUGGCUAGAUUACCAUAAGGGGAUUAAUAAAUCUAAAGAAGCUAAAUCUUGAUGAAUCAUAACUCAUCAUGAGAAACAACAUUUAACGAUGAUUUAGUGGAAGGUAUUGUUUUGACUAUGCAUUCUGGAUUCUGGUUUGCAUUUAAUGUUGAGAAGCACUUUAUAUACAUUUCUUUAGACGAAACUUAAUUUCUAUAUCAUGUCUGGAAAUGUGUGGCUACUCUCUUGAAGUAUAGAAUAAUGCCGUUUCUCUAUUUUUGAAGUCAAAUAAAGUCGAACGCUACAAUAUAUGAAAUGUAUUAUACUAAUUGUGCUGAUCUCCCAAUAAUAUGUACGUCGUUUUUAUAGUUAAAAAAAUUGUUUUCAAUAAAUCUUAUCUAGGGAACAGUCUUAUACAUUGUGGCAUAAAAAUUUUGAUCAUAGAAAGAUUGAUAAUGUUAUAUAGAAUUUUUUUUUUCAACAUAGUCAUUGAAGACUAUUUUUUUAAAGAAAAGUCUGAAUCUUUUGAUAGAUUCAAGUUCUUUUAGACUAAAAUUAAGAAACAAUUGGGAUAAGUUUUAAAGAUUGUCAAAUAUGACUGCAUAUUUUGACAAGUAUGGCAAUAUUGGAUAAUUUAAAGGGUCACUUUGUCAAAUACUUGGAAAGAUUCUGGAAUGGUAACUUAAGGCACAUUUGGUAAUAUUUCUAUUUAAAAACUGUUCUAGGAAACAGAAAUAGAAAAAAGUGUUUCUGUUCCGGAAAAUAAUUUUUGAACAAAAAAACACAUUUGGUAAACUUGUUCUGGAAAUAAAAUAUGAACAGAAACGCGUUUGGUAAAUUUGUAUAAUUUUUUUAUUUAUUUUAUUUUUUAAUAUUUUUAUUUUAUUUUUUCUAUUUUAUUUUUUAUUUUCUUAUUUAUUUUUCCUUUUUUUCUUUUUCCUUUUUUCUUCUUUUGGUCGGUCGCCGGCCUCAGCCAUGGCCGGCGACCCGCCGACGAGGGCCGGCGGCCUCGCCGUAGCUAGGCGAGGCUCGGCCUUGCCUUGGCUGGGCGAGUUCGGCCUCGCCGGGAUUUGGGCGAGCUCGACUCGCCGGGGGCUGGCGACGCUCCGGCGAGGUCGCCGGCCCUCGACGGCCGGUUGCCAACCCUAGUCGAGGUCAGCGACCAGCCAAAGAAAGCCAAAGAAAAAGACGAAAAAAAAAAAGAAGAGAAAAAAGAGAGAAGAAAAUGGAAAGUGUUUCUAAUUUUUGUUCCAGAAACAAGAGACAACUUUUUUUUUUGUUUCUUGUUUCUGUUCCAGAUGUGUUUCUGGGAACAAAAAAAAUAAAUUUUGGAACAAAAACGCAAACAAAUGCGUUUCUGUUCCUUUUUUGUUCCCAGGAACAAAAAAACAGAAAAAGUGUUUAGAAACAGAAAAAAGAAAUAAAAACAAACGUAGCCUUAAUUUACUACGCCCAAAAAUCUUGAAAAAAUUGGUGUGGCCGAAAGGCAUAAUUGCAUCAUAAUGGACAUAAUAGUGAGUAUGAUUAUUAGGACUAAUUUAUCAAGUUUUCUGGAACGAAACAACACAAUAUGCAUUACACCGAAUUUCUACCAAAAAUAUUUUAAAUCGUUUUGAGUCAUGGGCUGGACGUAAACUUAUCUUGAACCAUCUUAAGGUUUGAAAUGUCCUGUAGAAAUGAUGUUAUAUGAUCCAACAUUAAGUAAGUUGAAGUGUAGAAUCCCUCGGUGUUAUUUCGUAUCUUACCUAGGUCAUUCAAAGGGAUAUCGAUUCUAUGAUCCCAAUGAAGAUACAAGAAUUGUGGGAUCACAGACAACAUAACAGGGUGGGUCGGGUACAAGGUCCAAUACAAACAUGGUCGGAUAUAAGGUCCAGAAAAAAGGAACCGGUUAUAACAGGGUUGAGUAUAGGAUUCAGGUCUAAACUUUACCCACCCUAGACCCAAUUACCCCUAACAAUCGGGGACAAGGGGUGCCCCACUUUGUCGGGAACAUACAUCUUAUGCUUUUCCCACAGGACAAACAUUGAAUCGGUAGAGAAGAGCAACAUUUUUCACGUCCGAAAGAUAGUGAUGCCCCCAUUGAAAGAGAGAUCUUUUUAAUUAAAACCCAAAAAAGAUGCAGCGAAUUUAUUAUUUUUCCCCAUAUUGGCCACCAACAAAGAAUAGAAUCCGAUCAUCACGUCCAUUCAAUUAACAAUGUGGGGAAAAAAUUAAAAAAUUUAAAAAAUAUUAUCAAACGUUGUCAACGCCAGAACCAACUAUGACGUAGGAUGGCCAGUGGAGAAGUAUUAACAUUAGCAAUUUGUAGGUCAAAGCUAGUUAGAUUGACUUGAUGGCAAAUCGUAAAGAGAUUUUGUGAUAAUCAACAAAAUUAAAAGGUUUAUGACUAAAUUAAUAAAAAAGAAAUUUUUGGGAUAAUUUUCUCAUUUUUUAUGUAAUAUGUAAGCUUGUAAAUUUGUUUUGGAAGAAGAAGAAGAAGAAGAAGAAGAAGAAGAAAGGCCAAAAAGAAAAGGGGGCGGGCAGAUAGACCGGAGACGUGAUUUGAGAGAAAGGCCAAGAAGAAAAAGGGGGCGGGUAGAUAGACCGGAGACGUGAUUUGAGAUCGGGCCAUGUUUGUUUUGCUAAAGCCCCCUUUUCUAGCUCGUGGCCCUUUUCAAAGGCUUUGGAGGCGGUUUCAUCUUCGCACGUGGGGAAUAGAUUCUUUGCUCUCUCCGUAUAUAAUUUCCAAUAGCCGUUAAGGUAAAGUCUUUCAACAUAAAAAUAAAAAUAAAUAAAUAAAAAACUGAAUUGAUGUCAUGAUCUAGUUAGAAAACCCAAUGAGAACAAGACAAAAGUUAAAGGGAGCUAUGUUCCAAUUGUAGUUUGAGCAUCCCUAGAGGAAUAUCACUGGAGUUGACCAAAAGAAGUAGCUAAAAAGAAAGAAAAAGAAAACGAUUAACGAUACACUUGCUGUUCCUUUUUCCAAUUGCUAAAGCAUGGGCUCGGCAUGUCUUAUUACAUCCUAUGUAGCACCGACACGGACACGUGACACGUGACACGACACGACACGACACGUCGACACGUCAUUUCUUAAAAAUAGAGAAUUUCGACACGUUCCGAUACGUUAUAUAUUAUAUAUAUUUUUAUAUAUAAAUACAUAAAUAAAUAAUAAUAAAAAUAGCCUAGAAUUAAUUUACACAAAAAUUAUUAAAUAACAGAAAAUUACACAAAUAACCUUUGAACUUUAGUAGAAUAUGUAAUGUUGCUUCUAAGCGUGUUUGAUGCGAUAUAUAUUUUGAUUCAUAUGCAACACCAUCAAUGAAUUUUACUUGAUUCAAUAUGAUCAUGGAUUUUGAUCUAAUUUUNNNNNNNNNNNNNNNNNNNNNNNNNNNNNNNNNNNNNNNNNNNNNNNNNNNNNNNNNNNNNNNNNNNNNNNNNNNNNNNNNNNNNNNNNNNNNNNNNNNNAGAUUAUACUAAACAUUAUUAAUAAUUUACGGACCGUAUUAAACAAAUUAAAAGUUGAGAGACGAUAUUACACAUUGAUCAAAAGUUCAAAAAUCAUUUGUGCAAUUAUCUCUCUCUUUUUAAACUUCGAUUACUUCUUUUUCUCAAUCUAUAUCUUAAUCUCUAUCAAUAGCCUAGUCUCUUUCCCCCUUUUUCCUUGGUUUUCAACUUCUUUUUUUGUAAUGUGUUAUGUUCAAUUGACAUUAAAAAAAUUAUUCAACCGUAAUUUAGGCAUAUGAUGGCAUCAAUGUUGAACAUCCGUAAAUUUUUCUAAAGUCGGAAAUAGGGUAUUAGUAUUUGAAUAUCGGCGCAUCGAUUUGGAGCUUUUCGACCACCUAACUAGUCCGCACUAGACCUGAUAGUGUCCAUUUCGAGCAAUCCACUGUGCGUAGAAGUUAUGAUUUUUAACGGCACUAAUCUUUCUUGUGCAAUUUAUAAUAGGCAUCUGUCGGAAUCGAAUGUUUCCUUGAUCUAUGUGUCUAAGUUGUCUAGAGCGAAAUCUUCCGCUUUGAUAAUGCCCCAUCUAAUGGUAGAGAUUUGUUAAGCCAUCAGAAAAGACACCAGAUAUAAAUAGAGACCGUCUUGCUUGAAUCUUGAACUUACUUUAUUUAUCUUUUAGAAACGUUCAUCUAUUAAAUUCUCAAUUCCCCAAUUACCUCACACUGCUAAUACCCAGUGCGACCAUAUACUUUCAUGGCACGCUCAACGAUAUAACGAAUUGAGGGCUUUUAUCCAAUAAACCAGAUCAAAUUUCUUGUGAAUUUAUCCAUACCCAUUUUUCAAACUUCAAAUUACCCUAAAAAUAUCGGAUGUACGACCUCUAACUAAACCGUGACUGUUCACUAAUUUCGUUCUUUUCUUCCCCUUCAAUUCGGCAUAAAUAGUUUCUACAUCUUAGUUCUCAACAACGUACGCACCCAAUCAGUGAUGUCCAUCCGUCGAGACUAAUGAAAAGUCAAGACGAAUCCUUCCCAUCUUGUUUGUCCUAAUUACAUAUUUGAACCAAAUAUACCCCACUCGCUAUCGAUUCUCCUCGAAAUGAUCCUGGUGGUUGCGCUUCUCGGCGGCUUAUUCAAUUCCAAAGAAGGGAGGAUCGUUCAAGAAAAAAUUCCUUGAACCACCUUCCCUUAGGGUUUCUAAUCGUUUUAUGGUGCCCAAAAAUUCGUCCAAUGACCAACGACCAACCAACCAUGUCAUACCAUGUGCGUCGAAAAGCUAAAAGCCAAAAAGCAUCCUGCCACCGUACAUUAAUAGUUAAAUUACACAGCUUCGAUUGCGUGUUUAUCCAACGUAUCAUCCUAAACAUUUUCUCUCUCAUGUGGACUAUACUUAGAGCAAGUCUAUAAAUAGUCUCGCCCCAUUUAAGAUCAAACGCGUCAUUUAUUUGAUGAAUUUAGAGGAUUCAUGUUCGGAAUUCGGAAAAUUGCGAUACGGGUAGCUGUUGGUUGAAUAAGGACGCAUUGAUCUAGGAAUUUCUGGUAAGCGAAACCUUGUUUAAAGUCUCUCUCUGUCGCUCUCCCUAAAAGCUUGAAAAGACCCAUGCCAAUCAAGAUAGCGUCUCUCUCUCGCUUGUGCUUCGAGCCUCCGCUUGACACUGUGCUGCUUCUUCCUGCUCCUGCCCCACUUUGUGAAAAGCAUAUGUUGUCCGUCUGCCGGCAAAGUGCUUGCGAUCCUUCCUCGUGACGACGAAACCACUUUCUGUUUUCGCAGGUUCGCUCGGUGUCCCUUGCGGAUUCGUCUUGCAUCUCCACCCGCGGCCGAAAGUCACUACCAAGAUGAGAUGAGACAAGCCGUGUCACAAAUCUUCAGCCGAAUCAUCGCAGCGUGCACCUCACCGAACCACCACCGUGGCCAUCCUUUAUUUGUGUUUUUGCAUGUGAUUGUGCACUCUGAGCAGAAAUCCCCUUCGCUAAAUCUAUUUGCACACGCCUUCAGCUGCUGGAUGAUCUUUUUUCUUCGCUUUUCGUGUUUGUGUACUGACCACUUACCAUUAACAUGCAGUAUAUUCCCGAGGAUCUCCGUCUUCAUUGGAAUAUCAGUCAUCUGGGUGUGCUCUGCCGCGGAAGCAUUCCAAAAACCUCAGCUCACUUCUUAGGCAGGCCACGCCACACCAAGUUACCAACCUUUUUUUCUUUUCUGGGGGUAGAGAUAGAGGUCUGGAAGUAAUACGCUUCCCAGAUAUGGCACGCUCAAAGGCAGCAUCAGAAGUUCAGUACGAUGUGUUCAUGAGUUUUAGCGGAGCAGAUACUCGUUUUGACUUCACAGACUUCCUCAAUAGAGACUUGAUUAGUGCCAAAAUCCGCGUAUUUAGGGACGAAGAUGCAAUCAAGGUGGGUGAUAAGAUUGGUGAGACAAUUCUACAAGCUAUCGACAACUCCAAAAUCUACAUACCCAUCAUCUCUCAAACUUAUCCUGACCGUAAAUGGUGUCUCAUCGAACUUGAACGGAUGAUGUACAAUGUGUUUAGGUCAAACGGCAAAAAAAGGAUUUUUCCCAUAUUUUAUAAAGUGGAACCUAGGGUUGUUAAACAUCGCACUCCACGCCCAAAAACUCUGUCCUCUGAAGUCGAACUUAGGGCAUUCAAAGAGGCUCUUGCAAAAGUUGGUCAAAUCAAGGGAUGGAAGGUCGAGGAGCGACAAAGGUAAAACUAACUUUAAAAUGCCUGCCUAAUUUUUUUUUUUCUUUUUCUGGCUUCAGGGGAUAAAACAUUGCCCUAUCGAAUCAUUUCUUUUCUUCUUGUUUUUUAAAUGAAAAAUUUUGAAAACUACCUCCAAUUCCAAGUGGUGCUCCUAUUGAACUUUACAUCCUCUACUCGAUAUCUUCCCCAAUAUUUCAGUUGUUAUAGCUAGUGCUGGUGUUGGGGAAUUUGUUACGGGUUUUGGGGUUAUAUAAAUUGUCAUCACCAAAUUGCAAUGUUCAAUGGAUGACUUUGAAUUUGUCUACUUUUUCUCUCUAUUACAAGUGUUGAAAAUCUUUUCCAGGCUUUAGCUAUAAAUAUUGAAAUUUUGCUUGGGCACCGUGUCUUUGAUAAUUUCAGCCAUUGUGUAGACCACUACCAUAUAGAAAAAGGCAUUCGGUGAAUUCAAUUAUGCUAAAUUAGCCUAUACUAAUUAUUAAGUGUAUUUAGAUAUUGUUUAUAACCACGUGCAAUGUGUGGGUAUGAAUUAAAUCUACUCAACUAAUAAAAGCGCUUUUGUGUAUGGUAGCCAAGCAAAAAUUGUUGAUUCGGUCGUUCGAAAGGUUUUGGAGGAGCUAGACAAAAAAGAUGAGUCACAGACUAAGCGGAUUGAGUUUGAUGACUUGACACAGUCACUUGAAGACUCUUAUAAUCACGCAGUGAUGGUACCAUAUCUUCUUCUUCAUCAAUGUACAAUUGAUGCCCAUGAAUGCAUGGAUUUGAAAUUUGAUUUGUUCUAAUCUCGGCUUGAUGCUAUAAUUUGGUAGAACUACACAAAUUGCAAGAAGUUAAAUGUUAUUCCAAAAUUUAAGCAGACAAAAAUAUACUUUCUAAUUAGUUAGUGUUCCUUCAACACGUUCUUUUUAAUUGGAAAUGUUAUCUUUUAUAAAUUAAAUAAGUGCACAAAUAAAAGUCUCGUAAACUGUCAUUUUUAAAUUUAUUUCUUGCCGUACAAUUCAUUGUUGGACGUUGUGUGAUGUGAUGAGUUAUUUUUUCCAUUUUUUUUAUACUAUUUGCAAUAAUCACCCUUUUGAACAUUUACAUUCUUGCGUACUAGCCUGCAGAUUUCGAAAAUGGUUUAUCUUAUCCCGUUCCUUCUCUAGUUUUCCAGUCCACGUAACCAUCAAAUGUUACCUAAAAUCUUGUUGUCCUAAAGCAUAAGGACAGGAGGCUAUUCUCCAAAGGUCGAUUAAUGGCUUUGUAAAGGCUCGACAGAUCCUCCAACCCCAUUCCCCCUCCCACUUUCUGUCUUCACCAGUUCCUCUCAUCUUCUCCGGCGUACUCAAGUUCAAUUUUAGAAUUUUCCCCACAAAAAAAAAGAAACAAAAAAGAUUUUUCGCUUGAUUGCCCUACAAACAGAGACUGGAGUUUUAAAUAUUGACAUGGUAUAAGCUGGCAGUGCACGUGCUACUAUUUUAAUAAGUACUUUUUUCCUAGCUUUCGAUAGUCUCUUUUCCUUUCCUUCCCCUGCCCCACUUCAAGUUUAAAAAUUUCUUCCAUACAAUGAAUUGCAAAAGACAAACCUCAUAUUUUCGAAUAGUGUAUGAAAUUUUACUUACCGUACCACCUUGACUACAGUUUUUGGUUGUCAGUAGGACAAACAUUGCAAGAUACAAAAUAAUCUUUAGGAGCCACACACGUCUAGAUGUUGAUCAUUAUAUGAAGUACAUAGAUGUGGUGGUUCAUAUGUACCGUAGGAAUUAGUCUAGCUAAAUAUUAUCACUAUACUAUACGAAGAAUGUUUACUUUUCUUUUCUUUUCUUUUUCAUAGAAAUAAUUCUAUUGACCCCGAUUUCCGAGUAACUGUAUAAGUAUAAACAAUAUGUUUCCAAAGCAACCUAAUCUGUUCUUGAUUAGAUGAUUAGUGAGAAAAGAUUAGCAUUAUCUUAAUUGUGCAGUGCUUAAAACUUAUGCGGAAGUUCAACGUGGUCCAAGUGCAGCGGUAUCCCGGAAGUGCAGCUAGUACAGGGAGGGGAUCGAGGAAUCUACGCAUAAAUAGGCUGGAGGACGUGUACAUGGAGGAGGGCAGUGGGAGUACAGGGAAGAGAGGGAGCAGUGGAAGUAGCAGAAGAGGGAGGAGCAGUGGAAGCAGCAGAAGGAGUAGCGGGAGGAGCAGUGGAAGCAGCAGCAGCUGGAGAGAGAGGAGCAGGAGCAGUGGAAGCAGCAGAAGUAGCAGCGGGGAAGAGGAAGCGGGGGAAGCGGUGAGAGGAAGUAUUCGUUUGGGGAAUUCUUGGUGUACCUCUUUAAAGCGUUGUGUUUUAACCUCUCUCUGCUUAAGAACAAGGAAACAAGUCAAUAAAUGGAAGUAGAUGGGUUAUGGACGCCGCCUACCUCUCCAGGUCACUAAUACUGCAACUUUAACGGAACAAAAUAUUACAAUUUUCUUUUUCUUUUUCUUUUUUGUCAUUUUCAAAUCUAUGUUCCCUUUUGAAUUCCUAUUCUAUAGUAAGAGUACUUACGGACAUAAGUUCUUGAUUGGUAUCUCAAUUAUUUUUUUGAGGUGAUACAUUUUGGAAAUGCUACUUGAUUGCGGUGAUUUGAUCCUUUGAAACAUUUUGGAUCAUGAAGAAAUCUAAUGGAUUUCCAACGUCAACACAGAAUAAUCACUCUUAUGAAGGGUGCUGAUAGUUAAUAUCGGAUUCAGGAGUUUGACUUUCACAGCCAUCUUCUAGCCAGAUAUAUUACUUUCGUAACGAAGCUCGGAUCUGUCCCUAGAUAAAAAAUGAGAGCAGAAUUUACGAGUAUUGGGAAGAUAAAAGAGCUACAGCUUCUUUCUGGCCAUGCUACGAGAUUGAUCCUCGCUCUAUUCGCGCUGAGGUUCUUAAUCUUAUUAUAGAAAGACCCCACUACAGAUGGCAGCAACCAUCGGACGCAUGAAAUUUCUAGACGGGAUUCUUGAUCGGAAACCCGAACUCGCUAAAGAGCAAUUAAAUGGUGCUCACAAACUGUGACGAAACUGUCGAGUGUCGAGGGGGACAUGUACUGCAUUGGCGACCAGUACAGCAGAAGAAAUCCCCUUCGUCUUGCGGCUGUGGAAUGCCGAUCCGGCAUUUUGAGGAGCUGGUUCGAGAGAGGCCGAGGGCGGCCCGUGAUGAGAUUGUUUAAUUUCAUUGCGUGAGGCAUAAUAAUUCAAAAGGGCUUGGAAGCUUUUCGUGGAGACUCCGGGAGAUCAUGACAUGAGCAAUUUCGGUCGUGUCCAAACCACGAAGAGGGAUAGAUAGAGGCAGCAAAUUUUGGAGUUGGGAUAAAUUUGGCCAUUCAUUUGCCCCUUUCAAAAACAUCUCUCUUUUUAUGGCCUUUUUAUCCUUUUACAGCUCUAAAUAUCUGCAGAAAUGCCAUGAAGAGUACGUUUCGUCCUAAGCAUGAAGUUGAAAGGCUUCAUCUCAAUGCUUAUCUGGAUCUGGAGAUCCCUAGAUGUAAAAUACUCAGAGGGUACUAUCGGGUACAGGAUAAGAAAAAUAUAUUGUAUUGAUUGGAAAGGUGAGGCAAACAAAUACCAACAUAUUAAAAUAAGAAACGCAUCUUGAAAAUCCAGUCCAAAAGAUAGGGACUGGUGCAAGAGGCCCUCGUAGGGAAGAAGUCCCCUUCCUUGGUGAGGAAAUCCUUCAAUCGCAUCAAGGAUCCGAGAGAGCCCCUGGAUGAAGGUUUUUCUUGAAAAGGACUGAAUAUUCCAUUCUUUCCUUUUGUCGUCCAUUAACUAAUUAUUAGGAAAUACUUACUAUUUGAGUAUACAUAACAAGUCGAAAACAAAAAAAAACAAUUGUUAGUCUUGGCGCAUAUGGUCGUCGAAUUGCGUAACCCGUCUAAGUCACUAUGAAGUUAAUAGUUGUAUUAGGACAAGAAAAGGUUAUGAAAGUCCGCGACAGAUAACAUAUAAUAAUGCACGGCAAGACCGAUAUUAGGAAUUUGUUUGAUGGUGGAUAUAAUUCGUGAAUUGGUUCUAGUUCCAAGAAAGCUAUGCAAAAUAAGUUUAAGAAUUAUGAGAAAACAGCAAUAAAAGAUAUUGUACAUUAUGUAUAUAAGAAAAGAGGAACACCUUUGAAAAUAAAUUCACCAAAAAAAAAAAAAAACACCUUUGAAAAUAAGAUAUAUGACCCAAUGAAGGUCGUUGGAAAAAACAAUCUCGGUGAUCGGAAAUGAUGAAACUUUUCCAUAAUUUUCAAAAGCGAUGUCGAAAUAAACAAAAAGUGAAUCCGAAUUUUUUUUUCAAUUGAUUUCUAUGUAGGGGAAAAAAGAGGAAAGUAUGAUUGACCCACAAAAUCAUUAUACAACUAAUAUUGUGGCAUAUGGGAAACCCCAAAGAUCAACCAUUUUUUUGGGGUAGAAUUAAAAAAAAAAAAAAAGGAAAAAUUCCAAAGAAAGAUUUGAAACGCCUUUAUUUUCUUAAAUAAAAGCCUAAAAUGAAUCUUGUUUCAAAUAAGGGCUAAAGUGCCAUCAUCUCUUAAAUAAUGGCCUAAAGUAGAUCCUAUUUUAAAGAAUGGCCUAAAAUGACUAUGUUUAUUUCAAAUAAGAACUUAACUUUCUGGCUUGUCAAAUGCGUUUUAGUUAUUUUUUUUUCUUUUUUUUUUCUUUCUCUAGUUUUUCUUUCUUCUUUGCCGAUGGCUCGGCCACCAACCAUGCCGGAAAGAGCUGGCUGAGGGCGACUCGAUCCAACGAGAGCCGCCCUCACUGAUGCCAACAAGGGACAGCCUCACCUAGGUGAGGCGGCCCCCGCCCUAGGCUAGCUAGGGCUGAUCUUGCCAACGGCUGGCGAGGGAUAGCCUUGCCCUAGGCUAGGCCACCCUCACGGCCAUCGGCAAGGUCACCUCGCUAGUGCCCAGCGAGGAAUGGCCUCACCUAAAAGAGGCAACCCUUGCCUUGGAUGAGGUUGCUUUUGUCAAUAGCCAGCAAGGGUCGUCGAGCCCCCGUCAGCCCCAAACGAGGCCAACCUUCACCGAUUAUGGUUAAUCCAAUAUUUGUCCCAACUCUUAACAAAAGCUUGAAUUUCACUAAUAAAAAAAAAGAACUAAAAUUUGUCCCGAUCCACUAGAGCAAUGUGACAAAAACUAUUUUUCCGGAAAAGGGUCCUUUUUUUUUUUUCCUCUGGGCAGAAUUUAUUCAAGCAUACUAGACAUAUACAGGUGAAAAGCCAAGGCGAAGAACUCAAAAGAUAAUGAAAGUUCUUGCCACUGCAUCCAGUUUAAGAGAAAAUAAUAAUAAUAAUAAUAAUAAUAACAAACAGGUGGAGAUGGGACAGAAGCAAAAGAGUAAAAAAGGACUCUCCAGAAUAAGCACCCAUCUCUUAAGUUAUCCAUCGCUUACCUGAAGGCCAGAAGGCCGGUUCCGGUGCCGCUUAUCAGAGAGAGAGAGAGAGAGAGAGAGCUGCGAGCGUGAGGACGAGAGCAAGAAAUGUUGGGUUACGAGACGGACGCUAGUCGGCGCGAAAACUAUAAGGAGGCCGAGGACUAGGCAAAAUCGACAGCAGAAUUCUAACCAACAAAAAAAAAAAAAAAAAAAAAAAUCGACUGCAGAACUUUUUCUUUUUAAAAUUUGUACGGAAGAAGCAAUAAUCCUUCGCUUUCACAAAAUAUUCAAUCAUGUGCUCUUACUUUUUUUUCCCAAUUAAAAUACAACGUUUUUUUAAUUUAAUUUUCAUGUAUACCUAAUGUUUCUCCGAAAAGUGUCCAUUAAACACCUUUUGAAAUAUGCAUCAAUAUGAGAAUUGACAAAUGAUGUGAAUGGUACUUUGUUGAUUUUUGGACCGUGAAACAUGUAUUGACACAAAUUUUAAAAUUAAAGGUAUAAAAAUCAGAGGCAAUCAUAGCCGGUCAUAUAAAAGGGUACCGAAAUGUAAAGAUAAUAAAAAGAUAAAAUCGAGCAAUAAUUUUGGUAAUUUUUUAGUCGAAUUAUAAUCAUGAUAUUUAUAGCUACUAGUGACUGCAAACAACAGUUACAAAGAAAACAAAUCACAUUUUAUGUUGAGAACGAUUAUAACGAACAACCCAUGUUUCUCGGCCAUUAGCAGUAGUGGCUUUCAAUAUUCACAUCUGAUCGUGCUCAUGCUGGAUAGUUAUAAUUGUAGCCGAAAUCAUUGAUUGGAAGACUUGAACACUUAUAUCGCUCUUGAUUCGUCGAUCUUCGCUUGAACUUCGGUUCUUUUGUCGAUUGAACCACAUUUCACUUACCAACAUUCAGUGACUCAACAGUACCCAAUUCUCUUUUUAUAUCGCGUGUCACCAACUCCUCAUCUCUUCUAUCGAUCGUCUAUGGUUGCCAGCAAAAAGGACUCGGCAGAUUUUUCCUCAUCUAUGUCUUGCUGGUUCUUUCCUCGUGCGAGUCGAUGGUCAAGGACUUGGGCAAUUUUUGGUGUAAACACACACAUAUACGUACAAAAAAGCUAAAAUGGGACAAACCAUGUCAGCGCCACGACAUUACUGCUUAAUCUAGUCGUUGAUGUGGAAAUAAAAAGAAAAUAUUAAACAGAAGGAGAAAUUUUUUUUUUUAAAUGCUGGAAAAUCAUUCAGAUUGUUCUAUAUCUUUUUAAGGUUUUUCGUUGCCGCAUACGAUGUCACGUGCUUGAGUGUGAGUGUGAGUGCGCGCGUAUAUAGACAAAAUUCUUAAACAAUAUUUAUUAUGAAGUUUCUAAUAUCAUUCCAAAAUUGAGAAAAAAAAAUCAAAAAAGUUCUAAACCUAUUAUAAUUGACUAAUUCAAUCUUAAACUUAUUUUUUUACUAAUUGUGUCUUAAAUUUUUUGUAAUUGUGUCUCAGUCCAUUUGUCCAAAUUUGGCCAGCCGACACUAAUGUGGCACCGAUGCUAGUGUAACACAACUGACACUACCAUUGAUAAUUUUUAAUAAUAUUUUAUUAUAUUUUAUUAUUAUUUUAAAAAAAGAUUCUUUUCUUUCUCUUUAAUUUUUUUUCCCUCUUCCUCCUUCCUUUGGCCGGUCACCAGACUAAGGCGACCUCGCUAGCCAAUGGCUAGGCGAGAUUGACCUCACCCACCCUUGAUGAGGCUCGCCUUUGCCAAAUCUAACAAGGUCUUGCCUUGCCAAUGGUUGGGCAAGCUUGCCCUUGCCCACUGACGGUGAUGCGAGCCUGGCCUUUGGUCAAUCACAUUAGUUCGAUGACCGGUUAGAGGAAGAAGGAGGAAUGGGAAAAAAAAAAGAGAAAAAAACUUAAUAUUACUAAAAAAUUAUCCACAUCAGCAUCGCCCCACCAGAUGGACUAAAUUGUAUUAAAAGGUUUAGGAAGGUUUUGGAUUAAAUUGGCCAAAAGAAAAUCGAUGACUAAAUUAGCACAAUUGCAAUAAGUUUGGGAAUUUUUCUUAUAUCCUUUCCAUAAUUACUGAAGUGCAACGUUCACGGAUCCUCAGCUUCGGAAUAAGGAAAGGUCAAAAAGGGGCGAACAAUAUCACGUCUCGGCAAGUGAGUAAUGCCACUUCUAUCGUCGAGCUACAAAUAAUGCAAAUUUAAGGAAUAUAUGCACUCGCAACCAACAAGCAAUCCGAUAACUAAGUGCAGUAUCGAUUUCCAUAUAGAUGCCGACAUAAAUCAAUAGUAGUCGGCAAAAGCUAAAAUCAAUUGCAAUGUCGAGAACCCUAGGGUCCCACUUUGCUAGGUGACGAUGGUUAUGCCCUAAAAAUUUACUUCGGCUGUGCCCGUGAUUAAGUCCCAAAAACAGAACCGCUCUGCACAUAUGUUCAUGUCUCAUAUUCUCAUCACAUAUAGGCUGACAAUGAGUACAAAUCAAAUAACUUAAUUUGAUUAUGCCGCCAUGUGUAAUAUAACAAUGAUAAAAUUAUCUCGUAUACCUGUCUUCUCAACGCACUUUAAGUACAGCACUUAAAUGGUCGAAAAAUGUUCAAAGCCUGAUUCGGUUGUUGAAAUAGCAUGCCAUAAAAUCUUUCAUUUUUAUAUCUCAUCGUAAAGUACGUGCCAAAACUAAGCUCGAUAACACGACCUGACCAGCAUUAGGAACUAGAUUUUUGGUAACUCUCUCCUAGCGUUUCCGGUUUUUUUUUUUUUUCCUGGCCUCUUCCCUAGUUAUGUUUUCAUGCCGUUAGGUUGUUUACCCAAUGAUUCCAAGAAUAAAUUACUAUAAUUAUUUUCUUCUCUUACUACAUUCCGUUCUUUUCUUUUUUUGGUCAAAACAACACUUCAUUCAUUUGCACAGAAAAAUAAGAAAGAAACAAUGCGGUCCGAUUGUAACCAAGACAAAUCCUAAAUAAUAUCGAUAUAAUAAUAUAUUGCUCCGUUAAAAUUGUAAUAUCAGUGGCCUGGAGAGGUAGGCGGAGUCCAUAACCCAUCUACUUCUAAUUAUUGACUUGUUUCCUUGUUCUGAAGCAGAGAAUGGUUGAAACGCGAUCCAAAAAAAAGGUACACCAAGAAUGCUCCAAACGAAUAUCUUGAAAACGUCCCCUGACUGCUUCUCCCGCUUCUUCUCCCCCGCCGCUACUCCUUCUGCUGCUUCCACUGCUCCUCCCUCUUCUGCUGUUUCCACUCCCUCUCCUCCCUGUGAUCCCACUGCCCCCUCCAUGUACAUGUCCUCCAUCCUAUUUAUGUUUAGACUCCUCCAUCUGCUCCCAGUACUAGAUCUGCUUAGACCCCUCGCUGUCCCUAUACUUCCUCUGCUUAGACUCCUCCCUCUCCCGGUAUACCACUGCACUUGGACCACGUUGAAAUUCCACGUAAGUUUUAAGCACACUGCACAAUUAAGAUAAUGCUAACCUUUUCUCAGUAAUCAUCUAAUUUAGAACAGAUUAGGUUGCUCGUGGAACAUAUUGUUUAUACUCCUACAGUUACUCAAAAACUGGGGUCAAUAGGAUUAUUUUUAUAAAAGAAAAAAGAAAAGAAAAGAAAAUCGAAUAGUAUAGUGCUAACAUUUAGCUUGACUAAUUCCUAUUGGCACAUAAAAACUACCACAUCUAUGUACUUCAUAUAAUGAUCCACAUCUAGACAUGUGUGGCUCCUAAAGAUUAUUUUGUAUCUUGCAAUGUUCAUCCUGCUAACAACCAAAAACUAUUGUGGUCAAGGUGGUAUGUUCAGUAAAAUUUCAUACACUGCCCGACAAAUUGAGAUUUGUUUGUUGCAAUUCACUAUAUGGAAGAAUUUUUGAAACUAUAGGGAGAGGGGAGGGGGGCGCGGAAAGGAAAAGUGAUUGUUGAACGCUAGGAAAAAAAGUACUUAUUAAAAUAGUAGUGUGUGCACUGCCAACCUAUACCAUGUCAAUAUUUAAAACUCCAGUCUCUGUUUGCAGGGCAAUCGAGUGAAAAAUUACGUUCUUUUUUUGUGGGAAAAAUUCAAAAAUGGAACUUGAGUACGCUGGAGAAGAUGGGAGGAACUGGCAAAGGCAGAAAACGAGAGGGGGAAUGGGGUUGGAGGAUCUGUCGAGCUUUGACAAAGCCAUGCUUUUGCUAAUGGAUCUUUGGAGAAUAGCCUCCUGUCCUAAUGCUUUAGGACAACAAGAUUUUAGGUAACAUUUGACGGUCAUGCAAACUGAAAAACUAGCGAAGGUAGGGGGCAAGCUAUGCCAUUUUCGAAAUCUGCAAGCUAGUACACAACAAUGUGAACGUUCAAGAGGGCGAUUAUUGCAAAUAGUUUGACAUAAAAAAAAACAUCACAUCACACAACGUCUAACAAUGAAUUAUACAGCAAGAAAUACAUUUAAAAAUUACAGUUUAUGAGAAUUGUAUUUGUGUACUUAUUUGAUGUAUAGGAAACAACAUUUUCAAUUAAAAAGACCGUGUUGAAGGAACACUAAUUGAUUAGGAAAUAUAUUUUCGUCCUCGGAAAUUUGGGAAUAACAUUUAACUUCUUGCAAUUUGUGUAGUUCUACCAAAUUAUAGCAUCAAGCUGAGAAAAGAACAAAUCAAAUUUCAAAUCAGUGCAUUCACACGUUUCUAUUCUAUAUUGAUGAAGAAGAUGAUAUCAUACCAUCUCUACGUGAUUCAAAGAGUCUUCAAGUGAUCAUGUCAAGUCAUCAAGCUUAAUCGGAUACUCAAUUUGUGACUCAUCUUUUCUGCCUAGCUCCUCCAAAACCUUUUGAACGACCAAAUCGACAAUCUCUACUUGGCUGCUUGUACACAAAUGCGCUUUCAUUAGUUGACUAGAUUUAAUUCAUACCCACGCAUCACAUGUUGUUACAAACGAUAUUUAAAUACACUGAAUAAUUAGUAUAGGCUCAUUUGGUAGAAUUGAAUUCACUCAACCAUUUUUCUAUAUGGUAGUGAUUUACACAACUGGCAAAAUUACCAAGUGGCUAUCACAUGGUGCCCAAGCAAAAUUUCGGUGGUAAAGACUUUCAGUCAACACUUGUAGUAGGGAGAAUCGGGAACCGAGAAAUGUAGACAAAUUCAAGGUCAUUUAUUGAACACUGCAAUUCGGUCAUGACAAAUUAUAUAACCUUGAACCCGUAAUGAAUUCCCCAACGCCAGCAGUAGCUAUAACAACUAAAAGAAGAUGUCUCGAGUAAAGGAUGUAAAGUUCAAUAGGAGCAGCACUUGGAAUUGGAGGUAGUUUUCAAAAUUUUCUAGUUAAAAAAAAGAAAAAAAGAAAUGAUUUGAUAGGGCAAUGUUUUAUCCUCUGAAACAAAAACUGAAAAAAGAAGAAGAAGAAGAAUUAGGCAAGCAUCUCACAUCUCAAAUGUAGUUUUACCUUUGUCUCCUCGACCUUCCAUCCCUUGAUUUUACCAACCUUUGCAAGAGCCUCUUUGAAAGCCCUAUGUCAGAAGGUGAGGGGAAAGGGAAGAAUGAGAAGAAGAAGGAUAGGGAAUUCGAAUGUAUUUCUCUGACUUUCACUCAAUGUACAAAGUUACAUUAUAUUACAGAGUAUGUGUAAAAGAAAAGGAAAUGAUACAAUGUACAGAUUAGAUCUGAUUUUAAUUGAUUCAAUAAAAUCCUUAUGAUUUGAUCUAAUCGAAUCUUUCCAAAGUUUCUGCAUAUCUUCCAACACUCCCCUUCAAGCUGGUGGCUUGUAGAUGUCCAAGACGCCAAGCUUGCUCAAGAGAUACACAUGUUGUCUUUGACACAGAGGUUUGGUGAAGACAUCCGCCGGUUGUUCUUCUGUUCCAAUCCCUUAUGUUUCAAUCAUCCCUUCCUGGAUUUUCUCGCGGGUGAAAUGACAGUCUACUUCUAUGUGCUUCGUUCUCUCAUCCACGAUAGGGUUGGAUGCAAGUUUGAGGGCCGCAUCAUUGUCGCAGAAUAAUUUUGUUGGUCCUUUAACCUGCACUCCAAGAUCCUGAAGUAACCCUCUCGACCACACUAUUUCACAUGUGGUUUUAGCCAUGGCUCAAUAUUCCGCCUCUGCUGAAGAUAACGAGAUAGUUGGAUGUUUCUUCAUUUUCCAUGAAAGCAAAGAAUCCCCUAAUUUGAUACAAAAAUCGAUUAUCGAUCUUCUACUCAUAGGACAGGUUGCAUAGUCUACGUCACAGUAUGCAAUCAUUUUCAUGUCACACUUCCUAGAGAGAAGAAUUCCAAGUCCAUGACAUUUCUUCAAGUACUUCACAACUUUCAGCGCAACAUUCAUAUGAGACUGUUUCGGCUUAUGCAUGAACUGACUAACUGUUGGCUUAUGCAUGAACAUAACUUAUGUCCGGUCUGGUCAUAGUUAAAUAUAUGAGUUUUCCAACAAGCUUCUGAUAGCCCAAAGGAUCUUUGAGUAUAGGAUCUGCCUCCUGAGAUAGUCUAGCAUCAUGAUCGGCCGUAGUCAGUUUGAUGUUUUGCUCAAUCGGUACCAUAGCUGGCUUACAUCCGGAUAAUCUUGCUUCUGAAAUGAUCUCCAAUGCAAAUUUUCUCUGGCUGAGACAGAUUCUUUGGUUUGAUCAAGCAAUUUCGAUUCCAAGGGAAUAUUUUGGGGAUCCCAGAUCUUUAAUAUGGAAAGUAGAAUGCAAGUCUUCCUUAAGGCCUUUGAUAGCUAUUUCAUCAUUCCCCGUAAUGAGUAUGUCAUCUACAUAUAUCAUCAAGUUGAUAGAUUACGUACCUUGAGUCCAUGUGAAAACAGCAUAAUCAAAUCCAGAUUGUUGAAAGCCAUCAGCUGUUAGUGAUUCAGCAAAUUUUGCAUUCCACUGUCUAGAUGCUUGCUUGAGUCCGUACAAGGAUUUACGGAGACGACGCACUUUGUUCUCCCCCUGUCUCCGUAAACCUUGUGGUACUUCCAUAAAUAUCUCAUCGUCUAAAUCUCCAUGGAGGAAGGCAUUAUAAACAUCCAUCUGAUGUAAUAACCAGUCUUGAGAGGCUGCCACUGAGAGAAAGGAACGGACUGUGACGUCCUUGGCCACGGGGGAAAAAGUUUCGUGAUAGUCGAAACCCUCUUUCUUUGUGAAGCCCUUAGCCACUAGUCGUGCUUUGUAUCUUUCAAUCCAUCCAUCUGCUUGAUAUUUGAUCUUGUAUACCCAUUUGCAUUUGAUUGCCUUGCAAUGUGGAGGUAGGGUAACAAGAUCCCAUGUGUGAUUAUCCAUUAGGGCCUUCAAUUCUGCCUCCAUGGCUAUUUGCCAUCAUGGAUCAUUACUUGCCUCAUGGAAGUUGGAUGGUUCUUGCUCUUCAGAAAUGUGAGCGAUGCAACAUCGAUGUGCCGAGGACAAGUGAUCGAAGGAAACAUAAGAGGAGAUUGGAAAAAGAAUACCUGGUGAAUUCCUGACUCCACAUAUGUAGUCCUUAGUCCAGGUAGGUGGUCGAGUGGUACGACCGGAACGUCUAAGUCGAUCAUCUUCCAAAGAUGGAGCAUUGUCUGGAAUUUCCACAGGAGACGAAUCUGAAGUAGGCGGGUCUAAAGGAGCCUCAUCAUUCGGUCUUUCAUUCUGGACAUCCACUAAAGGUGUUGUGUUGGUAGUGGAUUUGGAAAAUCGCUGUGUAUCCAUUAAUGAAGGAAGGAAGAUAUAUCCAGAACCUUCAGACUUGUCUUUAGCAGAAGAAAUUGGAGAAUGCCCUAGUUCAGUGCUACCUUUGUUGUGGUUGGCAAAAGGAAAGAUAGUUUCCUGAAAUAUAACAUCUCUGCUAACAAAAAAUUCUCCUGUACUUGGAUCAAAAAUCCGGUAUCCCCUUUGUAAGGUAGAAUAUCCCAUGAAGAUGCAAUGGCGAGCACGUGGACUCAUCUUAUCCUUGGGUCCGACGAUUGCAGCAUAGCACAGACAACCAAAAAAUUUCAAGUGGUUCAAGUUAGGCUUCUUUCCAAAAAGUAUCUAGAAGGGAGAUCAUCCAUCAAGGAUCUUGGUCGGCCUGCGAUUAAUUAAAUAAGCAGCAGUCAAUACACAAUCCCCCAAAAAAUUGUCUGGAAUAGAAGCUAGAAACUUUAAAGCUCUUGCAACCUCCAAGAGAUGACGGUGUUUCCUUUCCACCACUCCAUUUUGUUGUGGUGUAUAAGUACAAGAGCUCUCAUGCAAUAUCCCUUGUGAUGAAAGAAGAUCCGCACGUUCAUGAUUGAAAAAUUCAUUCCCAUUAUCUGUCCUUAUUCUUUGCACAGGUUUCCCAAAUUGGGUUUUUGACAAGGAAAGGAAUGUUCUUAAGUUGGACACAACUUGACUUUUAGACUACAUGAGAAAAAUCCACGUGGCUCUGGAGUGAUCAUCCACAAUGGUAAGGAAGAAUCGAGACCCAUCAUGAUUUAAUGUAUGAUAGGGUCCCCAGACAUCAACAUGCAGCAGGGAAAGGAUAUUUUUUGAAUGACUUUGGCUCAAAGGGAAAGGACUACGCGAUUGCUUUGCAAGUGGGCAAAUUUGACAUUGGGGAUAAGAAAAAUAAGAGCUAUGACCCAAUCUGGAGUGCAAAAGGAAAUUUCUAUCAUUGGAAGUUGAAUUACACAAUGAUUUCUUAUUACAAGGAAAAAGAUUAAAAUUUAUCAGCAAGCUUUUCCAGAAAAACAAUCCUCAGAGAGACUACCCUAGCCCAUCAGUGUCAUAGUCGAAAGGGCUUGAAACAGACAAGUAUCGACAUCGAAAAGAACUCGACGGGAAUUUUCCUUACAGGCUCUAGACACUAAAAUGAGAAUAAAUUGGAAGUUCGGAAUAUAAAGGACAUUGGUAAGGACAAUAUGAGAAUUAAGGGUGAUUGUCCCCGUUGUAGUGACAUAAGCAAUGUUUCCAUUGGGUAAUUGCACAAUGACAAGAUCAUCUAAUUUUUCAUGAAUAGCAUAAAAUAACCUUCUAUCACAUGCUAUAUGGUCACUGGCUCCUGAAUCAACAAUUCAGGUAUUUCUAGAAAUAGUACUUACUAGGCAAUAAGAAAUACCUGUAAAGCUGCUUCCCCUCUUUUGGACAUCCAAUUUUUGUAAGACCUGCAUAAGUUGCUGAUAUUUCUCAUGUGUAAUAUGUUGAUUUGUAGAAUUUAUCAAACCUGAAAUUUGAUAGGCUGCUGCAGAUAUUUCAUUUCCCCUUUUUUCUUUUUCUCCAGGUCUACCAUGCAAUUUCCAGCAAUUGUCAAUUGUGUGAUGGGGCCGCUUGCAAAAAUCACAGAAUAAUUUUCCUUUAUUUUUAAAAUUUUUCUCAUAUCCUUUCGAAUUUUGAGGACAGUUGGAUCCCCUUGGACCGGACGCAUUUCCACCAUCCAGAUCAGACUGAGCUCACGCGCCUUUGGAGUCGUCGGAUUGUGGCAUCCGAUCCUGGCCGUCCGCAAGACCCCAUUUAAACCCUUUUUGAUCCACGAACCCUAGCAACCCUCGUUGCUCCGUGAACCCUAGCGACUGCUCGUACCCUUUCUUUUCUAGGGUUUUCUCCUUCUCGACCCUUGCCGCCAACGCUAGGGUCUCGGAGCUCUUGCUGUCCGAUGAAGCAAGCCUUUAAUUCUCCUAUUGUACUGCAAGCUGGAAGAUCCGACCGAGGGUUGGUGCUAGUUCCAUGGCCAGUAUUUGUGAUCUAAAGGUAAGAUACGAAUUGUUGAGUAUGAGUAAGAAUCGAGUCGCCUUCUCUCUAUCUUUCAUAGCUUUAUAUUGCUGGAGGGUUGAUUCGGGCCCUUCCAGCUUUUCUUCAGCGGCUUCCAACUCAUUCUAGAGUGUUGAAAGCCUGUUGAAGCAUGUCGUCACAGAUGUGUUUCCUUGCUUCAAUUCGCUGAGUGCUUGGUGAAGCGAAAAUUUUUUUACCCGAUCCAAUUUGCCGUACAUUUCUCGGAUGCUAUCCCAAAUAAUCUUUGAGUCUUCUAUGGGUGGUAACCUAUCAACGAAAUCUAGGCUGAUGCAAUUGCCGAUCCAUGUUCUGACUAAUUGGUUACAUUUUCUCCACUGUCUUCCCACUUUCUCGUCAGUCGGGAUGGGAAUGGUCCCAUCGAUGAACCCCUCUUUGUCUUUUGUGAUUAGGGCUCACCGAAAUUCCCGCGCCCAACUUGAGUAAUUUUCUAGACCUAUGAGAGGGUGGCUAAUGAGCCACAACUCCGGUCCGUCGGCAGUGGAGACAUAGAGUGCGUCGCCGGGUUCUGGUCGACCCAUGGCGGCCGCAAAAGGAAAUGGAAGAAACCCAGGUGGGAUUCCCUAGUAUGGAUCUAUGGAUUGCCCCUGAAGUCUCACACCAGAAUCACUCAAUCCGCCAGUCUGCUCCGGGCCGAUGGUCGAGCCUGCCCUAGUGCUGGUUGGUAGGCCUCCAUCGCUCGGCAUGUUACUCUGAAAUCUCGACUGUGAUGUGACUGGAUUUGUCCCAUGGAUCCAUGGAUAUGGCAUCCACUGGUAGGGAUACGCCGAGAAUGGCUGACCAAGAUUAAACUGAGCCGAAAAAUUUUGCCAAUAUGCGUGUUGAUUUUGGAUCUGGGGUUGGCCGAAUUGUUGUUCAGCCAUGGAAGUAAUGCUGGAAGCCUGUGGGGUCGUUUCUGUUGCUGUUUGCUCGUCUGAACUGGAGGUGAGAUUCUCCAGUUUGUUCAUACUGAAAAAUUUCCCUUAAAAAAAAAGUAGCGAUUCCUCUCAGCAACUCUUUUGCAGGAUAGAGUUCCUUUAAGCAAUCAAAGGAAACAGAGCAGAAGAUAUGUCAGAGUCUUCGGCUACUCUGAUACCAUGUCAAAAGGUGAAGGGAAAGGGAAGAACGAGAAGAAGAAGGAUAGGGAAUUCGAAUGUAUUUCUCUGACUUUCACUCAAUGUGCAAAGUUACAUUAUAUUACAGAGUAUGUGUAAAAGAAAAGGAAAUGAUACAAUGUACAUAUUAGAUCUGAUUUUAAUUGAUUCAAUAAAAUCCUUAUGAUUUGAUCUAAUCAAAUCUUUCUAAAGUUUCUACGUAUCUUCCAACACCCUAAGUUUGACUUCGGAGGAAAGAUUCUUCGGCAUGGAGUCCGAUGUUUAACAUCCCUAGGUUCCACUUUAUAAAAGUUGGGGAAAAUCCUUUUUUCUGCCGUUUGAACUAAACACAUUGUUCAUCAUGCGUUCAAGCUCGAUGAGACAUCAUUUACGAUUAGGAUAAGUUUGAGAGAUGAUGGGUAUGUAGAUUUUUGAGCUAUCGAUAGCUUGUAGAAGUCUCUUAUCAAUCACAUUACCCACCUUGAUUUCAUCUUCGUCCCUAAAUACACGGAGUUUGGCUAUUUCCAAGUGUCGAUGGAGGAAGCCCAUGGGGGAUGACGAGUUUCAUCUCCACUAAAACUCAGGAAUACAUGGUACUGAACUUUUGAUGCUCUGGCCUUUGAGUGUGCCAUACCUAGGAAGCGUAUUACUUCCAGACCUCUCUCUGCCCCCCAUGCAAAAACACAGAUAUAAGCACUUGCUACUGCACAUACGUUCAAAGCCUCAACUUCUGCAAUCACGUCCCAGAACAUGGAAAAACAAUAAGAAAAAGGUACGUUCAAAGCCUCAACUUCUGCAAUCACGUCCCAGAACAUGGAAAAACAAUAAGAAAAAGGUGAGCCCAGAACGCAUGUGUAUAUGCACUGCACACGAUGAAAAGGAUGAGAUGAACAGCAGAAGCAAGUUCAUCACCAAAGAGCAUACCCUAUGGAAGCUGAAGGCUAUCCUGCUAUAUAUACUGUCUGGGCCACUGAAUUGGUCGAUCGUCCCGGCAUGUAAAUCCACUCACUUGAUGGUAAUUUCACAUGGUACAGAUCUUUUCUCCUUUCUCAAAGACCUGGCCGGCUGAUAAUAAAAUCUGAUAUUGUCUAUUUCUUACCUAACGCUCCACCUUAGCAAGUAGACACGAAGUUGAACGAGAUAUUUUUUAACAAGUUUUAUUUUCACUGCUUUGUCCAUCAGUGAUUUUAAAUUUUGAGUUUCGGCACGUCCCGUACAUUUAUUCUUCACAUGGUGCCUCAAUCGUGCCUCAAUCGAUAAUCUCUCGAUCCCUUAUAACUGGUAUCCUUGUCGACCAACUCUGCCAUGAUAAUUGUCACCAUCCACCAUCAUGUGUCGACAGCAUAGUCCAUGGUCAUCGAUGUCUAUCGGUCACAAUUCUCAUUGUCGUCAACAAUAACCACGUUUCAUAUAUUGAUAACCUCUAGCCACGUGCUUACUUAUGAAAAUGACCUAAUGAAUUUUUGGCGCAAAAAAUAAUGGUACAGAUAUAGCUCACCUUGACAUGCGACGCGCGAACUUAAAAUAGAAAGAGAAAGAUGGAGAAAAGUCGGAGGUAAUUUGAGGAUAGAGCACCCGGCUUAUGAGAUGGCAUUCAAAGUCAAUAUCAUUACGCGGGCACCUUUUCCUGUCUCAUUCUUGAUUCCUGUCUAUAUCAUUCCUGUCAAUAUCAGCAUGGUUUCCUACUCAGGAAGUUUCCUGUCAAUAUCAUUCCUGUCAAAUCCAUUAAAUUUCUUUCACACGUUUUAUUUAGAUUUCUAAUGAACCCAUCAAAAGCUAUCUAAAGCUGAUUAGGUCCUGCAGUGACGCUCAGCCUCGAUUGAUUGGGAGGUCUCGACGUGAAAUUGCUUUCAUGCUGUACACACGUGAACCAAAAUGCUGACGUAGCAAACCACGUCAACGCCGUUUUUUCUUCUUUCUCGACCACAACUUCAAAGCUUACAGAAGAAGAUAAGUGAUGUCAAGAUCAACUUCAGACUUUAAAAAUUUCAGCUUCACAACUCUACCACCUUAACCAGUUAAUCUCCUUAAGUACUCUUCUUAACGAAAAUUUGAAUUUUACUGAUAAAAAUAACUAAAAUUCAUCCCGAUCCUGACAGAAGCCAUCUGGUCUUCUCAAAAGGAACGGUUUUUUUUCUUUUGUUAAUAUCAUCAUUGAUCUCUCAAAGGGCUGGCUCUUUUUUCCUUUUGGUCUGACACACGGAAGAAAAGACGAGAGAGAAAGAGACGGGACCUUUGAUCUCGGGAAGCUUUACUUAAACGAAGCCGCUCGUUCGUGUUGCUCCUACAGUCGUCUGCAGUCAUCGACGUCGCAUCUUCAGCCCGUGAGGGACGACGAGGGCACUGCUCCCCGCUCCCGACGCCUGCUGCUCACCGCCGCCGCCUCCUUUCUUCUGACGAGCUGCUUUGCUGUCCAGGCCGCGACGACGAGCUCCGACGGCCCUGUCCUCUCCUCCCGCUGAACCUAUCUGUCGGCAUACCUCUCCCUCCAAAAGCAGCGACGACGAGCUUAGACUUAAUAAUCUCUUAGCCGGGUGGCUCACCAAGGUUGCGACACUUAUAUUUGUGUUUUCGCAUCUGAUUGUUCACUCUAAGCAGAAAUCACCUUCGCUAAAUCUAUUUGCACACGCCUUCAUCUGCUGGAUGAUCCUUUUUCUUCUUUUUUCGUGUCUGUGUAACAUAUAGUCUACUCCCGAGGAUCUCCGUCUUCAUUGGAUUAUCAGUCAUCCGUGUGUGCUCCACUGCGGAAGCAUUCCAAAAACCUCAGCUCACUUCUUAGCUAGGCCACGCCACACCAAGUUACCGAUCUUUUUUUCCUUUUCUAGGGUGAGAGAGAGAGGGGUCUGGAAGUAAUACGCUUCCUAGAUAUGGCACACUCAAAUGCCAGAGCAUCAGAAGUUCGGUACGAUUUGUUCUUGAGUUUUAGUGGAGAUGAUACUCGUUAUAACUUCACGGGCUUCCUCCAUCAAAGCUUGGAAAAAGCCGGGAUCCGUGUAUUCAGGGACGAAGAUGAAAUCAAGGUGGGUGAUAAGAUUGGUGAGACAAUUCUACAAGCUAUCGAUAACUCCAAAUUCUACAUACCCAUCAUUUCUCAAACUUAUCCCGAUCGUAAAUGGUGUCUCAUCGAGCUUGAACGCAUGAUGAACAAUGUGUCUCGGUUAGAGGGUAGACAAAGGAUUUUCCCCAUCUUUUAUAAAGUGGAACCUGGGGAUGUUAAACAUCAGACUCCACAACUGAAGAAUCCUUCCUCCGAAGUUGAACUUAGGGCAUUCAAAGAGGCUCUUGCAAAGGUUGGUCAAAUCAAGGGAUGGAAGGUCGAGGAGGGACAAAGGUAAAACGACCUUUAAGAUGCCUGUCUAAUUCUUCUUUCUUUUGCUUUUGUUUUAGGGGAUAAAACAUUGCCCGACCAAAUUAUUUCUUUUAUUUUUUUUAUUAUUGGAAAAUGAUUCUCCUAUUACAAGUGCUGAAAAUGUUUUACAGGCUUAGUUAUAAAUGCCGAAAUUUUGCUUGUCACUUGGUAAUUUUGGUUGUUGUGUAAACCAAUACUAUAUAGAAGAACACAUCCAAUGAAUUCUACUAAAUUAGCCUAUACUGAUAAUUCAAUGCAAAUUUCGAAGUUUGAAAAGAAAAAAUAGACAUUCCUCGUGUGAGUGUGGGUAUGAAUUUAAUCCAGUCGACUAAUGAAAGUACUUUUGUGUAUGGCAGCCAAACAGAAAUUGUCGAUAAGGUUGUUCAGAAAGUUUUGGAGGUGCUGGGCAGAAAAGAAGACAUACAGACUGAGUAUCCGAUUGAGCUUGAUGACUUCACACAGUCACAUGAAGACUCUUUGAAUCGAGCAGACAAGGUGUGAUAUCUUCUUCUCAUCUUCAUCAAUAUACAAUAAAGCGCUGGAAUGCGUGGAUUUGAAAUUUCAUUUGUUCUAAUCUCAGCUUGAUGCCAUAAUUUGGUAAAACUACACAGAUUGCAAGAAGUUAAAUAAUAUUCUGAAAUUUACGCGGACAAAAAUACAUUUUUUAAUUAAUUAGUGUUCUUUCAACAUAUUCUUUUUAAUUUGAAAUGUCGUUUCCUAUAAAUUAAAUAAGUACACAAAUGUAAGUAUCAUGAAUUGUAAGUUUUAAAUUUAUUUCUUGCAGUAUAAUUCAUUGUUGGACAUUAUGUCAUGUGGUAAGUGUUUUUUAUUUAUGUUUUAUGUCAUACUAUUUAGCAAUAAUCGCCCUUUUGAACGUUCAUAUUGUUGCAUACUAGCCUGCAAAUUUCGAAAAUGGCAUAGCUCACCCUCCUAUCUUCACUUUUUUUAGUCUGCAUGACUGUCAAAUUUUUCCUAAAAUCUUGUCGUCGAAAAGCAUUAGGAAAAGAGGCUAUUCUCCAAAGAUUGCUUAGCAAAAGCAUAGCUUUGUUAAAGCAAGACGAAUCCUCCAACCCAUUUCUUCUCCUGUUUUCUGGCUUUGCCAGUAUCUCCCAGCUUCUCUGGCCUACUCUAGUUCCAUUUUAGAAAUUUGUCCCACCAAAUAAAAUGUGAUUUUUCUGCUCAAUGGCCCUGCAAAUAGAGACUGCAGUUUUAAAUAUUGACAUGGCUUAAGUUGGCAAUGCACACGCUAUUGUAUUAGUGAGUACUUUUUUCCUAGCUCUUAACAUUAACUUUUCCUUCCCCCUUCAAGUUUCAAAUGCUCUGCCAUACAAUAAAUUUCCAAAGACAUAUCUCAUCUCUCGGACAGCGUAUGAAAUUUUACUUACUAUACCACCUAGACUAUAGUUUUUCAUUGUUAGAUACAAAAUAAUCUUAGGAGCUACACUUGUCUAGAUGUGGAUAAAGCCUUGUUUGAAGCACAUGGAUGUGGUAGUUUAUGUGUGUGAAUAGGAAUCAGAAGCUAAAUGUUAGCACCAUACUAUUAAAAAUAGGAUUUUUUUUUUAAAAAUCCUAUUGACCCUAUUUCUUAACUAACCGUAGCAGUACAAAGAAAAUGUUUCCCAAGUGACCUAAUCUAUACUUGAUUAGAUGAUUAGAAUCUUAGCAUUAUGCGAAUUGUGUAGUGCUUAACACUUACUUGGAAUUUCAACGUGGUUCAGGUGCGGAGGGAUACCAUAGGGAGAGAGAGGAGUCCAAGCAGAGGAAGGAUUCGUCAAUUUGAGGGGAAUGUGAUGCAAGGAGAGAGAGCCGAGUGUGGGCAGAGAAAGGGAGGAGAACAGGAAGUACAUGAAGUAUGUGGAGGAGGAGCAGAUGACGAGUGUAGCAAGAGAAAGGGAGGAUGAUGGAAAGCACAUGAAGUACAUGAUGGAGGAGGACGAGUGUAGGUUAGACGAGAGGGACGAGAGGGACGAGUGUCGGAUGAGAAAGGGAGGAUAAUAGGAAGCACAUGAAGUACAUGCUAGAGGAGCGGAUGAGGAGAGGGACGAGUGUAGGCAAAGAAAAAGAGGAUGAUGGGAAGCACAUGAAGUAUGUUCUGGAGGAGUGGUUGAGGGAAGGGACAAGGUGAAGUAGGCACGACAAGAGGGACAAGCAUAAGAAGAGAAAGGGAGGAUGAUGGGAAAGCUCAUGCAGUAUGUCUUGGAGGAGUGGUUGUCGUCGUUUCCCCAACUCUCUCUUGCAUUUUCUCAAAUUUCACGGAGGAAAACCUGAGGAUUGAGUUCAAGGUCAACACUGUUCCUUUUUUGUGCUACAUUUUCGAAAUGUGAUUGAUUGCGGGAGAAUUAUAUUAAAAAAAAAAGUCCUCAACUUAUUACAAUUAUAAUUUAGUUCUAAAUCUUUUUUUCCAGUUCAAUUUUAAACAUUUUUGCAUUUGUGUCAAUUCAAUUCAUCCGACUAAUUUCGGCUAGCAACAUUGACAUGGAUGUCGGCCAACACCAGCCGUCCAACCGAUGCCAAAGUGAACAAUUUUUAUAAGCUUUUUUUUCUAAUUUUUAUUUUUAUUUUUCCUUUUCUUCCUUCUUUGCUUUUUUAAACCCACGGUGGCCAACCAAGUUCGCCUCGCCUGUACCCAUGACCUCAACCAACACGGGUACCUUCUAGUUUCAUCCUUGUCAUCGUUUUCCCAACUAACAUGGAUGUCAGCUAGCACCAGUCCAACCGAUGCCAACGUAAACAAUUUUUAACAAUACUUUUUUUCUAAUUUUUUUUCCUUUUCUUUCUUUUUCGCUUUCUUAAACCUACGGUGGUCGGCCAGGCUCACCUCGCUUGCAACCAUGACCUCAACCAACACGCUUUCCUUCCGAUUUCAUCCUUGUCGUCGUUUCCCUAGCUCUCUCUUGCAUUUUCUCAGAUUUCACAGAGGAAAACCAAAGGAUCGAGUUCAGGGUCAACACCAUUCCCAUUUGGUGCUACUUUUUCGAAAUGUGAUUGAUUGCGGGAAAAUUAUUUAAAAAAAAAAAAUUCAUAAACUUAUUACAAUUAUACAAAUUCAAUCAUAAACCAUUUUUUUCUCAAUUCAAUCUUAAAUAUUUUGUAUUUGUACAAAUUCAGUCCAUCCGGACAAUUUUGGCCUACAACACUCACAUGGAUGUUGGCCAGCACCAACCUUCCAACCAAUGCUAACGUGACCAAUUUUUAAUAAAAAAAGUUUCUAAUUUUUUAUUUAUUUUUAUUUUUAUUUUUAUUUUUAUUUUUCUUUCUUCUUUGCUUUUUUAAACCCAUGGUGGCCGGCCAGGCUAGCCUCGCCUGCAGCCAUGAUCUCAACCAACACGCGUUCCUUCUGGUUUCUUCCUUGACAUCGUUUCCCCAACUAACAUGGAUGUCAGCUAGCACCAGUUGUCCAACCGAUGCUAACGUGAACAAUUUUUAAUAAUACUUUUCUAAUUUUUAAUUUUAUUUUUAUUUUUUCCUUUUCUUUCUUCUUUGCUUUUUUAAACCCACGGUGGCCGGUCAAGCUAGCCUCGCCUGCAGCCAUGACCUCAACCAACACGCAUUCCUUCUGGUUUCGUUCUUGUCGUCAUUUCCCCAACUCUCUCUUGCAUUUUUUGAGAUUUCAUAGAGGAAAACCUGAGGAUUGAGUUCAAGGUCAACACCGGUUGCAUUUUUUAAUAUGGCCCAGCAAUCUUCGUCCGUCAGAGGAAGAAGACAAUGCAGAUUUUCCUUACCAACCAUCAUCUCCACCAAUGUAUCGCUCCUGCCAUUAACAAUCACAACUCCUCCAUAUCACAAAAGUUUUAAAACUUGAUUGCAUAUUUUGAAAAUCUUAGAAUUCGAUUGGGUUUUCGUAACAAGUUUUAGGACUUCCAAUGUAUUUAUCUCCACAAUAAAUAUAAUAGAAUUUCAACGUCUACAAAAUAAUCAUUCUUAUGAAGGGUGCUGAUAGUUAAUACUGGAUUCAGGAGUUGACUUUCACAGCCAUCUUCUAGCAAGAUAUAUCAAUUUCGUAAUGAAGCUCAGCUCUGUCCCUAAAUCGAAAAUGAGAGCAGACUUUACGAAUAGGAGGUUAAAGGAGAUACAACUUCUUUCUGCCCAUGCUAAGAGAUUGAUUCUCGCUCUAUUCGCGCUGGUGGUCUUAAUCUUAUUAUAGAGAGACUCCACUACAGAUGGCAGCAACCAUCGGAUGCACGAUCCUUGAUCGGAAACCCAAACUCGCUAAAGAGCAGUUAAACGGCGCUCACAAACCGUGACGAAACUGUUGAGUGUCGAGGCGGAUGUGUGCUGCAUUGGCGACCGGUACAGCAGAAGAAAUCCUCUUCGUCUUGCGGCUGUGGAAGGCCGGUCCGGUGUUUUGAGGAGUUGUUCAAGAGGCUGAGGGCGGCACGUGAUAGGGUUGUUUAACGGGGAUUUCAUGGCGUGAAGCAUAAUAACUUAAAAAGGCUUUGAAGCUUUUCGUGGGGACUCGGGGAGAUCAUGACAUGAACAAUUUCGGUCAUGCCCAAACCAUGAAGAGGGAUAGAUAAAGGCAGCAAAUUUUGGAUUUUGGAUUUUGGAUAAAUUUGGCCAAUCAUUUGCCCCUUUAAGAAAUUUCUCUCUUUUUUAUGGCCUUUUUUAUCCCUUGACAGCUCUAAACAUCUGCAGAAUUGGCAUGAAGAGUACUUUCGUCCUAAGCAGGACGUUAAAAUGGUUCAUCUCAAGUCUUGUCUGGAUCUCAGGAUCCCUAACUGUAAAACACUUAAGAGGGUCCCGUCAGGUAAAGACACUAAUUGGGGAUGCAAGCACCAACACAUUAAAAUAAGAAAUAUAUCAUAGUAGCUCAUGCCAAAAGAUAAAGACAGGUGCAGGUAGCCCUCAUAGGAAAGAAAUAUUACAAAAUCGCACGUCGAUUCCAGAAAAAUAAUGCUCGCAAACUAUUCAUCAAGCAGAAUAUAAUAAUAAAAUAACAGAAUUAGAAAGACGCGCCAAAAAAUUUGUUAACGAAGUUAACCUAAACCUAGGUUAUGUUUCUGCGCAGAGGUACUCUACAAAUCCACUAGACUUCAAAAAAGUUAAAAUAUAACAAUGAUCUUCUAUCAAGAUUAAGGCACAAAGAAAUUGAAAAUCCCCGUAAAGAUAAAAAAAAAAAAAGAAACUUACUUUUUUCUUCACUUUUUUUCUUGCCUCUCUAUUUUCUUUUUUUAGUAUUUUGACGGUUAGCGUAUUGCCAUCGCUAAUAUAAAUGUAUCAUUUUUAACUUUAAAGUAAAUCUGAUUGAAAAGACAAAAAAACCCUAAAGAUAUUUGGCUUCAUCUAUAACAAGAAAUUACCCUUCCUUGGUGAGGCAAUCCUUCAAUCGCAUCAAGGAUCCAAGAGAGGCCCUGGAUGAAGGUUUUUCUUGAAAAGGACUGAAUAUUUCAUUCUUUGCUUUUUGUCGUCCAUUAACUUAGAAGAUAACGGCAUACAGUGUAAGAGCGAAAAGAACAAACAGGUGGAGAUCGUACAGAAGUAAAAGGGUACGAAAGGAGUCUUCAGAACAAGCACCCUAUCUCUGAAUUCAUCUGUCGCUUACCUGUAGGCUCGAAGGCCAGCUCCGGCACGCGCGCACACAGAGCUGCGAGUGUGAGGACGAGAUCAAGAGACGUUAGGUUAAGAGACAGACAGGUCCGCGCGAAGACUAUAAGGAGGCGUUCGCUCCCACAAAAUAUCCGAUCAUGCGCUCAAACUUUUUUUUUCCCUAUUAAAAUACAACUCUUUUUUUUUUUAUAAUUUAAUUGUUCUUUCAUGCAUACGUAAUGUUUCGACGCCAAAAUUGUCCAUAAAACACCUUUCGAAAUAUGGAUAGCUAUGAGAAUUGACAAAGGAUAUGGAUAGCUAUGAGAAUUGACAAAGGAUAUGAAUGGUACUUUGUUGAUUUUUGGACUUGAAACGUAUAUAGACACAAAUUCUAAAAUUAAAUGUAUGAAAAUUGGAGGCACUCUUGGCCAGUCAUAUAAAAGGGUACCAAAAUGUAAAGAUAAUAGAAAGAUAAAAUUGAGCAAUAACUUGGAUGAUUUUUUAGUCGAAUUAUAAUCAUGUUAUUUAUAGCUACUAGCGAUAGUUAACAAUAAUUACAGAGAACAAUUAUAACAAACAACCCAUGCUUCUUGGCCAUUAUCAGUAGUGGCUUUCAGGAUUCACAUCUCCGUGAGCUGGUGGUCGUGCUCAUGAUGGAUACUUAUGAUUGUAGCCGAAAUUGUUGGUUUCAGGACUUGAACACUUAUCUUGCUCUCGAUUCGUCGAUCUUCAUUCGAACUUUGUUAUCAAUUUCCAUAUAGAUACCGACAUGAAUCAAUAGUAGUCAGCAUAAACUAAAAUCAAUUGCCAUAUCGAGAACCCUAGGGUCUCACUUUGCUAGGUGAUAAUGGUUAUGCCCCCAAAAUUUGCUUCGGUUGGGGCCGUGAUUAAGUCCCAAAAACAGAACCGCUCUGCACAUAUGUUCAUAUCUCAUAUUCUCAUCACAUGGAGGCUGACGAUGAGUGCAAAUCAAAUAACAGAAUUUGACAAUGCCGCCACGUGUAAUAUACCAAUGAUAAAAUUAUCUUGUAUACGUGUCUUGUCAAUGCACUUUUAGUACCGCACUUAGAUGGUCGAAAAAUGUAUAAAGCCUGAUUCGAUUGUUGAAAUAGCGUGCCAUAAAAUCUUUCAUUUUUAUAUCCCAUCGUAAAGUACAUGCCAAAACCAAGGUCGAUAAUACGAACUGACCAGCAUUAGGAACUAGAUUUUUUGGUAACUAUAGAUUUUUUAGUAACUAUCUCCUAGCAUUUCCGGUUCUUUUUUUUCUGGCCUCUUCCCUUGUUUUGUUUCCAUGCCGUUAGGUUGUUUAUCCAGUGACUCCAAGAGUAAAUUACUGUAAUUAAAGAGUUUACUAUAAUUAUUUUCUUCUCUCACUGCAUUUCCUUCUUUUCCUUUUUUGUCAAAACAACAUUUCAUUUAUUUGUACAGAAAUUCAAGAAAGAAACAAUGCGAUCCAAUUGCAAAUUACAACAAAUCCUAAAUAACUUCUAAACAAAACAAGGUCCAAAUAAUAAGAUGAAUUGUAAGAUGAAUGGAACUUUCACAUGGUACAAAUCUUUUCUCAUUUCUCAAAGACUUGGCCGGCUGAUAAUAAAAUUUGACAUAAUUGUCUAUUCCUUACCUAAGGCUUUUUUUGACAAGUGUUAAAUUCACUACUUCAUUCAUCUAUGCGUGCUCUGUUACGGAAGCGUUUCAAAAACCUCAACUCACGUUUGGUCUGUUUGGUCAAAUAGUAUAUGAUUCUAUUUUUUACUUCUGAGAACAAAAAAGAACAAAAAUCGGUUUGGUAAUUCUUUUGUUUUCGAAAACAAAUUUGUUCCAGGAAUAUAUUUAGAAUAAAAUCAAAAAGUUGAAAAAACUUACUUUUUUUAUUUUCAGGAACAACUCCAAAAUCAAGUCCAUUCUCCUUUUUUUCCCCCUAUUUUCUUCUAUUUUCUUCUAUUUUCUUCUUCCUCUUUUCCUCUUUGGCCAACAACCUCAUUCAUGCAUCACUGGCCCUCGACGAAGUAGUUGGGUGAGGCUUGGUCGAGCCUUGGCUAGGUGAGCUCGGCCUCACUAGUGGCCGACGAUGCUCCAAUGAGAUUGUCAUCGUGACAACUGGCCAAAGAGGAAGGAGUAGAAUAAAAGGAAACAUGAGAAAAAUAUAAUAAAAUUAUUUAAAAAAUAAAAGAAAUUUAAAUCACAAAAGAAUUUGAGAUCUUACAGACGCAUUUAUAUCUCGAGAAUAGAAAUUUUGAACAAUUACUAAAUACAUUUAAAUUCUCAGAAACUUGUCCAGGAAAUAGCAUUAAAAAAGAAUUUUCAAGAAAAAAUUAUUCCCAAGAACAAAAUAGUUACCGAAUAGACAUUUUUAACUAGGCCACGCCAUACCAAGCUACCGACCUUUUUUUUUCCCCCUCUUUUGAUAGUGUAAUGGUGGGACAUUUUCUUUGAUUGAGUCAAAGAAGUAGUGGGGCCCACUUUUUUUUAAGAAAAAAAAAAGGAAGAGGAUUGAAAAGUCAAAUUGAAGGGCAAAAAGAAGUGAGCACGUUCACUCUUUUUUAGGAGCUGAAGCACUUCAGGAAAAGAGGGAGAAAGAUGUAUGGUACCUUCACAUGGUACAAAUCUUUUCUCCUUUCUCAAAGACUUGGCCGGCUGAUAAUAAAAUCCGAUUUAGUUGUCUAUUUCUUACCUGACGCUCUCUUUAGCAAACAGACACAAAGUUGAUCAAGACUUUUUUUAACAAGUUUUUAAUUACUAAUUUAUUCAUAUGUGCGUGCUCUGCUACGGAAGCACUCCAAAAACCUUAGCUCACUUUGAGUCUAUUUGUUGACUGGUCAAAUAAUAUCCGAUUCUAUUUUUUCACUCACGUGAACAAAAAAAAAGAACAAAAUCAAUUUGGUAACUUUUUUGUUUCCGAGAACAAAUUUGUUUUUGGGAAUAUAUUUCGAACAUAAUUGAGAAGUAAAAAAAAUUAUUUCUUUGUUCUAGGGAACAACUCUAGAAUCAAGUUUAUUUUUCAUUUUUUCCUAUUUUCUUUUCCCUUUUUCCUUUUCUUCUUCCCGUUUUCCCUCUUUGGCCUAUGACCUUGUUGGAGCGUCACCAACCCCUAAUGAAGCGGCUAGGUGAGGCUUAGCCGAGAUUUGGCUAGGUGAGCUCGACCUCGCCAGUGGCUGGUAAUGCUCCGAUGAGGUUGCCAACCCAAUGACCAACCAAAGAGGAAGAAUGAGAAGAAUAAAAAGGAAAAAAGAAAAGAGAAAACGAGAAAAAUAUAAUAAAAUUAUUUAAAAAUUAAAAGAAAUUUAAAUCACAAAAGAAUUUAAGGUCUUACUAGACACAAUUCUAUUCCGAGAAUAGAAAUUUUGGACAAUUAUCAAACACAUUCAAAUGUUCGGAAACUUGUUUCAAUUUCUAAGCAAAAUUAUUCCUAAGAAUAGAAUGGAUAUUGAAUAAACCAUUCUUAGCUAGGCCACGCCCCAUCAAGUUACCUACCUUUUUUUUUUUUCUCAUUUGGGGAGUGUAAUGGUGGGAAAUUUUCUUUGACCGAGUCAAAGACGUAGGGCCCAUUUUUUUUAAAAAAAAGGAAAGAGGAUUGAAAAGUCAAAUUGAAAGGCAAAAAGAAGUGAGCAGGCUCACUUUUUAAAGCAGUUCAAGAAAAGAGAGAGAAAGAUAAAUGGUACUUUCGCAUAAUAUAGAUCUUUUCUCCCUUCUCAAAAACAUGGCCGGCUAAUAAUAAAAUCUAAUUUAAUUGUUUAUUUCUUACCUGACGCUCUGCUUUAACAAGCAAACACGAAAUUGACCAAGACUUUUUUGAACAAGUUUUAAAUUCACUACUUUAUUCAUUUGUGCGUGCUCUACUACGUAAGCAUUCCAAAAACCUCAGCUCACUUCGAAUCUAUUUAUUAACUGACUAAAUAGUAUCCAAUUCUAAUUUUUUUAGUUCCCAAAAACAAAAUAAAUAAAUAAAUCCGUUUGAUAACAUUUUUUUUUUUGAGAACAAAUUUAUUCCCGUGAAUAUAUUUAGAACAUAAUCACGAAGUAGAAAGAAGUUGUUUCUUUACUCUUGGGAACAACUCUAGAAUCAAGUCCAUUUUCGUUUUUAUCCUCUGUUGCGACCUACCCUCGGGGGGACGGAACAGGUUUAGGGGUAUUGCCUAAAGGACGGGGCUAAGGCCCGUGAUUAGGCGCGAGCUCUCCCAAGUCCAUACCCCGCAUGACAUUGGGAUAUUCUUUAGAAUUUUUGCACAAAAGGAGUCGCCACUAGCCUAUUGGGGUCGGCUAGAAACCAAGUGAGGUAUGGGAGUGUACCUCACUUCCUACACAACCAGAGAAUCUAGGUUCUGAGACUUGAUUACAUUAAUUAACCAAUUAGUGCCAUUUCGGUAUCUAAUCUUGUUCAUUUUAACAAAAUGAUUUUGACAGGCAGUUUGAAUUGAUUUUAUACUUAUCCACUAACAUAUGAGGUGAUCAUGCAGGUGCGCAAUCAUUAAAGUAAUAAUCAUAACUAUCAAGAUCCUAAUUGCCAUAAAAUUAAACACAUGCAAUCAAACAUAAUUAGAUAUGCAAAUUAAACAUGUAACGUAAUCAACAUACGAGCACAUAAAGGUCUAAUUACACUAAAAUGGCAAUACAUGGCAAGUCCUAAUCAAACCCCAUCAUUUUUGGAUUUUCGAAAUUUUUAAUUUUUUAAUUUUUAAAUAUUUUUUAAAGAAAAAUAACUAAUUUAUAAUUUUUAAAUAUUUUUUGGUUUUUCGAAAUUUGUUUAAAUUUUUUAAAUUUUUAAAUUUUUUUAAAAAGAAAAAUAACUUAUUCUAAUUUUUAAAUAUUUUUUUUGGAUUUUCGAAAUUGUUUUUUUUUUAAAGAUUUUUUAGACUGGACCGGGUCAGGUCCGACCCGACCUGGGCUCAGCCCGAGCAAGACGGGUCGGGUUCGCUCGACCAGGCCUGCUUGAGGGCAGACUGGACUUGGGCCCGAUCUGGAGGGCCCAAAUCUUUUUUUUUUUUUUUAAAUUACUCGCAGGCCCACAACCCAGGUUGAUUCCGGGCUGUGGACCUGCAGGCCAAGAGAGGCCGAGCGGGCCAGGUCGCAAACUUGGCCCAGCUCGGCCCACGCUCCCCUGGUCAGCGAUUGCUCAGUCGCGACCAGGGAGCUGCGAUGGCGGGGAAGACACGAGGGGAGGGGCACCAGCGAUCUGAUUGGGGUCGCGACGGUGCCGCCUUGUUUCGAAGGGAAGCAGUCCGGCUUUUCGACAGACAGCGGCAGAAUUCCGGUGACUAAGAGGCUAGCCGAACUUUACACAGGGGAAUCGAGGAGGAAAAACUUGCUUGGGCAUUACAGCGAACAGGUAGAGGGCAAGGGCAAACCAGGAGGCUUCCGACCUAAACCGGACCCGAGGCGGCUACAGCAGUGACCAGCAAGCAACACAAAAACAGAUAAGAAUUUAAGGGGGACCUAUGGAGGCCGGAGCUCGCCCGAAACGGACGGAACGAACUCCGGCCAACUCGAGCUCAAGAUGCACACCAGGUAUUCGAUGAAAUACCAACCUGAGUUCCGACCGGAAUGGUAGCUUGGAGACGCGUCUACGGCGGUGGCGGCGGCGAAGGCGGCCCCGAGAUGCGUCGACAGCGGUUGCAAAGGUCUGGAGAUGCGUCGGCGGCGGCGGCCUCCGUGAGUUCCCCUCCUCCUUGCUCUCUGUUUCUCUCGCCCUCUCCCCUAUUCUCUCUCUUUUUCUCGCCCUCCACCCCCUGUUUUUUCUCUCCUCUCUUUUUUCGGUCCUCUCUCUAGUCCCCUUCUCUUUUUCUCGAUCCCCCCCUUUUUUCCCCUUAUGUCUGUUUUUUUUUUCCUGGUGCAGAUCUCCCCCUACUUCUCUUCGCGUGCGCGCGAAUUGGCUCCGCGUGCGUUCGAAUCGGCUACUCCCAACCCGCCGACCUACCAGUGAGAUGAUGCUGUCUCCUCUGCCUUCGAUGCCCCUACUUUCGGCUUCGCCAUUUACCCAAGCGGACGGCUGCUUUCUACUUCACUGAUUCCCCGUGCAGAAAACGGCUGAGGGAGAAGACAACGGGGUGGGCCAGGCCAGAGGGAAGAAGAGGGCUGGGCCGUGCGAGGGGAAAAGAAGAAACGAAAAAAAGAAAAAGGAAAUGGGAGGGUUUGAGCCCAAGCCUACGCAGGGAGAAAAUAAAAGGAAAAAGGGGUCGGGUCGGGCCAAGGCCAGAUUCGGCCCAACUCGGACCUCACAACUCUUUCUUUUUUAAAGGAAAUUAAUAGUUAAAAAAAAAUUUAUUUGAUUUUGAUUUUGAUUUUGAUUGAUUUUUUUAUACUAUUUGAAAGAUAAAAAAUAGGUGUCAACAGCUGCCCUCUUUGAAUGCAGCCUCAAAGAGGUUGCAAUCAAAGACAGACAACACCUAAAUUAUUUUUGGCGAUAGAAAGACCCUAGGUGCAUAUGCACAUAUUAGGUCGAUGAAAAGGACUCAUAAUUAUGGAAAUGCGUCUUGUCAAUAAGGUGAAGAAAGACUUCGGGCUGCAGAAGCCCACCGAGUCAUAAAAAGUGAUGAAGACUCCAUGAUACAAAGCUCUCCAGGUCAAUAAGAAGUGAGGAAGACUCUAGGAUACAAAGCUCUCCGGGUCAUAAGAGGUGAGGAAGACUCCAGGAUACAAGGCUCUCCGGGUCAUAAGAAGGGUGGAAGACUCCAGGAUACAAAACUCUCAGGGUCAUAAGAAGGGUGGAAGACUCCAGGAUACAAGGCUCUCCGGGUCAUAAGAAGGGAGGAAAACUCCAGGAUACAAAGCUCACCGGGUCAUGAGAAAUGAGAAAGACUCCAGGAUACAAGGCUCUCCGGGUCAUGAGAAAUGAGAAAGACUCCAGGAUACAAGGCUCUCCGGGUCAUAAGAGGUGAGGAAGACUCCAGGAUACAAGGCUCUCCGGGUCAUAAGAAGGGAGGAAGACUCCAGGAUACAAAGCUCUCCGGGUCAUGAGAAAUGAGGAAGACUCCAGGAUACAAGGCUCUCCGGGUCAUAAGAAGUGAGGAAGACUCUAGGAUACAAAGCUCUCCAUGUCAUAAGAAGUGAUGAAGACUCCAUGAUACAAAGCUCUCCGGGUCAAUAAGAAGUAAGGAAGACUUCAGGAUACAAAGCUCUCACGGUCAUAAGAAGGGAGGAAGACUCCAGGAUAAAAGCUCUCCAGGUCAUGAGAAAUGAGGAAGACUCCAGGAUACAAGGCUUUCCGGGUCAUAAGAAUGGAGGAAAACUUCAGGAUACAAAGCUCUCCGGGUCAUAAGAAGUGAGGAAGACUCUAGGAUACAAGGCUCUCCGAGUCAUAAGAAGGGAGGAAGACUCCAAGAUAUAAAGCUCUCCGGGUCAUAAGAAGUGAUGAAGACUCCAUGAUACAAAGCUCUCCGGGUCAUAAGAAGUGAUGAAGACUCCAGGAUACAAAGCUCUCUGGGUCAUAAGAAGUGAUAUAACUGAGGUCUCAUCGUGUAAAAAGAGUUUUGAACGGGUAUGAUAGUCUCACCUGUGUAUGAACGGUUUUCGACUGGGAGGCGGACAAGCAAGGUUUACAGAUGAACCCACCAAUCUUGGAAAUGACAUGGUUUAAGCUUAACCAUAAACCUUUGGAGAGGGCAUGGUUUAAGGUUGACCAUGAACCUUUGGUUUUUUAGGGAAGCAGCCACUAACCCCUUAGAAAACUGCAUGGCUUCACUGAUGAAUCCUGUCAAACUCAACUCGAGUAAAUGUCAUUAGAGACGUCAUCAAGAGACGUAUUGGCAAUAUUGUAACAUUAAUUGAACAAAAUAAUCAAGCUAAGUCCGAUUGCUUUAGAAAAACAUUCGAUGUCCAUCAGCAUCAUGUGACACAAAACUGUCAUCUUGCUCGUGGAUAUAUCAUUAAUCAUCAAAUUUUCUAGGAAGCAAGUUCUCAUCAGAACAGCUACGACUCGAGAAAAAGGUUCAUUAAGCAUGCCAAACUAGAGCUUCUUAGUCAGAAAGGGUUUCUCACGCACUCUCAAUAAAAUGGCUACUUGAUCCCAUCCAUUCGUGUGGGAGAUAAUUGGUUACUGAAGGUAUCUCACAUAACCUACGUCGAAGGCUUCCGGAAACAUUUGCAAUGAGCACAAUCUGAUCGAUCAAAAACGACUUUUGAAAGGACCGCAAUAUAGGCUCGGUUAGGGCUCACACAAAUGAAUUGUUGCUUUGAGACCAAUAAAUGAACAUUUGUCAUUAUCUUCAUUGGGUUUAAAAGUCGAGAGCUUAGAAGAUAAGACAAGAUAGAAUUAUUUCCACUCCUUCAAGCAGUAGCUUCUUUGUGAUAUUCUCAUUUUCACUCAAAUUAUCCCAAUCAGAAGAGGCUUCGGAAAAGGGUUAUAAUGUUGGCUCGGGAAAGGCUCAAAUGGCUUAAAACUUUCAAUAGGGUCUUUAAGAGUGAGUGAUCAUCAUGGCAUCAUGACCAGGUCACUCACUUGAUCUUUCCAAAUCAUUUGGCUUUUGAAAUAUAACGCAUCUCGAAAGUCCCUAAUUUCCUUUGCACUCACAAUGAUUUUUUUUUUUUUUGGCAUUGGCCUUGCUUUUACCAGGCACACUACUUUUCAUGGCCCCCUAGUUUGUCGAACUUUUUGCUUUUUGAACUUCUGGAGCUCUUAUGAUUUUUGAGAUACUUUUCACAUUGUUCUUGUAAUUGUCAAUUGUUUUUUUUUUAAUCAAUUCUUAUGCUUUGCCCCAGUGAAGGGAGAUGAUCACCGCUCGGGGUUUAGAAAUGAAUAAUCAGGCUCAAAUUAGUUAAAAGCAAUAGGUAUCAAUGUUUGGGUGGAGAAUGAAAUGCUCUUCUUCACAUUGGGAUGAGUCAAGAUCUAAUGAGAAUUCCUUUGAAGCUAUCACCAGAAGAUUGAUGCAAGUGAAAGUAAUAGGAUAUUUCCUAAUCAUUCGCUUUACAACACGACUGCAACCUCCUAUGCUAUCCCAAUGUCGGGUCGUCCUCGACAGGGGUAUUUUGCAGGAUCAUCUCUAUUUGGCCCGAAGGGCUCGCAAUAUAUCAGCUUGGCGUUUGGGAUUGAUGAAGGAAAUGCCUUUAUCAUUUCGAUCUUCACGCUCAAUGCGAAUGGAUCCUCCGUCCUAAGAGAAGGUUGUUUUUCACUCAACUCUUGAAAGCGUUCGAAGGAUGUGUUUGGAAAUGACUUACCUUUCUUCAUCCUAAGCACUCCUUGUUUGGCAUGAUUAAUGUUUCAACUUUUUAUCCGAAUAAAAUCAUUCUUACGAGCUCCCCUCUUCGAGAAUUACUGACAUGAAGCACGUAUAGUGGCACCAGAAAAUAGGUGGUAGGAAUGAGGCUAUGCCCCCCGAUUUUUUUUUUUUUUUUACCUCUCAUUUAAGAAAAAGAGAUAUUCACCCAUCUGUGCGGAGACUUGAUGGGUCUUUUCAAUUGAUUUUUCCCUACGCCAUUUUCCUCAUCGAACGGUAAGGUGCCUGAAACGCAAAUAGAUAUGCGUGUAUGUGAUAUAUGUAUGAUAUCUAUGAUGCUAUGCAUGAUGCCAUGUGACUCAGAUUGCGCAUGAAGUGGUUCUUCGACCUUGAUUUCAAUCAUGGAAAGUAUUUCUUGACUGCAUCUGAGUUUACAGAUCUAGGCAAUUCACUGCCAUCCAUUUCAACUAAAAUCAUAGCACCACCAGGCAGAAUCUUUUUAAUGACAUAAGGCCCUUCAUAGUUCGGGGUGAAUUUUCCAUGAGGGUCUGGUAUAAUUGGAAGCACUUUCCUCAGCACCAGGUCAUUGACUUCAAAGUAUCUAGGACGCACCCUUCAAUUGAAGGCUUUUGCAACUCGUCUCUGAUAGCAUUGGCCAUGACACACAGCUUGCAACCUCUUCUCAUCAAUCAAGUUUAACUGCUCAUGCCUCUGUUGCAUCCACUCAGUCUCAUUGAGCAUAGAUUGGGAAAGGACCCUUGGAGAAAGGACCUCAACUUCAACAGGUAAGACUGCCUCCAUCCCAUACACGAGUGAAAAAGGAGUUGCCCUUGUGGAGGUGCGGAUAGAAGUUCGAUACGCCAUUAACGUGUAAGAGAGUCUAUCGUGCCAAUCACGAUAAUUUUCGGCAAUCUUCGAUAGGAUUUUCUUUAUGUUCUUGUUCGCCGCCUCCAUUGCUCCAUUCAUUUGAGGACGAUACGGUGACGAGUUCAAAUGCUUAAUUCGAAACUCACUAAACAAUCAAUCUACGACUUUGUUGUUCAAAUUAGUGCCAUUGUCGGUAAUGAUCGCCUCCGGCACCCCGUAGCGAGCGACAAUGUCGUGACGAAUGAACUUCGCCACAUUUUUUGCAGUAACAUUAACAUAUGAAUUGGCCUCGAUCCACUUGGUAAAAUAGUCUAUCGCCACCAGGAUGAAUCGAUGCCCAUUUGAAGCUUUGGGGUUAAUGGGCCCAAUCACGUCAAUUCCCCACAUUGAAAAGGGCCAGGGUUGAGACAUUUGGUGAAGCUCAUUUGGAGGGGCAUUUAUCCUAUCUCCAUAAAUCUGGCACUGGUGACACCGUCGUACGUGUCGAAUGCAGUCAGACUCCAUGGUAAGCCAAUAAUAACCGAGUCGCAUGAUCUUUCUCACCAAGAAGUGUCCAUUCAUAUGGGGGCCACACUUCCCUUCAUGUAUCUCCUUCAUCAAACGGUCGGCUUCUUUAACGUCGACACACCUUAGCAAUGUCGAGUCGAAUGACCUUUUGUAGAUGACAUCUCCACUGGCAAAGAAUUUCGAUGCUAACUUUAUUAAAUGCUUUCUAUCUGUUGCUUCACUUCCUUCGAGAAAUUCACCAUUUUGCAGAUACUUCAAGAUGUCAUGAUACCAAGGCUGUCAGUCUGGUUCUUCUUCAAUCGUCAUGCAAUAGGCGGGGCGCCUAAAGAUUUCAAUUCUUAAUAGUUCAAUGUCCAAGCCUCCAGCUACUUGUAACAUUGAAGACAAGGUAGCUAGGGCAUCAGCAAACUGAUUUUGAGACCUUGGCAAGUAUUCAAAUUCUAUUCCUUGGAAUUCUUCCGUCAACUUCCCUAGGAACUCAUGAUACGGAAUCAAUUUAGAAUCCUGUGUUCGCCAUUCGCCUUUAGUCUGUAAGAUGAUAAGGGUUGAAUCACCAUAAACUUGCAUCUUUCGAAUCUUCAUGUCAAUAGCAGCUUGGAGGCCGAGAAUGCACGCUUCAUAUUCGGCAAUAUUAUUCGUGCAAGGGAACGUCAAUUUAGCGGCAACAGGGUAGUGCUGACCAUCUGGGGAGAUAAGAACCGCCCCGGUACCCGACCCAGCUAAAUUAACUGCACCAUCGAAGUACAUUGUCCAUUUGUCACUUGAUACAAGUAAAAUUUGUUCCCCUGCAUCACUAUCCUCAUCAGAUGUCCUGGACCUCUCGGGACUUUCUGCCAACAUGUCUGCUAUGGCGCGACCUUUAACGGACUUCUUCCCUUGGCUCUGAACGUCAAACUCUGAAAUUAAGAUUUGUCACUUGGCCAACUUGCCAACCAGUGCCGGCUUCUCCAAGAGGUAUCUGAUGGGAUCAUUUUCGGUCACCAACAAGAUUCGGUGAUGGAGCAUGUAUUGCCGCAGCCUGUGCAAAACCCAAAUCAAGGCCAUGCAAGUUCUCUCAACUUCUGUGUAGUUCAUAUUGGAAAUAGUAAACUUCUUGCUCAAGUAGUAUAUCGCGCAUUCUCUCCCGUCAUUUGGUCUUUUCUGUGCUAACAUGGCUCCCAACGAUUCAUCAUAUAUGGUCAAGUAAAAAUUAAGGGAAUUUUAGGGAUAGGGGGUACUAAAACUGGUGCGUGAGUGAGAUAGUGUUUUAUCUUCUCGAAGGCACCCUGGCACUCGAUAUCCCACUCAAUCUUUGCGUUCUUUUUCAAGAGCUUGAAGAAUGGCCUCGUUGUUUCAGACAACUGACAGAUGAACCUCGCCACAUAAUUGAGCCGCCCCAUCAAGCUGCGGACCUCCUUGGUGGUGGUCGGGGCUCGUAAAUCACAAAUAGCCCUAACAUUUGACGGAUCAAUCUCUAUGCCCUUGUUACUAACCAUGAACCCUAACAGCUUCCCCAAUCUCGUCCUAAAAACGCAUUUUGUGGGAUUAAGGCACAGCUUGAAUUUCCGAAGACGUUUGAAUAGUUUUUGCAAGACUCCAACAUGGUCCUCACCCUGUCUUGACUUUGCAAUCAUAUCAUCCACGUAUACCUCGAUCUCCUUAUGCAUCAUGUCAUGAAACAACGUUACCAUGGCCCUUUGAUACGUUGCCCCACGCAUUCUUUAAACCAAAAGGCAUCACUUUGUAGCNNNNNNNNNNNNNNNNNNNNNNNNNNNNNNNNNNNNNNNNNNNNNNNNNNNNNNNNNNNNNNNNNNNNNNNNNNNNNNNNNNNNNNNNNNNNNNNNNNNNGAAGGAGAAUAACUCAAAUCCCGCCAUGCUGUCAACCAAGACAUCGAUAUGUGGGAGUGGAAAAUCGUCUUUGGGGCUUGCUCGAUUUAGAUCACGAUAGUCAACACAUACUCUGACUCGCCCAUCUUUCCUCAUUACAGGCACGAUAUUUGCUACCCAAUCAGGAUAACGUGUCACUUCGAUAAAAUCUACUUUUAGCAACUUCAUUCAUUCUUCUUCGAUCUUCUUGGACAAUUCUGGUUUAAUUCUCCUGAGUCUUUGCUUCUUGGGUGGCAUAUCAGGAUCUGUUGGUAGAGCAUGUUCCACAAUUUCGGGGUCUAAUCCCAGCAUGUCGGCAUAUGUCCAGGCGAACACAUCUUGAUAUUAUUUCAAAAGAUUAGUCGUCUUUUCCACCUCUGACUCUGAGAGACAUGCCCCGACCCUUACUUUCCUGACAUUCUCUGCAUCACCUAAAUUUAUGGUGAUUGUUCGCUCUUCGGUCAACGGCUUCGAUCCUUCGUAUCGAUUCCAUUCGCGUUCAAUCCCCUUCUGAUCGUCAUCGUCAGUGUCAUCAGAACCUGAGAGACUUUCUUCAUGCACGUCCGAGUCAUAUGCGUCCUUAUUAUGAUUAUGCAUAAUGUAAUGCCUAAGAUGCGAUAAAAUGAGUUAGAGCAAUGUCGACAAUAAAAAUGAUGCAUGUCACUUUUUGAAGGAUUUUUGUAAAAGUUUCAAGAACUCACCCUCAUAUCCUCGGAUUUCCUCGUCCUUGCAAAGCAGUCAAAUAAGGGAGCAUGUGGAGACCUAUGCCUCAGUGACCAUCAUAGGACUAGUUUGAUGUGCCUCCACAUGUCCUUAAUAAAACAUGUGUCUAUUUUAUUGAAUGAGGAAAGAUAAGGCCGUAUUUUAACACACACCACCCACGACCAACGGCUCAAGAUCGGGGUUGACCAUAGUUCACAUUACAAAUGACAUAAACGAGAAAUAAAGAAAGAAAAACUACGAGAUCCCACGUAGGGGAGAAGACAUAAAACAAAAGACUAGGCUAGACGAGAACCGCCCUACUUUGAAGGGACAACCAUGACUUCGGAGGACUCAGCCUCCUCGCAUGCCAGGAUGGCACAUAUGACGUCUUCCUCGAAUAGCUCAGUCACACCAUAGAUAUUCCCCUCUUCCUCGAAUAACAUCCUUGGAGGUCUUGGAAACGUUUCUUCCAACAACGGAUGAAACGUCCUUGAUCGCCCUCACCCUCCUCGGUUUGGGCAAUACGUUCACUCCAAUAUAUAUACCCACCUCGGCCUCCUCGAGCAUUCCGGCCUCUCUGCCUUCCACGGCCCCCUCGGUUGCCACGACCACCUUGCUCGCUACGACCUUCUCGCCCCUCAACAUAUCGUAGGCCUAUCCUAUUCGAGUUUUUAUGAGCUUCAAUGGGCUUUCGCACACCCUGACCGUGUGAUCCAAGGCCCUCUCCAGGAUUAUACCCACUUGCCAACAUAAUCUUUCCCGCAGCUAUGGCUGGCUUAGACAAAUUAGGAGCCUUUGUGAAGGACCCUACAGGCACAUGGACCAUGGAUACCAGCUCGGGGGUUUGAAAGCUGGAUUCCUCGAUACACUCUGGCUCCACAUAGGGGAUGGUUGUCUCGUGAUAGAUCUUGAAGUCGGAUUCUCCAUGGACCGUGAUAAGCCUGUUGUCCACCACAAAUCGUACCUUCUGAUGAAGGCUGGAGGCAACAGCACCUGCUGUGUGGAUCCACGGUCUCCCUAGCAGAAAAUUAAAAGCACUUGGUAUAUCUAAUACCUGGAACACGGCUUGAAAAAGUACAGGGCCAAUCAGCAGCUCAAGCUCAAUUUCCCCUAUCACAUCCUUCUUCAUCCCAUCAAAAGCCCGCACAGUCGACUUGCCAGUACGGAUUCUCCCAAGAUCAAUGCCAAGACGGUGGAGAGUAGCCAACGGGCAUAUAUUGAGCGCCGAACCGUUAUCAAUCAAUACUCUGCAAACAAGAGUGCUUUCAUGUUUCACCGAAAUAUGUAGCGCUUUGGUAUGAUUAGGACCAUCGGGGGGGAGAUCUUCAUCAGUAAAGGAAAUUUGGUCUUUUAAUAGAACAGCCCCAACGAACUCCUCCAAUUGGACUUCAUCAAUUGACUCUGGCACAUGCACCUCGUUAAGGACUUUUAGCAAGAUGUCCCUAUGCUUCUCGGAAGAUUUGAAUAAUUCUAGGAGGGAGAUUUGAGCCGGCAACUUCCGCAGUUGAUCCACCACGUUGAACUCACUAGACUUUACUACAGCCAAAAAUUGCUUUGCCUCCUCCUCGGUCACAGCCUUCUUUUCUAUUCCCUUAUCAAGUGCGUAACAGCGGCCUGAUCGCGUGACAGCAUCUACCUCAUUUGUUCCGUAACCCCAAGGUACAGCUUUGGAAUCGAAUUUGGGAGGAUACUCCAGCAUUACCAUUCCGUCUUCCUCCUGGGGAGGCAAUUCAAUCGUGACCGGCAUUAUGUGUCCUCCCGUGACUUCGAUUGUCAACAUCUCUUCGACCAUAAGGUCGAUCACUGUGGGUUCAGCAAUUUCCAACCCGAUAUCGCCUGCGAGCUCCUCAUCAGACAAUUCAAUCACCAUUGAGGUAAUCAUGGCUAUCAACCCUUCCUCGUAUAAAGCUGGGGUCUUCGAAAUUCCAUGCAUAACCUUCCUCGCCCGAGACAUACCAGUAAAGUUGCAGAAAGAUGAGUGGAAUGAUGAUGGCAUUGUCAUGGAUACGACCUUCUCUUCCUCUUCUCCGCGUCUGAUUACUCCCAUGGUUAUCAUCCUACGGAUGCGGUUCAAUCUCUUUUCUAGGGUCACAUCCUCCCGGCCUUCAUAGUAUCCCGAUAGCACUAGGGAUUCAUACAACUCGGAAGCAUCCAAUACUAGAGGUUGCUAACUCGCUCGUGUAUCCUCGGAAGUUGAGUUCACUCCCCCUACAUGAUUUGGUAGAGGGUUCUGUUGCACGUUGGGCUGAGCUUUCCUGAAAGUCAAAAUGUUCUUGUCUAGAAGCUAUUGAACUUUGUAUCUUAGCAUGUGACAAUUAUCUACAUCAUGCCCCCUUUCUCCCAUGUGGUAUUCACAGGUCUUGGUUAUAUCGAACCCGGUGAACCUCGGGGGGUUAUCUCUAGGCACCUCCUUUACGACCAUCCUCUUUUCAAGAAGCAUGGGCAAUAACUUUGACAGCGGGCGUGAUAGUGGAGAAAACCCCUUUCGAAACGGCCUCUUGCCAUUAUCGAAUGCUUGUGAUGAACUACAUAGAACCAUCGUAGGCUUGUGCGCGGGUGUUGCGAUUGGCUGAAGGAAAUGGGGCUCUUGCACAAGCGCUACUUCAAUUGCGGCCUCCUUAUCUUUUCUUGCUAGGAAUUUCUUCGCGCCUCCGGUUGAAAUCUUUCCUUCAACCAUUGCCUAUUCGACUCCUUCACUUACCUCAACUAGCUGUGAAAAUGUUUGGCAACCCGAGAAUACUAACCCUUGGAAGUAUUCGGAGGGCAAUGUCUUGAGGAACAAUUGCUUCAUCUCCCUCUCAUUCAAGGCCGGCUUCACUUGUGAGGCCAUGGUCCUCCACCUUUGUGUGAAGGCCUUAAAUGACUCAUUCCUCUUCUUCUCAACACGAGUCAACUCUUCCCUCGUGGGGGCAAGCUCGGUGUUAAACCGGUAUUGUUGUAAGAACUCAUUGGCUAAGUCGUCCCAACUAGUGAAUUCUUCAAUGUCCAGCGCAAUGAACCAUGUCAAGGCAAUGCCUUCCAAACUAUCUUGGAAUGUGUGUAUGAGGAAUGGCACGUUGUCAGCAUAGCGAGCCAUUUUUCUCAUGUAAUACCUAAGGUGGGUCCUUGGGCAUCCCGUUCCGUCAUACUUUCUUGUGAACUCAGGCUCCUGGAAAUUCUCAGGAAAGCUCGUCUUGGUGUAGGGAGAUAACCUAUCAGCUCCUUUCAACUCAUAACCUUGCAAGACACAUAGUCGCUCUUCCAUCUUUGCCAAACGUUUUUCACUCUCGUCACUUAGGCGAGGUGUUGGGUUUUCCUUCGGAGGAGGAUCUAAAUUGACGAUGAUUGGCGUGGCAGAAGGAGCUUCUCCAGCAAUUUCUUUCCCGGGGAGAUCAGCAACGUGCGUGCCUCCCGUCGACGGGGAAGCAUGUUCUGAUAACGCCGGAGUGGAUGUUCUAGUGACAGCUACGGCGGGGGGCUCCCUAAGCUUCUGGCUUAUUUCAAGCAUCAUUGCGGUGAGUUGGGCCAGCUGGUCCUCCAUCUUGGCCAUGCGCACGUUGGCGUCAUCAUUCUCCAUUCUGACUUUUGCACGCGUGCGAAUUGGGGAUCUCCGCUUGGCCGUGUCGACGAUCAGUAGAAGACAAUCGAUAUUCCCUAACACAAGCAANNNNNNNNNNNNNNNNNNNNNNNNNNNNNNNNNNNNNNNNNNNNNNNNNNNNNNNNNNNNNNNNNNNNNNNNNNNNNNNNNNNNNNNNNNNNNNNNNNNNGACAAAGAUCUAAUCGCCCAAAUUUGCUCGUUUCAUUGAAAGCCAGGUUGCUACAUAAUACAAGAAAAAAAACGCAGAAGAAAACCCUUAAACAACAAAGCUAUUUCAAAGACGAAAAGACAUUCUCCUAACUCCCAAUUUUCAACAUCGAGACUCGAGACAAACUCCAUAAUAUUGCAACGUAUGCGAAUAUGGUCCCGCUACAUAUUGCGCUCGACUCAGUCUAACUAAUGAGGAUGGCUUUCGCUUGUGGUAGCUCCACUAACUCGGGUUAACUUCGAAGCACGCUCCUUGGCUUCCUUGAGCUCCCUCUUGAGGCACUUGAUCUCGGCUCGGUGGGUGAUCUUCAAUGGCACUUCAGGAAUCUUCGGGCGGAGGCUCUCUGGAAUCUUGUGUCUAAGGAUGUAUUCUUUCGAGGCAUAGUAAGUCUUCUCUUGCCACUCCAACUCUUCUUUGGGCCAAAUUAACUUUUGGGGGUGGCACAUAUCCCACAUAGACUUGACCAACGCAACGGAGUCCUCGUGAUCUUGGCAUCCGUCAGGAAAGUCUAUCCUGAGCGAGUCUUCCUGGAUCGCCAGCAGAAGCUGUUGAACCUCUUGAAACUGACGGGUGACUCGAGUCAGGUAAUAUUCGGUGACUCCAGUGAUUCCCAACAAAGGAAUAGGUCCAGUAAGUCCACACAUGAACCGUGCUUUUUGAACUCGGAGCCAUUUGGCAUGCCAUUGGAAAUCCUCAGGUCCGGAGUUGGUCAUGAAAACUAACCACUCAAAAUAAUGAUAAUCAGGGGCAAACAUUUUCCUAUCUCUAAACUUUAGGAUAGGGUGGUUAGAGUCAGAAAUGUCACUCACGGUCAUCAAGUUACCGAACCCCUUAAUAUGAGAAAAGAACCAAUUUUGCAAGAGUUCGGGGGGAGCAUAGAAAGCUUUGCUUUUGUUUUCUUUAAAACGAGUAAGGGAGAGAAAGGUUUCAAUUAGGACGGCAUUAACAAAACCCUUUCCCAUACUUACUUCACGAACUACCCAUGCCACGGAAGGGUUAAUAGCAUUCCUACAAUGUGGGAAUAAUACAAACCUGAAGAAAGCUAAGAGGAAAAUCCUGUUCUUUUGAAAAGAUUUGGCAUUUUGAAAAAGCUGAUUUAAGAUGAAAACGGGCAGGUCUUGCGGUUGGCUUUUAAAACUUUUCUCACGUCCUCUUCUUUAAUUUUAAGGAAAUCAUAUAAGGUUAAUGCAUGCUCGGUCCCUACAGGUGGGCUAACUAACUCCGACACCAAGGGUUUUCCAAUGGCAACGCCGUAUUCUUCCAAGGUUUGAGUGAGUUCAUGAUCACCAAGUAUGAACGUGCAAGUUGCGGGGCACCAAAAAUGCGUUAACGCUUGCACAACACCAGAAUGAGUUUCUAUCUCCAAUAGGGGAAGUAAACGUCCAACAUAUGAUCGCACCCAAUCACGGCCUGUUGGAUCUAAUCUAUCCCACCACGCACGAAGCUCGGUUUUCGGGACGGAGAUGAUGCGAAGGUCGGGUACCCCCAUCGUAUGAUCAACCUAAUUUGUCAUGGACCAGCCAAAAUGAAAAUAAAUAAGUAAAUUGUGAUGAAAAGAAUUCAAGAAAAACUUACCCUACUGAUUGAGUAGCGAUGUAAAGGUCAUAGACAUGCGCAUGGACUGUGGUUCAAUUUCUACUCUAGAUGGCUCAAAAUGAAGCCAUGGGAUCACAGGACUGAACCAACAAACUCAUGGCUAGGUCGUGUUACCCAUGACUCCGGCUUCAUCGAAGGACCGACCCAUGUCGCAUGCUCGCAAACCAGGGUGGGGACCUUUGACAUCAAGAAAAAAAUUUCGGGGUUGAGAUGGGCGACUCGUACUACAUGCUUGUAGUCGGAGUGGUAUCCACCUUAACACCAUCCUAAGUGAUCUUAUGCGGCCCAGGUUCGGCAGCAGGUUGUGUGUGCUCAAGUGUAGUGCAAUGCAGGGGAUGCAUGCAUGACAAUUUAUAAGCAAUCGACACUUCAUACAUGAAUAAUAAACCAUACAUUCCUUAACCUUCCUACAAGACAAAGGUGAGCAAACACUUCCCCUUAUACCUCUCAUUCUACAAAAACAUUUAACACCUUUAAUGUUAUGGACGUACCUGAAACCCUCGUUGCCAAACAAAAAUAUUUUAUGAACAAGAUUAAUAUUGGCCUAAGUCCUCUAAGGUUUAAUUAUCUAUGUCCCCAGUGGAGUCGCCAAGCUGUUGCGACCUACCCUCGGGGGGGGAGGGAACAGGUUUAGGGGUAUUGCCUAAAGGACGGGGCUAAGGCCCGCGAUCAUGCGCGGGCUCUCCCAAGCCCAUACCCCGCGUGACAUUGGGAUAUUCUUUAGAACUUUUGCACAAAAGGAGUCGCCACUAGCCUAUUGGGGUCGGCUAGAAACCAAGUUAGGUAUGGGAGUGUACCUCACUUCCUACGCAACCAGAAAAUCUAAGUUCGGGGACUUGAUUACACUAAUUAACCAAUUAGUGCCCUUUCGGUACCUAAUCUUGUUCAUUUUAACAAAAUAAUUUUUGACAGGCAGUUUGAAUUGAUUUUAUACUUAUCCACUAACUUAUGAGGUGAUCAUGCAGGUGCGCAAUCAUUAAAGUAAUAAUCAUAACUAUCAAGAUCCUAAUUGCCAUAAAAUUAAACACAUGCAAUCAAAUAUAAUUAGAUAUGCAAAUAAAACAUGUAACAUAAUCAACAUACGAGCACAUAAAGGUCUAAUUACACUUAAAUGGCAAUACAUGGCAAGUCCUAAUCAAACCCUAUCAUUUUUGGAUUUUCGAAAUUUUUAAUUUUUAAAAAAAAUUUAAAUUUUUUAAAAGAAAAAUAACUAAUUUCUAAUUUUUAAAUAUUUUCUGGAUUUUCGAAAUUUUUUUAAAUUUUUAAAUUUUUUAAUUUUAAAAAAAAUUAAAAGAAAAAUAACUAAUUUCUAAUUUUUAAAUAUAUUUUUUUGGAUUUUCGAAAUUGUUUUUUUUAAAGAUUUUUUAGACUGGACCGGGUCGGGUCCGACCCGACCCGGGCUCAGCCCGAGCAAGACGGGUCAGGUCCGCCCGACCAAGCCUGCUUGAGGGCAGACUGGACUUGGGCCCGAUCCGGAGGGCCCAAAUCUUUUUUUCUUUUUUUUUUUUAAAUUACUCACAGGCCCACGGCCCAGGUUGAUUCCGAGCGGUGGACCUGCAGGCCAGGAGAGGCCGAGCGGGCCAGGUCGCAGACGUGGCCUAGUUCAGCCCACGCUCCCUUGGUCAGCAAUUGCUCAGUCGCGACCAGGGAGCUACGACGGUGGGGAAGACGUGGGGGGAGGGGCACCAGCGAUCCGAUUGGGGUCACGACGGUGCCGCCUUGUUUCAGAGGGAAGCAGUUCGACUUUUCGGCAAACGGCGGCAGAAUUCCGGUGACUAAGAGGCUAGCCGGACUUUACACAGAGGAAUCAAGGAGGAAAAACUUGCUUGGGCAUUACGGCGAACGGAUAGAGGGCAAGGGCAAACCAGGAGGCUUCUGACCUAAACCGGACCUGAGGCGGCUACAGCGGUGACCAGCAAGCAACACAAAAACAGAUAGGAAUUUAAGGGGGACCUAUGGAGGCCGGAGCUCGCCCGAAACGGACGGAACGAACUCCGACCAACUCGAGCUCAAGAUGCACACCAGGUAUUCGAUGAAAUACCAACCUGAGUUCCGACCGGAAUGGUAGCUUGGAGACGCGUCUACGGCGGUGGCGGGGGCGAAGGCGGCUCGGAGAUGCGUUGACAGCGGUUGCAGAGGUCUGGAGAUGCAUCGGCGGCGGCGGCCUCCGUGAGUUCCCCUCCUCCUUGCUCUCUGUUUCUCUCGCCCUCUCCCCUAUUCUCUCUCUUUUUCUCGCCCUCCACCCCCUGUUUUUCUCUCCUCUCAUUUUUCGGUCCUCUCUCUAGUCCCCUUCUCUUUUUCUCGAUCCCCCCCUUUUUUUCCCCCUCUGUCUUUUUUUUUUUUUUUUUUUUCUGGUGCAGAUCUCCCCCUGCUUCUCUUCGCGUGCGUGCGAAUUGGCUCCGCGUGCAUCCGAAUCGGCUCCUCCUAACCCGCCGACCUGCUAGCGAGAUGAUGCUGUCUCCUCUACCUUCGCUGCCCCUGCUUUCGGCUUCGCCAUUUACCCAAGCGGACGGCUGCUUUCUGCUUCGCUGGUUCCCCGUGCAAAAAACGGCUGAGGGAGAAGACAACGGGGUGGGCCGGGCCAGAGGGAAGAAGAGGGCUGGGCUGUGCGAGGGGAAAAGAAGAAAAGAAAAGAGAAAAAGGAAAUGGGAGGGUUUGAGCCCAAGCCCACGCAGGGAGAAAAUAAAAGGAAAAAGGGACCGAGUCGGGCCAAGGCCGGAUCCGGCCCAACCCGGACCUCACAACUCCUUUUUUUUUUAAAGGAAAUUAAUAGUUAAAAUUUUUGAUUUUGUUUUUUUUUAUUUGAUUUUGAUUUUGAUUUUGAUUGAUUUUUUUAUACUAUUUGAAAGAUAAAAAAUAGGUGUCAACAUCCUCUUUUCUUUUAUUCUUUUCUUUUUCCUUUUCCUAUUUCCCUUUUCCCCUUUGGCCGGUGACCUUAUUGGAGCGUCACUCGCCCCCGACGAAGCACUUAAGCAAGGGUUGGCCAAGCCUUGGCUGGGUGAGGUCGGCCUUGCCGAUGGCUUGCGAUGCUCCAAUGAGAUCAUUAGCUCGGCGAUCGGCCAAAGAGGAAAAAAGAGAAGAAUAAAAAGAGCAAAAUAUAAUAAAUUAUUUAAAAAUUAAAAUAAAUUAUAUAUCACAAAAGAAUUUGAAGUUUUAUCAAAUGCAUUUCUUUAUCGAGAAUAAAAUUUUUGGAUAGUUACAAAACGUAUUCAAAUUCUUAGAAAUUCGUCUAAAGAACAAGAUAAAAAAAAUAAUUUUUAAGUAGAAAUUAUUCUUGAUAACAAAAUGAUUACCGAAUAAACCCUUUUUAGUUAAGCCACGCGGCACCAAGUUACUGACCUUUUUUUUUUCUUCUCUUUUGGGGAGCAUAAUGGUGGGACAUUUUUUUUACCCAGUCAAAGAAGUGAUGGGGCCCACUUUUUUAUUAAAAAAAAGGAAAGAGGAUUGAAAAGUCAAAUUGAAAGGCCAAAAGAAGUAAAAGUGCUCACUCCUUUUUUGGAGCUGAAGCGGUUUGGGAAAGAGAGAGAAAGAUGAAUGGUACUUUCGCAUGGUAUAGAUAUUUUCUCCUUUCUCAAAAACAUGGCCGGCUAAUAAUAAAAUUCGAUUUAAUUGUUUAUAUGUUACCUGACACUCUACUUUAGCAAGCAAACACGAAAUUGACCAAGAAUUUUUUAACAGGUUUUAAAUUCACUACUUUAUUCAUCCGUGCGUGCUCUACUACGAAAGCAUUUCAAAAACCUCAGCUCACUUCAAAUCUAUUUAUUAACUGACUAAAUAGUAUCUUAUUUUAAUUUUUUUAGUUCCCAAAAACAAAAUAAAUAAAUAAAUAAAUCCGUUUGAUAACAUUUUGUUUUCGAGAACAAAUUUAUUCCCGUGAAUAUAUUCAAAACAUAAUCACGAAGUAGAAAGAAGUUGUUUAUUUGCUCUCGGGAGCAACUCUAGAAUCAAGUCCAUUUUCCUGUUUAUCCUCUUUUGUUUUCUUCUUUUCUUUUUUCCUUUUCCUCUUCCCCUUUUUUCUCCUUUGGCCAGUGGUCUUAUUGGAGCGUCACUCACCCCCGGCAAAGCGCUUAAGCGAGGGUUGGCCAAGCCUUGGAUGGGUGAAGUCGACCUUGCUAAUGGCCUGCGAUGCUCCAAUGAAGUCAUUGGCCUAGCAAUUAGCCAAACAGGAAAAAAGAGAAGAAUAAAAGGAAAAAAAGAGCAAAAUAUAAUAAAAUAAUUUAAAAAUUAAAAGAAAUUCUAUUUCACAAAAGAAUUUGAAGUUUUAUCAAAUGUGUGUCCUUCCCGAGAAUAAAAAAAUUGGAUAGUUAUCAAACGUAUUCAAAUUCUUAUAAAUUUAUCUAAAGAACAGGAAAAAAUAAUAAUUUUUAAGUAGAAAUUGUUCUUGAGAACAAAAUGAUUACCGAAUACCAACCUUUUUUUUUUUUUUCUCUUUUGGGGAGUGUAAUGGUGGGACAUUUUCUUUGAUGACGGGGCCCAGUUUUUUAUAAAAUAAAAAAGGAAAGAGAAUUGAAAAGUCAACUUGAAAGGCAAAAAGAAGUAAAAGUGCUCACUCCUUUUUGGAGCUGAAGUAGUUUGGGAAAGAAAGAGAAAGAAAGAGAGAGAAAGAUUAAUGGUACUUUGGCAUGGUAUAGAUCUUUUCUCCUUUCUCAAAAACAAGGUCUGCUGAUAAUAAAAUCUGAUUUAAUUGUUUAUUUCUUACCUGACGCUCUGCUUUAGCAAGCAAACACGAAGUUGAACAAGUUUUAAAUUCACUACUUUAUUCAUCUGUGCGUGCUCUGCUACGGAAGCAUUCCAAAAUCCUCAGCUCACUUUGGAUCUAUUUAUUAACUGACUAAAUGGUGUCUGAUUCUUCUUUUUUUUUUAGUUUCCAAAUACAAGAUAAAAAAAUAAAAAUCCGUUUGAUAACUUUUUUGUUUUCGGGAACAAAUUUAUUCCCGUGAAUAUAUUCGGAACAGAAUCACAAAGUAGAAAGAAGUUACUUCUUUGCUCUCGGGAAUAACUCUAGAAUCAAGUCCAUUUUCCCUUUUUUUCCUCUUUUCUUUUCUUCUUUUCUUUUUUUCCUUUUCCUCUUCCCAUUUUUCCCCUUUGGCCGGGGACCUUGUUGGAUCGUCACUCGCCCCUAGCAAAGCGCUUAUGCGAGGCUUGGCCAAGCCUUGGCUGGGUGAGGUCGGCCUCGCCGAUGGCCUGCGAUGCUCCAAUGAGGUCGUUGGCCCGGCAACCAGCCAAAGAGGAAGAAAGAGAAGAAUAAAAGGAAAAAAUAGCAAAGUAUAAUAAAAUUAUUUAAAAAUUAAAAGUAAUUUUAUAUCACAAAAGAAUUUGAAGUUUUAUCAAAUGCAUUUCUUUAUCAAGAACAAAAAUUUUGAACAGUUACCAAACGCAUUCGAAUUUUUAGAAAUUCAUCUAAUGAACAAAAUUAAAAAAUAAUUUUUAGAAAUUGUUCCUCAUAACAAAAUGGUUACCAAAUAGACCUUUUUUAGCUAGGCCACGCCACACCAAGUUACCAACUCUAGAAUUAAGUUCAUUUUCCUUUUUUUCCUCUUUUCUUUUCUUCUUUUCUUUUUUCCUUUUCCUCUUCCCCUUUUUCCCCUUUGGCUGGGGACCUCAUUGGAGCAUCACUCCCCCUGACAAAGCGCUUAAGCAAGGCUUGGCCAAGCCUUGGUCAGGCCAACAACUCGGCGACUGGCCAAAGAGGAAGAAAGAGAAUAAUAAAAGGAAAAAGGAAAAGAAAAAAAAAAGAGCAAAUGAUAAUAAAAUUAUUUAAAAAUUAAAAGAAAUUAUAUUUCACAAAAGAAUUUGAAGUUUUAUCAAACACAUUUCUUUCCCAUAAAUAAAAAAUUUGAACAGUUACCAAGUCAAAGAAAUGGUGGGGCCCGCUUUUUUAUAAUAAAAAAAAAUGGGAAAGAGGAUUGAAAAGUCAAAUUGAAGGGUAAAAAGAAGUAAAAGUGCUCACUCCUUUUUUGGAGCUGAAGCAGUUCGGGAAAAGGAGAGAAAGGAAAAGAGAGAGAGAUGAAUGGUACUUUUCGCAUGGUAUAGAUCUUUUCUCUUUCGUCAAAAACAUGGCCGGCUGAUAAUAAAUCUGAUUUAAUUAUUUAUUUCUUACUUGACGCUCUACUUUAGCAAGCAAACACGAAGUUGACCAAGACUUUUUUGAACAGGUUUUAAAUUCACUACUUUAUUCAUCUGUGCGUGCUCUGCUACAGAAGCAUUCCAAAAACCUCAGCUCACUUUUUUUUCUAUUUUGUGGAGUGUAAAAGUGGGACAUUUUGAACUGGUGGGCUCACUUGUUGUCACGCCCGAUUCCGCUACAACUGUGCAACAACCCGCGCUAUCAUUAUACUUUCCCCUUCGGUCAUUCAAUUGCGACAUCUCAGGAGACGUCGGCAACCCAAUUCGUAGUAACGAUUAAAUGCACAAGCGGAAGCAUAAAUAGAUCUCCAACCAUCAAACUAGGAUAAUCAAAAGCAUACUUAUAUAUAUAUAUAUAUAUAUAUCAAGGUCAACAUCACAUAUAAGCCACAACAAGUUUAUCAAACUAGCUUCAACCUAACAUGCUUUGCCAGAUCCGAUUAGUUCAGAAGCACCGCCACGACCUUCAUCAAAAGGGGGUCCAAGGUACACCUAGCACCUCUAGUACUAUGAGGGUGGUUCACAAAGUGUUACUAACCCCACUACCACCUAACCAACUAAGGGCUCCAUAAUCCAAGGCUCAGGCUUGACAACCAUAGUGGGAUCGAGACCAAGGUCAAACAUCUCUCCAUCAGGAAUAUCCACAUCCAUGGCAUCUAAACACACAACCCCUGGUGGACCAUCGAACCAUGGAUGGGACCAUGGCUCUCAUCUCCUACCCAAAAGUACCAUGCCAUGAAAUGGUGAGUGACUAGAUUAGGCAGUCCCUCUUGACCCAAAUGGUCACGACAUAACACGUGUAACGUGCAUCAGUCUCCCCUAUCGAAUACUCGGUCACUUCCUAGCUAUACUCUAUGGAGAGUCUGGAUCGGAUCUACCAAAAAGGCUUAGCUAUUCUUAAGGCCUAUAAACAAUCAACAAAUGACAAUGAGAUAAAUUCAAUGAGUGAAUUUCCUAGACCUCGCAUAGAGAAGUCGUUCACCACAUAAACGCCUUAAACAUGCAAAUAUCUAUUGAUGGCAAAGCAUAGCAUAGCUCCUUUCGCUUUACCCUAACUAUUCACAUAGAAACGAGCUAUUUAAUCAAGGCCAUCAAUAUUACACAUAUGCAAAUCUCAUAACACUUUCCGCACUCUUGAGCCAAUCAUAUGAAUACGCAAUAUAGUUAAAUCAUGCGUUCAUGCCAUGCAAUAAUCCGGACCCAAUCACAUACAAAUCUCAUGCACUUUCCACACAAUAUGUCCAGAUUAUUAUGGUCACUCAGGAUGCAAGGUCAACCCGAAGGUUUGUAGUCAUUCGGCGUAACCGAGCAUUGUCUCACCCCCAUCGAGCACAACAUCAUCCUAUGUAAAUACACCAAGACGGCAUUCCUAUAAGGAGCUUCGUUUCAAAAUCCACCUACAAACAGUAUCCCAUUGACUUGGGGGCAUUCAAACUGAAUCAGGCAUCAUCCCACGUACAACACAUUAGGAUGGGUUCACACCCCCAUGUAAAACGCAUUAGGUCUUUGGGUGAUUACAUGAGCAUACCAUCAUGUAAUUCUUUUCAUAUCUUUUUUAUUAAUUCAUGUUAUGCCUAUGUGAUAUGCAAUAACAUUUGCCAUAUGCCAUCAUGUCACACACGUGUAACAUAUCAUAUUAUAUUAUAUCAUAUUAUAUUAUAAUGCACCAUUUAAUUCACAAGCCCACGGCAUAUAGUUCACUUAUCAAAAUAGAAUAGAGUCAUCAUCAUACAUCAAAAUUAUUUAUCACGUGCCAUCACAACCCAUCACAUAAUUCAUCUUUCAAUUAAUAUAACAUGCAUAACACGUAUAACUCAUAUGACACGUCAAACACAUACAACACAUAACACACAUAUAACACAUAAAACAUAUAUAACUCAUAUAGCACAUAUAACACAUAAUAGCCUACCACCCUAUUAUGGCACGUUAUAACAACAUAUCAACUUCACAUAACAUAACACGAUAACUUAUCACCCUAAACAUGAUAACCUAUCAUCAAAACCUGAUAACUUACCAUCUAACAUUCAAUAACCUAUCGCCAAAACUCCGAUAACCUAUUGCUAUAAACACGAUAGCUUAUCAUCCAUAACUUAAUAGCUUAUCGUCAAAAGCUUGAUAACCUAUCACUUUAAACUCAAUAACUUAUCGGUAAGAGUUCUAUAGCCUCUAAACCCAAUAAUCAUUUAUCACAUAACAUUCACUUAUGACAUCAAUAAAAUACCAUAAUCAAGCCCUAAACUACUCCAUAAGUAUAAUCACAGUCCUAAUCAAGGGUUAGAAAGCCACUCGCACACAAUCCAAGCUUUAAAAAGCAUUGGGGAAGGUGCGGCAAGGCUGGACAACUGCUGAACAUGCCUCCACAAUGCACGUGGGAGGCCGGACAGCGACUGAACAGUGGUUGGUCAACGAUUGGUCGGCAACGGUGAACUCCGAGCUUCCCAGGGACCAAACCACGAGAGAGAAAGAGGGAGAGAGAGCUGCUGUAAAGGGUGGACGAUGGCCUCCUCAGCUUCAAAACUCGGUUACGGCAAUGGAAAUGGCGUGCGAAGGGGCAGUUCGACAUUGGGGUGCUAAGGACGGUCGCCAAUGAGGGGAAAACAAGAGGAAGAUAAGAAGGAAAGCUUGCAAAAGAGAGAGCAAAGGAGGUGGGGGUUUCGAUGGUGCUAUGGGGAGAGAGAAAAAGUGAGUUUGAGAGUCAAAAGUAAGAAAAUGAAAGUGAGAGUGAGAGAGGGGGUAAGCCAAUGGUAAUGGAGAGGAAAAGGAAAUAAGAUAGAAUGGGAUAUCAAGGGAGCGUUUGGUAACGGUUAUGUUCCUAGAAAUUAUUCUUUUUUAUUUUGUUCUCAAGAACAAUUUCUAAGUAUUUUAAGUCGUUUGGUAACUGUCCAAAAUUUCAAUUCUCGGAAUAGAAUUGUGUUUGGCACCGUUCUCAAAAUUUCUACUUCAAAUCAUUUUCUUUUAAUUUUUUAAUAAAUUUAUUAAUUUUUUCCUUUUUUUCCUUUUUUCUUAUUUUCUUAUUUUCUUUCCUUUCUCAUCUUCUUCUUCAAGGGUUGCUGGUUGCCAGCCUUGGGAUGAUCAGAAACCAACCAGAUGAGGGCCAGAGCAUCAUUGGCCCUCGCCAAGGCCACGCCUCGUCGACCGAGCCUUGCCUAGGCAACUAGCCUUGCCCAGAUCUAGCAAGGCUGAGCUCGCCUAUCCACCAACAAGGCUCUACCUUGCUGACCCACCGUGAGGUCGGUGGGCGACGCGGACCUCACAGUGGCUCAGCGAGGUAGAGCCUCGCCGGCGAUUGGGCGAGCCCAGCCUCACCUAACCAUGGCUUGACCAAGCCUCGCCAAUGGUCAAGAGAGGCCUGGAUGAGGCCCACCAAGCCAUCGGCAAGGCUCAGCUGCGCUAAAUCUGGCGAAACUAAGCCUUGUCGGUGGCUGGGUGAGCCUCAGACGAGUUCAUCAGAUUGGUUGCCGGCGAUCGGCACUGGCAGCGACGGCAAUUGAAGAAGAGAAAAGAGGGAAGAAGAACAAGAAGAAAGAAUAGAAAAGAUUUAAAAAAAAAAAAUGGUUGGCUUGAUUCUGAAAUUGUCCCUUGGAAUAAAGAAUCAAUUUUUUUUUUUUUUUACUUCUUGAUUCCGUUCCAAAUCUACCUCCGAGAACAAAAAAAUAGAAAUAUGUUCUUAGGAAUAAAAAUUUUACCAAACGAAUUUCUGUUUCAAAUCUACUCCCGGAAACAAAAGAACAAAACUGUUACUAUUUGACAAGUUUCCAAACAAAGCCCAAAUCUUCAUAAAUGUCCAUCACAUCUCAAUCUUUAAGGGCUCACUUCUACCAAGCAAUUAGACAUGCCAUUGAUGGGGAAAGUCCAAGAAUUAAUAAAGGAUUUGUGCACAUGAGUGCAUAGGUUUGGGAUAGGCUAGUCUAGGUUAGGCUAGAAUGGUUUCAAGUUUCCUCAUUGCUGGCCACAUGCAUGUGCUGCCCCCUCCCUUGCCCUUUUACAACUUUGUCCCUUUGUCCUUAGCCAAAUGGAAAGGCAUUUCAGUCUUUUUAUCAAGAUUGUGCACUAUUCAUGUACUUAAAUACAUUAAAUGUCAAGAUCUUGGAAGAAAGGGCCUCAUGGGCUUGGAGAGUCCAUGGCCCUCAUGGGUCCCCGCUCCACUUGGGCGUGUGGCCCAUGGGCCGUUCAUAAUGGGUGUGUGGCCCAAUUGGGCCUAGCUAUGCGAGCUUGGGCCUGUUGGGUCGCCCAACGUGGGCUUGGGUCCUCACUCGUGGCUUGUUCUCAACUCUCUGAAUUUCAAUGUCCCUCCAAUGAGAAAUUGAAUUUCCACCCCAAAGUGGCAUUUCCGAUACUUUCAUGGUUUAUUGAUCCUUGAGGUAGUCCCGUUCGACAAUUGGUUGCCGAUAUAAUUCCGUUCUAAAAAUCGGGGUAGAAAUGAGAAUGUCACACUUGUGUUUAAAAAAAAAAAAGAAAAGAGGAUCAAAAAGUCAAAUUGAAAGGCCAAAAGAAGUGAGGAGUGCACUCUCACUCUUUUCUAGGAGCUAAAGCAGUUUGGGAAAAGAGAGAAAGGAAGAGAGAGAAAGCAAAAGAGAGAAAGAAAGAAGAAGAAAAAGGAAGAAAUGAAAGGGGGUUUCAUAUGUGUACAAUAAUGAGAUCUCACCAAGUCGACUUGAUUAUGUAACGCGAGGUCUAGUAAGUACUCGCACCCCUUAUUCUUCCAAUUGGAUUAGUUUUCGAGGUUAGGGCUUAAAAUUUGAAAUUUUAGGAAAUUUGAGUCACCAAGUCCAAUUUUUGAGUUGUUGAGCCACGUGUAUAUAUGAAAAUGAUAGUUUAGAAUAUUAUGCAGUUGCAGGAUUUUAUGGAACUUGAUUUGAGCUUAUGGUUUGUCUGAAAUAAAUUUUCAAAAUUUCCCACGUGUGAUGAACAGUGUGCAUCUAGUAACUUUGGGGUCGUAUUUCAUCAGUUUUUUGCUUGAAUUUGAGAUGGUCAAAUUAAGGUUAUCGUAGUCCAUUGAAAAUGUUUUCUAUUGAUUAUAAUUAUGUAUGGAAAAGGGGUUCGGUAGAGAGAAUUAUAACAUAACCAAGUUUNNNNNNNNNNNNNNNNNNNNNNNNNNNNNNNNNNNNNNNNNNNNNNNNNNNNNNNNNNNNNNNNNNNNNNNNNNNNNNNNNNNNNNNNNNNNNNNNNNNNUUUGAGUAUGCAAUUUAUUAGCAUGUAUGAGUCAUUUUAUUAGCAUUUAGGCAUUGCAUAGCUGUUUCAUAGUUAAUGUAUCGUGUUACUUAAUUUUAACGUUAUUUCUCACUUAUUUGAUAGGAUCACAAGAUCGAUGGUUCAAUAACGUUUGUUAUUUGGUUUUGGGGCUUUCCUAAAGUGAGUGGUAUUGAUAUAUUCUUUGCUUUUGUGAAAUCCAUGUGUCAAGGUAAGAGUAACUCGAUAUAUACAUAUAUAUGGAAGUAAGAAUAUACUUGUUAUAUAAAGCUAGAUAGAGUGUUUGGUACUUUUGAGUUAUUGUGAAAUGGUUUGAUAAACCUUUCCUAAAAGGUCAUGCGUACUACUUAGUGCAGCGAUUUAUGAUAUAACUCUUGGAAGAUUAUAUAUUUUGGGUUGAGAAACCAAUGGUGAUAUGCGCAGUAAAAGACUAAAUGCCGCACGAUAACGUUAUUUGCUUGGUUUACAAGAUUGAAUUUUGGAUUGAAUUUUAGUAUUGGAAGAUGGUUGUUUAAGCUCAUAUGACUGUGAACCCAAUGAAGAGUUAUCGGGUUUAAAGUAUCUUUUUGGAUUGAAUUACCAACUUUGUAGGUGGAGACCUUGCCAAGAGGGUCAAGGGGGGAAUCUUGGCCGCCUUGUCACCAGGCGUCAUGUGGCCACGAUUUCAUAUUGAGUAGAAGAUUUGUCGAUGGUUCCAUCGACGUGUUUUGAUAUGAGACCAUUGAUGCUUGAAUUGUGAUAAUGGUUUAAAUGAGUUUUUCAUAUUAGUAUGAAGUUUGUUGAAAUGAAACAACUCAUAUAUGAUUUAACAUGUGCUACUCACUAAGCUGUAAUUGCUCACACAUUUCUUUCCUAUCUUUUUAGGUCCCUCAAUUAGUGACUAAUACGACGAGAGUGAUAUCGAUGGGAACUUUUGGGAGCUAGACUUUUGGGUGGUUAGAGUUUGCAUUCUUUAGGUGGAAGGACAAUCGUGUCAUCCCUAUCCCUAUAAGAUUGAGGUAUGAUGAGGGAGGGAGGGAGGGAGGGAGGGAGGGAGGGAGUAAAGUACCAUGUAUUCCUAAGUUUUAGUGGAGAUGAUACUUGUUAUAACUUCAUGGGCUUCCUCCACCAACACUUAGAAAAAGCUAAACUCCACGUAUUCAGGGACAAAGAUGAAAUCAAGGUGGGUGAUGUGAUCUAUAAGAGACUCCUACAAAUUAUUGAUAACUCCAAAAUUUGCAUGCCCAUCAUCUCUCAAACUUAUCUUGAUUGUAAAUGGUGUCUCAUUGAGUUGAAACGCAUUAUGAACAACGUGUUUAGGUCUAAUGGUAGAAAAAGGAUUUUCCCACCUUUUAUAAAGUGAAAUCUAUGGAUGUUAAAUGUUGGACAACACACUUAAAGAAUCAUUUCUCCGAAGUCGAAUUUAGGGCGUUCAAAGAGGCUCUUGCAAAAAUUGGUAAAAAUAAGGGAUCGAAGGUGUAACAUCCUCAAUUUUGACCCUUAUUUUGGUCCCAACUAGGAGACUAGUCAAACUUUCCUAGAAAAUAAGUGUGAAUAAGUGUGAAAAGCAUUAAAUAAGGAUGAUGAAUGUAAAGGCUUAUGUCUGCCUAUAGCCUAACCUAGUUAUAACCCUAAACUAAGUAGGAGAUCUUGGAGGCCAAGAAAUGCACUACACAUUCAUUGGAAGGAAGAGCAAGCAAGUCAAACCUUCUUAGACAAGCUAAAAGCACAUUAAUUACAUUUGGCUUCUAGUUAUUCAAUGCCGCAAUGAAGUGUCCAAGCUAACUUAAAACCUAAUUGGAAACCUAGGAGAUAAGGAUGCCCGAUAAUUAUUACUUCUUGACUAAGUGGGAUUGUGGCAUCCCAGAAAUUCAAAUCCAAGCCUUAAGGUGUGUUAAAGUCUUUAAUUAGGUGGUAGAAUUUCCAUGGCUUAUGUUUUAGCCAUUAGUCUUUUAAUUUGAUGAUUUGUGCUUGUGAUUGUGAAAAUUUAAAUUUAAUAGAUUAAUAAUCUAUGCUUGGCCAUAUGAUUUAAAUUUCAAUAAUUAAAAUGUCCCAAGACUUUGGCCAAGAUGAAAAUUUGGAAUUCAAAAAUAUUUAUUGGAGAAUUUCAAAAAAAAAAAGAAAAAAAAAGGGGGUGAAUUUUCGAAAUGGGCCUUGGGCCCAUUAGCCUAAAGCUUGGUGGGCCAAGCUAGUCGGCCCAUUAGAGCCCAAGAAGAGAAUUCGAUCAGCCCAAGGAGGAGUGGCCGGAUGGCCCAACUCCAAAGCCCAAGCCCAAUCAAGUUUAAAAAUAAAAAUGACAAGUGGCAAGGGGCAAGAGCAUGCAUUGGGUGGUUUGUAGGCAAUCUCAUGAUUGCUAAUCAUGAGAAGAUGGGGAUAUAAAAAGAGAGAGAGAGAAGGGAGAGUGGCCGGUUUUUCUUCAUUUGGCCGAGAGAGAGAGUGCGAGAGAGAGAGAGAGAUUUCGAGAGAAAGAGGGAGAGGCCGAGAGGAAGAGGAAGGAGGGAGCCGCCCGUUCGCCGUGUCCCGCCGCCGUUCGUCGUCGCUUGUCCAUCUUAGAGGCAAGUGGAGUCCUUAACUUCUCUUGCAUGUUUGUUUUGUUGGCUGCAUGUUCGAUUUUAGGUGUGAUUUGUGCGAAAACCCGGGGUAAGAGUUGGUUAUUUUCAAACCGUGUGACUGUUCUUGCUCGGUUUAUGGAAGUCAGUAGCUUGUUCGAGCUUGCAUGCAUGUUUGGAGUCCCAUUUUGGCUUCUAUUUCUUCAUGGAAGUUGUAGCUAACAUCUUUUAGUAUAACAUACUGAAAUUUCGUGAAAAAUUAUGGAUAUUUGAGGGGUUAAAUCCUUGUUAUACGGAGACCUCAGAUCUGUGAUGUUUUCACUGACCUCUUGUUGGAUUCUUAGUUGCAUGUUGGUUUGUGAUGAAAAUCUGACUUCGGUGUCUUCAUGAAAGUUGUAGGUAAUAUCUUAAACUACAACAUACUCAAUUUUGAAGUGAAAAUAACAAGUAUAUCUUGGUGAAUCUGCUAGAUCUUGGAAACGAUGGUUCUGGUGAAGUAUUCCGAGACACCCGAGACUUCAUGGACUUAAAUGGUGACCAUACUUUGGUUAUUUGACCUAGAUCUCUUCAUGAAAAUUGUAAAGGACACCUUGGUACAUAACAUAAUCAAAUUUCAGAGGAAAAAAAAAGAAUAGAUGAGUGAAAUCUAAAAAUUUCGGAGAAGUGUAUUCUGGAAGAUGCGGUAGUGGUUCCAGAGGUUUCGUGGGGUUGUAUAAAUUAAUAUAAAAAUAAUUUGGCUUAUAUUUCUUCAUGAAAAGUGUACUAAAAUGUCUUGGAUAUCACCCUGUGAAAUUUCGUAAUUUUUGAAGGCCAUAUGAGUAUUUUAAUCGAAUUUAUUUGGAAACUGUGCAAUUCUGGUCAUUAUCCGAAUAUCAUGUGCUAUUUUAUGGAAAUUGUGAAAUUUUGAGAAAUUCAAUUUGGCCAUGAAUCUUGUAUGAAAUUGUGAUCCUAUUGGUUUUUUUAAUGAUUUUUUGAAUAUUAUGAUUUUGGGAAAAUCAUAGAUAUUAAAUUUAAUAUUUAUUUAUGAAAAUAAAUAAAUAUAAUAAUAUAAUAAUAAUAUAAUAAAAAAAUAAAAAGGGAAUUUUUUAUUGGCCAUGAAUUCCAUCGAAUUUAUUAUGCAUUGUUAUAUGACAUUGGUGUAUGUAUGAUCAUAAAUUGUGAUGCAUGUGUGAAUCAUAUGCCAUGUAAUAAUGAGAUUAAAAGGAUGGUGAACGUGGAAAAUGAUAUGUGAGUAAGAGGUUGUGGUGGAUGAUGAUGUCUGGUGGCCUAGUGGCGUAAUUCCAGAGAUUCCCUGGGAGAUUCAGGAUGCCCGGAAUGUGGGGGGCCGGAAGCCUUGUCGGAGGUCUUUGCCCGAAAGGAAUGCCUCGCGAUGCCAGGAUUUGGGUGCGGGAUGCCUGGCUAGAAGGGUAAAGGCCNNNNNNNNNNNNNNNNNNNNNNNNNNNNNNNNNNNNNNNNNNNNNNNNNNNNNNNNNNNNNNNNNNNNNNNNNNNNNNNNNNNNNNNNNNNNNNNNNNNNAAAGAAGUCCACGUGUGGUCCAUGACUGAUACAUGUAUGAUUCUUGCAAAAAUUGGGUUUAUUUGAUAUGUAUUGUUAAGUUCUUACAUCAAUUUGAGCAUACAUUUGAAUUGGGUUACGUAGUGCUUGAAUGAGUUUCAUGAGAUGCGAGCAUCCCUUUUUAUAAGCCACGGAUUUUUGAAAAACUUGUUCAUAUGCACUAACUCUCUCUAUCUUUGAUUCUUGAAAGUACAUAGACAGUUGAGAGCCUCUCAUAUGCAUAAGCAAGGCAAGGCACAAACCUUGCUAUUGAUUUGCCAUAGACAAGUAGGUGGUGACGUUGUAUCUGACAAUCGAUGGCAAGAUGUCCUCCUAUAGUUGUGACAUCCUGAAAAUUCGACCCUGUUUUGAUUAAAUGAACUAGGCUUUUCACCAACGCGCCUAUGACCCUCUCUUUCUAAGCUGAUCACUCACAAGAUAACUAAUCUAUCAGGUGAAGCUGUUAAAAGAUAUAAACGUAACAUACUUGAGAAUUCUAUCAGAAAUCGAUUGCUCGACCGUGCUAAUUGGCAAUGGUUAAUACGGCACCGUUAUAAUUGAUUAAAGAUCAGAAAUAGGUCAAUUCGACAAAAGCAUGUAAUUAAAUUAUGGGCGAUUCCACCUGAUUGCAAAAUUCGUGUCAAACGGCACUAAACCGAUUUUUCUAAACUAAUUUUUUUAUCAAUCUUGUACCCAAUACCGUAAUUGAAAUCUUGAGAUUUUUACAACAAUCGAGAGUCACCUAUGAGUCAGAGAUGUACAAACGUGGAUCAAAUUAUAGACCACGAGUCAAACGCUUUAAAAUCCCUAAAAACUACCCGGUAGGUUAGAUCAUGCUAAAAUCGCGUCCGGUUGAUUUUACCACGAAAUUAAACUCAGUUUCGAGAAUCAAAAGUUCGAGCAUAUCAUGAUUUAUUUUUAGGACAUCGUCUCAUCAUUUGAAGAAUUUUCCGUCAAGCCCAGAAUUUUGGCGGAAAAUCAAAAUUUGGCAAACUAAUUCAAGGAAAUUCGGAGGGGCAUUUUUUAGUGGAUUUUUGGACUUCAAAUUGAGUUAACUUAGUGAAGAUUUGUGAAGAAUUGGCUUGUGGAGGAAGCUUGGACAGCUUGGGCAGAAGACUUUGGGGUCAAACCACUUGAAUGCUUAUGAUAUUUGGAGUGGCAUCCCAUUGGCUUAAGCCAAAACUUUCAAGCCUCUUGUCUCCGCUUUGUUCCCCCUCUCUCCCCCUUGUUUCUCCCCCUACGUGAACCAGCCCAAAAAAAACCCUUGACUCCUGCUAUAUUCUUCUUCAGCUUUUUCUUCUCCAUUUUUCCCUCUACUCAGCCUCUUCAUCCCUGCCGCACGCCAAGCCACCAGCUACUCCGCCCAUGCCAACCAGCGUAGCGACCAUGUCCAACGACUAGCCAGCCUCGCGUUCACCAGCCUACUCGUCACUAUCCUCCGUCCGCCUGCUCGAGCCGCAUCGUAGCCCCUGCUCGACCGCCAUCCAGCCCAAUCACAGCCUCCCUUUCGUCCGAACCCUGACCCAUCUCCAGCUCACUCCACCAUACCAGCUAGCCCGAGUCCAACCCGCUUUAGCCCCCUCGAGCAGAACAGGAUCUCGGCCUUGGCUAAGACUUGUUGGCUAUUUUUCAACCUUUUUCGAGCCUCCUUUGGUGUCGCCGUAGGCCCGAGUCUUGGCCACCGUCUCGCCAUCGUCGUCGUGGACUCAUUAGUUCACUAAUCCAGUGAGUUAGCACUCUAAUCUUUAAUUAGAGGGCUAAUUGCACUUAGGGGGAUUAGUUUAAGGUUAAUUGAGAUUAGUGAAAUUUAGUUAGCUUAACUAGAUUGGUUAGGAUGAUUUAGUUAGGCCAAUCAGGUGGUUAGAUGGUUAGUUAGACCAUUUAGUUAGCUUAAUUAGUUAAUGUAGUUAGUUAGUUAAAUUAGUUAAAUUAGUUUAAGUAGACUAGCUCGGUUAGCUUAUGUUAAUUUAAUUGAGUAGUUUAAUUUAAAUAUUUUGUAAUUUAUUUAAUUAUUUAUUAAUUAGUGUAAAUUAUAUCGGGAUAGCCGAUUGUCAGAAUUUCGUGCUGAUUGUCGUGGAAGUGUUUGUGAAAUUGAUUGCUAAUUUAUGCAAUUGAGUGAUGUAUAAUGAUUUUUAAUUAUUAUUGCAAAAAUAUGAGUUUAUGUUAUUUAAUUAGAAAAAUUCCAGGUGUCGAGCUUUGACACCAAAAAUAUUUCAAGUACUAUAUAAAAUCGUUGAAUUUUGAAAAGAGAGAAUAUCACAUUUUAUGGUUUGAUUUGAUUGUGUGUCCAUGUACCAGGUGUUUUUAAUAUGAAGAAAAUAGGUCAAGUACAUUAUUUGAAAUUGAGGCAUUUGAGUGCAAAGCACGAUAUCCUUGGCCGAAAUUGGAUGUGUGCGUGAUUGUUAUCGGAACCCAUCACGAUGCGUUUACGCCGGACGAUGCCUAAUUAAGGUCGUACAAAUACCGGUCGCAAUGGAAGCUAGGCCAAUCCUCCUUUGGAAAUGCCGUCUAGAUGUAAACGUUGUCGUGCCCAACAAAGCGGGAUGAUGCCCAGUUAUACUAAAUGACCGCUAACUAUUGAAUUAGCCAUGGCCAUUGGGUCGUAAUUAAUUGGGACACGCUUAAGUGAUUGAAAUAGCUGCGCUUGAUUAUGGGAUGAAAUUGUAUGACACAGAAUGGGAUGUAUCAUAACGAUUUGACCUUAUAAUCGAGACCUUGUAAUUAAUUGAUAUAUGAGAUGAGGUGUUCUAAUUAAUAGUUUAAGCUUACUGUGUACAUAUAUGAUAUAUGUGAUGUACUAAUGUGCAGGGAGGAGCUGAGGCGAGAUAAGUCCUAUAUGUUGUAUAUUUAGGCUGCUUCUAGGUGAAUUCUUAUCCUAAUCGGGGUAUAAGGUGUAGACUCGUUGAGACUUUGUCUCACCCUGUCGUAGUUUAAAUUUUUACAGGUCCUUAGAUGGAGGUGCGCCACGUUCAUUUUGGGUGGCCAUAGGAGGCGGAGACCUAGCAUAUCAUACUCCCUAUCCACGAGACCCUUGACUGGACCCUUUCGGCGUGACUACCAUUUGGGUCGAUGAGGGCCUACCUAAGUUGAUACCUCACCGAUUCAAAGCAUGGUUCCAUCAUGGGCCCAACGGUGUUCGGAAGGGCCCCUUGAAUGGUUUUGACAAGCCUGCCAUCAAUGACGAGUAUGUGGAGGAACUCGACCCUGUCGUGGAUGUCGAUAUUAUAGCCGAUAUCGAGGCAAAUCAGUUGCCUAAGGGUGAAGAGCCCGCAGUUGAGGUAGCUGACCCAUUAGACAUCGACAUCCAUGACGGUAUCGUGGUAGACCUGGAUCCCAAGUAGAUAGGGCCCGGGGUAGGGUUAGCUUGGUAGCUCUUUUUGGGGUCUAGAUCUUUUGUAUAUAACUUUGCAAGGCUAAUAUGGUCUGUUUAUAAAACAUGGUUUGUGAUGCUUGGAUGUUCUGCUUUUCAAUCCCAUGUUGAUUGUUAUCUGGAAUUUAUUAGUCCGCUUCUGCAUGUGCAUAAAUUGAUUGGGUCAGCGAUGUGUCCUGGGAACAUCACAUUUUAGUCACCGCCAAGGGAUGUGUGCGUGCCUGAGGUUCGAGACGUGACAAUAGGAGAAUUAGGGAUUUCUAAUUACUGAGUCAUCCACUCACUCUUAUUGUUCUAACAAUUUUAGGUGUGUGAUGGUUGAACCUAGAUCCUAGAAGGGAAUGAAUCUAGCAUGGGAAGGUCGCUUUUGGAAGCAGCUUAGUAGAGGAGCUAGGCUACCCCAGCCUUUUGAUUGACUAUAUAUGGAAAUGAAAAUAAGUGGCCUAGGACUACAUUGGGCAUGUAAUCAAAAUAGCUUUUGAUGUGUGAAUAUGCAUAUGUAUAUAUUGCUUUUAUUUGCUUGACUUGCAUAUGUCUUGCCCGGCUUCCAUGUUUGUUUGUACAGGGAUUGUUUAUGAUCACUUCCACAUGCGCUUAACUAAAGAUAAAAGACUUUCAGGACAUUUGACGUUGCCUGGGGCGUUGAUGCUAACCCAUCGGGUCAUGCUCUCAUGCUAGAGAUGGGGCAGAGGUGUGACAAAAGGUCGAGGAGCAACAAUGGUAAAGCUACCUUUAAGAUGCUUGCCUAAUUCUUCUUCAUCUUCCUCUUCUUCUUUUUCUUUUUUCUUUUUAUGUUUUUGUUUUAGGGAAUAAAAUAUUACCCUAUCAAAUCAUUUCUCUUCUCCUCCUUUUCCAAAUGGAAAAUUUUGAAAACUACCUCCAACUCCAAGUGCUGCUCCCAUUGAACUUUAUGGGUGCUUUUGGUUCAGCAUUCCCAAGUGGCUUUCAACCUUCAAAGCCUAUUGGGGAAAUGUUGGACUAUUUAGCAACAAUUUUGAAGUAGCUUUCAAGUGAAAGUUAGUAUUAGGAAGGCUGAAAACCCAAUGUUAUGGCCCAUUUGGUUUGGCUUUUGGGGAAUACGUUUGCCAAAAUGCAAAUACCUUUGGGUGAAUGGGGUUUUCCGAAAUGCAAAUAUCGUUUGGUAAAAUUUGCAUUGAAAUACAACUUUGGCUAAAAUACUAUUUGGUAAAAUUUGCAUUUAUAAAUGACUUUUAUUAAAUCAAAAAAACAAAAAGAAAUUCUAUUUUCUUUUUUGAAGUUCGGCCACCGGACUGUCGAAUCCGGCGACCGAAUGGCCAAAUCUGGCCACCUGGGUCGUGUAACCCGUCAGGGUCACGCGACCUAGGCGACCGUCGCCGAGGUCGGGUGUCGCCGAGGUCGCGUAACCUCAAGCGACCGUCACCUGGGAUCGAGCAACCUCAGGCAGCGCGGCACUAGGGUCGCUCAACCUCAGGUGGCUGUCACCUAGGGUCGCCCAACCCCGGCGACACGUGACCCCUUGGAUGGUAGUCAUCAGUCUCCAAUCGACUUCUCCACUAGAGAGAUGAACAAUGAUGGACAAUAUCGGAAGUUGCAUUCCGAAAAUGCAACUUCCCAAUGGACCUCUACCUCUCUAUUCCCCCAAAAGCCUUUCAAUCCGCUUGGAGAUGCAAUUGCAUCUCCCUAAAGUACUCAAAAAAUUGAACCAGCCACCUUCACUUUUGCUCAAACCCCUUUAGAGCCCCCAAAGCCCUUUCUACAUGUUGAACCAAACAGGGCCUUAGUAGGGACUAGUUUUUAUCUUUUAGUAUUUGGCCAAAUACUAAAAUUUAGUUUUUUCUUCCAAAACUAUCCUCACUCAUUCUUCAAAUUUCUGAUUUUUCCCUCAUUAUUAUUUUUUUAAAAUGCCAAAAUAAUGCCAAAAAAAUAAAAUAUAUAUAAAUGCUAAAAAAAUUAAAUAUAUUUUGGUCUUUUAAAAAAAUAUUUAUAUAUUUGAUUUUUUUAGCAUUAUUGUCAAAAUUUAUAUUUAAAAAGUUGCAUACAUUAUUUUUUUUCAAUUUUAAACAAUUAAAAAAUGAAAAAUUCCGAUGAAGGGUUUGGUCUUUUUUAGAAUAUAUAUAUUUUAUUUUUAACAUUAUUUUCAAAUUUAUAUUUAAAAAUUUGCAUAUGAUAUAUUUUCAAUUUUAAAUAAAUAAAAAUUAAUAAAUUUCCACGAAGGAUUUGGUCCUUUUUUUUAAUUAUACAUAUGUAUUUGAUUUUUUUUAGCAUUGUUGUGAAAAUUUAUAUUUAAAAAGCUGCAUACAUCAUUUUUUUUUUCAAAUUUAUGCCAAUAAAAAUUUAAAAAUUCCGAUGAAGGGUUUGGUCUUUUUUUAAAAAAAAAAUUAUAUAUGUAUUCAAUUUUUUUAGUAUUAUUGUCAAAAUUUAUAUUUAAAAACUUGCAUACAUUAUUUUUUAAAUUUUAAACAAAUAAAAUUAAAAAAAUUUAAUAUUAAUUACCCAAAGAUCUUUUCAAAUGUAUUUUCUACCAAACAGCAUUUUUCUCGAACUUUCUUCUCAAAGCAUAGUUUACCAAACACCUUUGCAUUUGCCUAAAGUCCUUUAGGCUAAACUGCUUUGCAUUUUUCCAAUGGGCUUUCAAAAUGCUAAACCAAAUGCAUCAUACAUCCUCUACUUGAGCCAUCUUCCCGAAUAUUUUGAUUGUUAUAGCUACAUUUGGCGCUAGGGUCGGGGUUAUAUAUUUUGUCAUCAGCAAAUUGUAGUGUUCCAUGGAUGACAACCUUGAAUUUGUCUACAUUUUCUUGGUUUCUAAUUCUCCCUAUUACAAGUGCUGAAAAUCCUUUCCAGGCUUAGCUAUAGCUUAUAAAUGCCGAAAUUUUCACUUGUGCACCAUAUGGUACCCACCUGGUAAUUCCAGCCGUCGUGUAAACCACUACCAUAUAAAAUAAAAUAAAAACUCGUUCAAUAAAUUCUGCUAAAUUAGCCUAUAUUGAUUAUUCAGUGUAUUUAGAUAUUGUUUGUAACCACGUGUGAUGCUUGGGUAUGAAUUAAAUCAAGUCAACUAAUGAAAGCACUUUUGUGUAUGGCAGCCAAGUAGAAAUUGUCAUUUUGGUUAUUCAAAAGGUUUUGGAGGAGCUGGGCAAAAAAAAUGAAUCAUAGACCGAAUGUCCAAUUGAACUUGAUGACUUGACACAGUCACUUGAAGACUAUUUGCAUCGCAUAGAGAUGGUACGAUAGAUUCUUCUUCAUCAAUAUACAAUAGACUAGCGUGAAUGCACGAAUUCGAAAUUUGAUUUGUUCUAAUCUCGGCUUGAUGCCAUAAUUUGGCAAAACUACACAAAUUUCAAGAAAUUAACUACUAUUCCGAAAUUUACAAAGACGGAAAUAUGUUUUCUAACCAACAAGUGUUCCUUCAACAUGUUCUUUUUUAUUUGAAAUGUUGUUUCCUAUAGAUUAAAUAAGUACAUAAAUGUAAAUCUCAUCAGCUGUUAAGUUUUAAAUUUAUUUCUUGUUGUAUAAUUCAUUGUUGGACGUUAUGUGAUGUGAUAUGUGUUUUUUUUAUUUCAAUACUAUUUAGCAAUAAUCGCCCUCUUGAACAUUCACAUUGUUGCGUAAUAGCCUGUUGCGUAAUAGCCUGCAGAUUUCAAAAAUGGUAUAGCUUACCUUCUACCUUCACUAGUUUUUCAGUCUGCAUUACCGUUGAAUUUUACCUAAAAUCCUGCCGUUGUAAAGCAUCAAGAUAGGAAGCUAUUCUCCAAAGAUUGCUUAGCAAAAGCAUAGCUUUGUUAAAGCUCGACAGAUACUCCAGCCCAUUUCCCCUCCCGUUUUCUGCCUUUGCCAGUGCCUUCCAGCUUCUCCAGCAUACUCUAGUUCCAUUUUAGAAAAUUUUCCCAACAAAAAAUGUGAUUUAUCUACUCAAUUGCCCUGCAUAUAGAGAUUGGAGUUUUAAAUAUUGACAUGGCUUAAGUAGACAGUGCACGAGCUAAAGAUAAAUCUCCUUCCCCCUUCAAAUUUGAAAUGCUCUUCCACACAAUAAAUUGCAAAAGAUAAAUCUCGUCUAUCAGAUAGUGUAUGAAAGUUUACUUAUUAUACCACCUUGACUACAAUAAUUCAUUGUUAGAUGCACAAAAAUUUGAAAUGCCUUAUAUGAAGCGUGUAGAUGUGGUAUUUUAUAUGUGCGAAUAGGAAUUAGUCAAGCUAAAUGUUAGUGCUAUACUUUUUAAAAGAGGAAUUUUUCUUUUUUCUAAAUUCUAUUGACACCAUUUCUUGAAUAUCUACAGCAAUAUAAAGAAAAUGUUUUACAAUCGGCCUAAUCUAUUCUUGAUUAGAUGAUUAGAAUAUUAGCAUUACUUUAAUUGUGUAGUACUUAAAAUUUACGUGGAAUUUUAACGUGGUCCAAAUGUAGCGGGAUAUUGGAAGGAGAGACGGGAAUGAAAGCGGAGGGAGGAUUCAAAGCAGAAGUACGGAGUUGAUGCACAUGAAUAGAAAGAUGAAGUAUGUGAAGAGAAGGACGAGUGUAUGGGAGGUCCGGAAAUACGAAAAGUGCGUGCACGAGGAGUGGAGUAGUAGAGGGAUGAGUGUAGGCAAAGAAAGGGAGGAGCGGAGGAGAAAGGAGGGGAGGAGGAGAGGGACAAGUGUAGCCAAAGAAAGGGAGGAGGUUCGAAAAUGCAAGAAGUGCAUGCAGGAGGAGCGGAGUAGGAGAGGGACGAGUGUAGGCGGAGAAAGGGAGGACGGGAAGUACAUGGAGUACAUGCAGCAGUGGAGGAGGAGACAGAGGAAUCUAGGCAAAGGACGGUAGGAGUCAAGGAAGAGAUGGAGGAGUGUAGGCAGAGAAAGGGAGAAGGACGAGAAGUACAUGGAGUACGUGCAAAAGUAGAGGAGGAGAGAGACAAGUGUGGACAGGACGAGAGGGACGAGUGUAGGAAAGGGAGGAGGAUCGGAAGUACAUGAAGAAUGUGCGAGAGGAGGGGAGGACUAGACAAGAGUAAGCAGAGCAAGGGAGGACGAAAGUGCAUGGAGUACGUGCAGAAGGAGGGGGGGAGGAGAGAGACGAGUGCAGGCAAGACGAGAGGGACGAGCAUGAUGUGGAGCAAACUAGCUCCUACAAUACUCGGGUAUAAAGACUUCUACUUUAGAUGAUUUAUGUCAUGCAUAUCAUGCAUAAAUCCUUUAUGUGUGUAUUCUUUUUAAAGAUAUCGAAAAGUCAAGGUGGAAGAAAGCGGACAAAGGAUAAUUUUGUAUUGGUUCCAAUGUACCCUUCAUAAUAUUUUCCUAACAUUGCUUCGUUGUCAUUUUUAAUAGGAAAUGUCAACACCUAAAGAAAAAAAAAAAAAAACACACAUGAAGGGUAAAUUAUAUCAAUUCCAAUUACUCAUUUUAAUAGCAUUUUUAUUGUGAUUCUCUUUUCCUUUGAUUUGGAAAACAUCAAACACUUGUAAGAGGUGUGGUACAAUUCCAAUUAGUGGCUCUGCUAACGGUUACUAAUGAUUAUAACACACGCUUGUAGGAUUUUUGUAGGAUUUUUUUAGUAGGAAAUGACAAUGAUAGUAGAUGUCCCAAUUAAAAAAGCUAGCACAAAUCGAGAGAGGGAAGCAAAUUUCUCAUACUUUGAGAUGUUCGCAAGGUAAAGUGUUUUUUUUUUUUACCUAUGAAGUUCUUGUGUUUCUCAUAUUCGUGAGAAGAAGGGGCAGCAUUGUUAAGCUGACAUCAUCAUUUUGGGAAAAGUGCUAAAAAAGUCAUAAACAUUUUGUCUUUAUACCGAUUUAGUCCUAAACAUUUUUACGUUGUGCCAAUUCAAUCCUUUCCAGCCAAUUUUGGCUAAAUUUUGUUGACAGACGCCGGCUGGCUGACGUGAACAACUUUUAAUAAUGUUUUAAUAUUUUGAAUUUUUCUUUUCUUUUUUUCUUCUCCUCUUCUUCCUCCAACCGGUCGCCGGACCUCGGCGAUCGGCCAAAGGCGACAGCCGACGAGUCACCAAGGUCCGACGACCAGCUGGAGGAAGAAGAGGAGAAGAAAAAAAGAAAAAAUAUAAAAAAAAUUCAAAAUAUUAAAACAUUAUUAAAAAUUAUCCACGUCAGCCAGUUGGCGUCUAGUCAGCAAAAUCCGGCCAAAAUUAGCCGGAAAUGACUGAAUUGGCACAAUGUAAAAAGGUUUAGGACUAAAUCGACACUAAAGAAAAACGUUUAGGACUAAAUCGGCACAAAGACAAAAGAUUUAUGACUUUUUUGGCACUUUUCCCCACCAUUUGCUUUGUAUCAUAUGUGUAUGAUGAGUUGCCAAAAGAUUGUCUCCCCUCCUACUUAACAGAAUUUGUUCUUCACAUGUAGAGUCUUGACCGUAUGAUAUGUCAGCUUUUGGAAGGUACAAAUGCUCAAGAGAUCAGGUCAAUGGUACUAGACAUGAAAGCUAGGUUGCCGUUAGAUAUACUGGGUAAGGGUAUUGAGUCUGCUUUGGUGGAUCCUUCAGCGUUAGUAGCUUAGCCAUGGCAGGCAUCUAGUAAAAUUGUUUUCUGGAAUUGAUCCUGAAAAUCUGGCCGUGGAACCGGCACUUGACCAAAGUAUACAGGUACUUUCACCUUCAUUUUGAUUUUCGCUAUUAGGUCUCCUUGUUGUGACAUGGAAGUUUGACAUGCAGAUCUUCUGGCUGUGUUUUUGCCAUGGCUUGAGGCCGUUAUUUUGAUGACCAUCUUCGUGUCUUUUUUUCUAAACUGAAAUUCCUUUAGGGGCACUGUGAUGGUGAAAUUUAUUUACAAAAGAUCUAGGACAAAUAAACGUUUUAAGUAAAGGAAGCUUUUGUUGAAAAACUGGUUGCGCAAAUAUCAUUUGGCUUUCAAAUGACGCUAUAUAUCAAGACUGUCAUUUGAUGUGUAAAAUAAAUGGCUCUGACAUAUCCUUCCAUAGAGUUGUCUUAAGGUUGCAUUCAUUUUCAAAUGCCAUCUAAUACAAUGCAUUUGUCGUGUACCCUGCAGCUGUCUCCUCCCCAUGUUGUGGACCUUUUCUUUUAUCCGGACUUUGGCAAUUGACUUCAACUGAAACAAAGAUAUGAUAGUAUACAUGUUUCCGAUUGUUAAAGGUCUCUCGCAGGCUUAUGUCGAUACAGUUCAUGAUCUGGCUUCACAUUUUAUCACCAACUUCAUUCAAGCCGUUCCCAAACCACAAGAACAUAACCACAAUCAAAAGGCGCCAGCAGCGAAUUCAAUUCAGGCAUAAUCAGAAAGAAAAACGCGACGCGUUGACGAAUCGACACCACACGAUUCGCAAACCAACAACCCCCCCCCCCCCAACACAAGCCACAACCGUUACCCCACGAUUACCAAACGAAUUCAGGCCACGAAUCUGCUCUAGAUUGUCUCCAGCCCAACAAAAACCAAAUUAAACCCCACAAAAACGCGAUUAAAUAGCGCAGCUUAGAAACCACUGCCUCCGACCCAAUCCGUAAUGGACUAUCAGAUAAACAAAUUUGAGGAAUUCCUCUCUGCACAAACGACCCAGGCGACAAAUUUUUUUUUUUUAAAUAAAAGAGAGAAUGUAACAAAAAUGCGAUAGGGUAAUCUAGCAUAAUGAAGUCCCCAAAUCUAUUUAAUCUCUCUCACACACUUUAUUUGGGUUUCUAAUCGACCCACCAAAAGCUUAUUAGGUCUAGCGGUGGUGCUCGGCCUUGAUUGAUGGCGUGGUGAGGAUGGGUAGUCUCAACGUGAUGUGCCUCACAUCCGUGGGGUGGUGCUUGUGCGGCUCUCGGUGAAUCCAAGUCAACAAUUUAAUCCCUCUUGAAGCUUCAUUGAGUUUGCUUAUGGCCACCAAAGCACAAGUAUUGGGUCAUUUGAGUUGACCUGAUUAACUAUGAUCUUUGGAAUAAUUUGCAAUUUUGGGGAUGUGGAAGUUCAUUUGCUGCUUCUUUGUUCCUUGUGCCUGCGAGCGAUGGAAUACUGAGAAUUAGAGUUGAUUUUUAGGUCAAGGAUGGAGGACAGGAAAGUGAAGAUUAGAGGAUUUAAGGUGAUAUGGAAAGCAGGUGAAGAAAACAUCUACGUCUCAUGUAAAUUGGGAGGGACUUGAAGAUCUAUGUAGCAAUUCGAGAUGUGAUAUGCAUAACCCCAUAUUUGAGGUCGAUGGGCUAUUGCAAAUUCGUACGAGAAUAGCACCAAGGUAAUCAUCAGACGGAACUUUAACUCGAAGAGAAAAGGGUGAGCCAAGCGAGUUGAAUUGGGGGAUAGUGAUGGCAGCAGUAACAGCGGCGGCAACUAAUCAGUGCCAAUAUGCUUGAGCAUCUAGUGGUGGAUGUGGCACCAAGUCUUGGGGCCAAUAUAGGUGGGUGACUUNNNNNNNNNNNNNNNNNNNNNNNNNNNNNNNNNNNNNNNNNNNNNNNNNNNNNNNNNNNNNNNNNNNNNNNNNNNNNNNNNNNNNNNNNNNNNNNNNNNNACUCAAAGUACUUAUAGGGUUUUGGAAAUGCAACAAAAUUCUCCAAAGAAAUUUGUGGAGCCAUAUUUGCACUUCUCUAAGAACAAUUUUUGAAGCCCAAUGGGCUUUGAGAAGGUGGCUUCCCAGGCCCACACUUCGCCGUCAAACGACACGUGAUAUGGCACACUCAAAGUUACCAACCCUUUUUUCUCUUCUAGGGAGAGAGAGAGAGGUCUGGAAGUCCCAGAUAUGGCACACUCAAAGGCCAGAGCAUCAGAAGUUCAGUACGAUGUGUUCUUGAGUUUUAGUGGGGUGGAUACUCAUUUUGACUUCACAGGCUUCCUCAAUAGAGCCUUGAAUAAUGCCGGAAUCUGCGUAUUCAUGGACGAAGAUGCAAUCAAGGUGGGUGAUAAGAUUGGUGAGACAAUUCUACAAGCUAUCGACAACUCCAAAAUCUACAUACCCAUCAUCUCUCAAACUUAUCUUGAUUGCAAAUGGUGUCUCAUUGAGCUUGAACACAUGAUGAAUAAUGUGUCUCAGUCAGAGGGUAGAAAAAAGAUUUUUCCCAUCUUUUAUAAAGUGAAACCUAGGGAUGUUAAACAUCGGACUCCACACGCAAAGAAUCUUUCCUCUAAAGUCAAACUUGGGAAGUUCAAAGAGACUCUUGCAAAGGUUGGCAAAAUCAAGGGAUGGAAGGUCGAGGAGCGACAAAGGUAAAACACAAAGAAGAAUCUUUUUUUUUUUGUUUUUUUAGUUUUUUGUUUUAGGGGAUAAAACAUUCCCUAUCAAAUCAUUUAUUUUCUCCUUUUUUUUUUAAAUGCAAAAUUUUGAAAACUACCUCCAACUACAAGUGCUGCUCCUAUUGAACUUUACAUCCUCUACUCGAGAUAUCUUCCCUAAUAUUUCAGUCGCUGGGGAAUUUGUCAUGGAUUUUGGGGUCAUUCAAUUUGUCAUCACCAAAUUGCAGUGUUCAAUGGAUGACCUUGAAUUUGUCUACAUUUUCUCAAUUCCCGAUCCUCCCUAUUACGAGUGCUGAAAAUCUUUUCCAGGCUUAGCUAUAGAUGCCGAAAUUGUUUGGGCAUUAUGUGGUAGCCACUUGGUAAUUUCGGGUCAUGUAAAACACCACCUAUAGAAAAACGCAUCCGAUGAACUGAAUUCUACUUGUUAUUCAGUGUAUUUAGAUAUCCUUUGUAACCACACAUGAUGCAUGGAUAUGAAUUAAAUCUAGUGAACAAAUGAAAGUGCUUUUGUGUAUGGUAGCCAAGUAGAAAUCGUCAAUUUGGUCAUUUAAAAGGUUUUGGAGGAGCUAGGCAGAAAGAUGAGUCACCAACUAAGUAUUUGAUGAGCUCGAUGACUUGACAAAAUCACUUAAAGACUCUUUGAAUCGCGCAGAGAGGGUAUGAUAUCUUCUUCUUUGUCAAUAUAUAAUAGACACACGUGAUGCUAUAAUUUGGUAAAACUACAUAAAUUGCAAGAAGUUAAAACUAUUCUGAAAUUUAUGUGGACAAAAAUAGAUUUUUUAAUCAUUUAGUGUUCCUUCAACAUGUUCUUUUUAAUUUGAAAUGUUGUUUCCUAUAUAUUAAAUAAGCACACGAAUCUGAGUAUCAUGAAUUGCAAUUUUGAAAUUCAUUUCUCGCUGUACAAGUCAUUGUUGGACAUUAUGUGAUUUGAUAAGUGUUCUUUUUAAUAUAUAUAUAUAUAUAUAUAUCUUAUCUCAUGCUAUUUGGCAAUAAUAGCCCUCUGUUUUUUUUUUUUAACAGAGUAAUAGCCCUCUUGAAUAUUCACAUUGUUUCGUAAUAGCCCGUAGAUUUUGUAAAUGGUAUAACUUACUCCCUACCUUCACUAGCUUUUCAAUUUGCUCCCAGCUUCUCCAGCGUACUCUAGUUCCAUUUUAGAAAUUUUCCCACCAAAAAAUGUGAUUUAUGUGCCCAAUUGCCCUGCAAAUAGAGACUGAAGUUUUAAAUAUUGGCAUCGCUUAAGUUGACGGUUCCUCAGAUAGUGUAUGAAUUUUUACUUACUAUACUACCUUGACUACAGUUUUUCGUUGUUAGAUACAAAACAAUCUUAGAAGCGGCACUUGUCUAGAUGUGGAUAAAGCCUUAUAUGAAGCACGUAGAUGUGGUAGUUUAUGUGUAUGAAUAGGAAUUAGUCAAGUUAAAUGUUAUCACUAUACUAUUUAAAAGAGGAAUUUUUUUUAAUUCUAAACUCUAUUGACCCCAUUUCUCAAGUAUUUGCAGCAGUAUAAAGAAAACGUUUUACAAGCGAUCUAGGGCGCGCAUGAUAAAAUUUCGACUUCUUUGUUUUUCUAAACAUGUUUAGAAUAUAAAUCCGUUUGGUAACGCAAUUUGAUUUUUCUAUUUUUUGAAUAGAAUUCUAUUCUAGAAAUAUAUUUAAAGAAGAAAUCAUAAUCUAAAAUUUUUAACUUUUCAAUUUCUGUUCCAGAAAUUUUAUCAUGCGCACCCCUACCCCUAAUCUAUACUAGAUUAGAUGAUUAGAAGAUUAGCAUUAUUUUAAUUUUGUAGUGCUUACAAUUAAUGUGGAAUUUUAACGUGGUCAAGUGCAGCAGGAUAUUGGAGGGAGAGGGAGGAUUCAAAGCAGAAGUAUGGAGUUGAUACACGUGAAGAGAAAGAUGAAGUACGUGAAGCGAGGGACGAGGGGAGGGGAGGUCUGGAAAUACGAGGAGUGCGUGCAGGAGGAGUGGAGGAGUAGAGAAACGAGUGUAGGCAAAGAAAGGGAAGAGGUUCGGAAAUACAAGAAGGGCAUGCUGGAGGAGGAGGAGGAGGAGGAGAGGGAGGAAUCUAGGCAAAGGACGGGAGGAGGAGUCCUGGAAGAGAGAGAGAGAGAGUAGGCAGAGAAAGGGAGGAGGGUCGGAAGUAGAUGGACUACGUGCGAGAGGGGAGGAGUAGAGGGACAAGUGUAGUAGUCAGAGAAAGGGAGCACGGGAAGUACAUGGAGUACAUGCAAGACGCGCAUGUUAAUUAUUGCACAGUGUAUAUAAUCUUCAAUUUAGUGAGAAGGGGUAUAUUUAUGUCCAAUGUAUGGAUUAAUGUUCACAAGUAUCAAUCCAAAAGUUUAAAAAAAAAAAAAUGGGGAAAGCUUUUGGGAAAAUGUAAAUAAUUUUAUAGGUGAGAGGGUUUUUCCAAAAUGUAAAUAAUGUUUGGUAAUGUAUAAUCUAAAACAUUAACUUUAACUUAGAUACCAUUUGUAAAGGAUCUUUGCUAGUUUUUUUUUUUUUUAAUCUCAAAUAUUUCCUGGCAAAACUCAGUCCCAAAGCUGGCCGCCGCCAACACAAGAUUGCCUCACCGCAGCCAAUCUACCAUUGUUGGUGGGCCUUGCUGGUGGCCCACUAGUGGCCUGAACCCGGUGACAUCAAUUGAGAUGUGGAUAUUUUCGAAAUUAUAAACGACAAAUGAAAGUAAAGUUGGAAGGGAAAAUGUGUUUAUACUUCGGAAAUACUCAAAAUUCAAAGUGCUUUUGAACUUUGCUUUGGGCCAAAGAUACCAAAAAGUCCAAUGGGCUUUCGGGACCAUAUUUGCACCUCUCUAAGAACAAAAUUCUCCAGAAGGAAUCCGUCAGAACCGUAUUUGCACCUCUCUAAGAACAAUUUUUAAAGCCCAAUGGGCUUUGAGAAGGUGGUUUCCCAGGCCCACACUUCGCCGUCGAACGACACGUGGCGAAAUUGGAGGGAGAGUUGACGGGGACAACUCCGCCCAACCCGGUCGACAAAUUUGAAGGCCGCGGCCUCGCCGACCAAGCCCAACCCCCACCCGCCCCACGUUCCCUUUCCACGCUUGACUAAGGCGUUGCUGCUCCGCAAAUGCCCUCCCUCUCUCCCUUAUUUACCCGAAUGCCACCCCGGUCGUCGCCGUAAUUUCGGCGACUUCACGAGGGCCGUCGAGUCCAAAUUGGGGGGAGAAUUUGGGAAUCGUCAUCAUGGUAGUGUAGCGCAGGUGCAGGUACGGAAGCGAAGGAAGCGAAGCUUCUCUGUAACUCUCUCUCUCUCUCUCUCUCUAGAGCGUUUUCGCGUUCUCACCUCUUCGGGCGAUCGCCUCCUUUUGACUUCGUCGCGAUGGAGAAGAAGGACGAUCCGACAUUUUCCGGGAAACUGCUCGAUUCGCGUGCUCUUCUGACUCGCGACGCGUGAGGGAAUUUUUGCUCGGAUUCUGUUGCAGACGGUCGCGGCAUUCGUGAUUGCGGUAGUUGGGUAGGUGCGUGCGUCCUUUCGCCGAUUC